Molecule: long non-coding RNA, 95987 nt
Filed under: Sorghum bicolor (sorghum)
Lineage: Eukaryota; Viridiplantae; Streptophyta; Magnoliopsida; Poales; Poaceae
Description: long non-coding RNA (SBIC_LNC011920)
Source: RNAcentral
UAAACUCUAUGGUAUGUAAUUGUGAAUAAUACAAGUUGUACCAGACAUGGCGUGGCGAGGGGAGCCAAGCAGACAGGCAUGCGGUGUAGUGAUGUGGUGUGUUAAGCACUCACUAAUUACAGGAGUUUCAACUCUGUGUUUAACUCACCAUUUGCUGUAGUAAUGUGGUGUGUUAAGCACUCACUAAUUACAGGAGUUUCAACUCCGUGUUUAAUUCACCAAUUGCUGUCUCUUCGGCUGUCAUCCCUUCCUCUCCUCCCUCUCCUGCCGCAAGGCUAUAAAGAGGACAUAUGCCUUUGGUCUUGUACACACACAACACAUAACUCAGAACAUAAUCCUAUUGCAAAGAAGGAAUCCUCAUCUCGUAACUCCGCGCGCACGGAGGAGCGAGAGGGUAGGUGCCUUCGAAGCCCUUGUCGUUCGAGACCUUGCACGAGGGAUCGGCAAUUAGGUUUUUGGGGAGCGACUACGCGACUGCCCAAUCCACCGCCGCUGUUCGUCUUCCUCAAGCUGGUUCGGGCGGAUUUUUUCUUCCUGGUGAAAAGAUCGUCUUCAUCCUCUACAUCAUGGAAAUUGGUCAAGGAUCGGGAUCAUCGGAGCGCAUGGGAGGGUAUGAUCCGUUCAUCUUCCUGUUGUGUUUCGUCUUCCUGUUCGUACAUGUUGCAGUAGUGUGUUUGUUUUGUUGCGCAUACUAUCCUGGUUAUGUCUCAUAUGUUCUACCAUGUCUUUUCUAUUUUUAUCUUAUAUAUGUUUCUGGUAUAAGAUCAAUGUCAUGUCUGCUUGUUUUGCUGGUUAAGUUAAAACUUUUCAUAUGUUGCUGUCUCUAUGUUUCACUAGUGGUUCAGUCACGUCGUUUGACAUACUGUUUCUCAUAUGUUUUAGUAGUUCUAUUUCGUCGUUUAACAUGCAGUCUCUUGUUUAUUGCUAUUUUAAGAUAUAUGUCUUGCCUUGUUAUUAUAUUUCAUAUAUUAUGCUUUUAUAUUUUUAAUAAUCACAUGUUCUACAUGUUCAUGGAUCACAUGUUCUAUAUUCCUAAGAACAUGUUUAAUAUCAUGAUUUCUAUGAUUAAUUAUAUUAUAUAUGUCAUCAUCAUAAUGUUGAUUUAUGGAAUUAAAAUGAUAUGGAAAUUGCCUAUAAUUCUAACAACUAUGUUACAGAUGCUCUCUCUCACCACCCUUUGCCUCCAACAGUAUGUGCAGCUGCCACUUCUCUAGUUCCUUCCUGGGUAACACAACCGUCAUCGCCAGCUACCACAAUGACUCUAUGGCUACUACAAUGAUUACCAAAUUGGCAAUUGCUCCAGAUGAUCUUCCACAUUAUUCUCUUCAUUCGAGCUUGCUCCAUUACAAGAGUCGCGUCUAGAUCGGAAAUGAUAAAACUCUCCAACAACACCUCAUUGCUUAGUUGCAUUCCAAUGCUUGGGUGGGCAUUCUGGAGCCCUGGUAACCUAUAUGAAGCUGAAAUAGUGUUUUGCUUGGACGGGAUGAAAACUGCAGUUAAGGAGUUUGUAAACUCGUGUUCUAUAUGUCAAUAGUCCAAGUAUGAUCACUCGAAGUCCCCCAAUCUCUUACAGCCCUUGCCGGUUCUAGUUUCAGCUUGGCAGGUAAUCGCUAUGGAUUUUGUGGAAGGCCUACCGCAAUCUAAUACAUUCAACUAUGUGCUGAUGGUAAUUGAUUUGUUGACAAAUAUGGUCAUUUCAUCCCUCUACCGCUUGCAUGACCUUCCUAGCUCUAUUGUCUCGGAUCGUGACCGUUGUUGAUAUUUGGUAACGCAUUAAGAAAAUGAUCCGUAAGCGCACGGAUAUCGGUGAGCAUUUCACCCAGGAGGUUAUCCAGAGUUAUCGUAUUUAUAUUUUUACCACUUGGAGAAAGGGUGCAUCUGACUAACCAAAUUUAUUGCUACUAUCCCUUUAGGCUACAAAGAAUGUCUCUCGAUGUGAGUGAUGUAUAGAGAAGACUGCAGCCGUAGUCUCAUUCUAACCUUGGUAAGGAUGAUCUACUAUUCUAUUGGGGAGGCUCACGGAAUCUAGACAACACAAAGGAUGUUCGACCCGCACCUAUAAACCUACCCGUCCUGCUAACAAGAUGUGAUCUGCAAAGGUAACUCGGAAUUGUCACGUUCCUCGCUACUACCACGGUCCAGCUAGUCAGGGGAUAUCUAUGAGUACCCUAGCCUAAACACCACGUUUACGCUAGCAAGUGAUUACUCUAAUACUCAACCGGAAGAGGAUUAAAGUAAACUCAUAAACCAAAGAACAAUAAAACAAGAACUUACUAGUAUUAGAAGUCGAAUUACUGAAGAAUCUUAGAAGCAAGCCUCGGGUUAGGAGACUUGAUCCCGCAGGUACAAUUUGGAGUAGACACCGACAGGCCGGCCUUCCUCCGAUCCACACCUCCACUCUAUCUCUCUCAAUCUAGUAGAAACUAGAAGAUCUAUUUCUACUUUACAUUGGUUGCUAAGCCUAAAAAGAAAUAUUAUUUAGAGAAGAGGUUUUCCUUCGAGGGCACCCCUCAAUCUCUAUGAUAAUUUCUUGUCCUCUCCAGGGGCCAGGGGGGUCUCCUUAUAUAGUCCUCCUCCUCUAUGCGUUUUUGGGUCGGUAGGCGAGGUGGUACUAUGUUUUCCUUGAUCCAAUAGGUCGGUGGAACGUCGUGUGCGAAGAGAGUCCGGAACGGAGUCCAGAGGUGGGCGGGCGCCCAGGUCCUCAGGGCGGGCGCCCUGGGCCUGGCCCCUCUCGGCCUCUGCUUCCUUCCCGUGGCUUCUGGAGUCUUCUAGAUGGUAGAAAAUUACGCGGUGCGUUGAUAGCUCUAUGUAAUCCUGACAUGUGGGCCUUUCUUCCUUAUUUCCUGAUAACCCCUGCAGAAAUAGACAAACACCAAAACUCGUGGAAUUCUGUCAGAUAAAACCCUAAGUCUAGAUGUUGAUUUCAUUUGGAUCCUUUUCUUUGUUUAUUUGAUAAUUAAAUUUGAUACUUAAGGACCGUCAACAAACUCCCCCAAGCUUACCUCUUGCUCGUCCUUGAGCAAGGAUGAACUCAAGAGUUUCUGCAGUGGUUUCAUGCCUUAAAAGUACACACGCAUUCAAGCAAGAUCUCAUCUCUGAGUUAGAAUAAACUGUUAAGACUUAAAACAUACUCAUUUUACCUUCACCAUGGGGCUUGUAACCGUCACUUGUGUCUUGAGCAGUUAAAAGAUAGAACGGUCAAGUCAAGCGCCAUGUCUCUUAUUCUUGAUCAGCUAUAGCUCUGGGGUUUUUACAGAUUUUUCAAAUAAAACUCAGAGAUUCCUUAUAUGACUCUCUCAGAUCUCUCUUUUGUGGUAUUUCUGGAUCCUUACCAAGGCAGUAAUGGUACAUGCCUUCUCUCAAAGUAUGUGGUAUUUUUGGUAUGAGGCAUAGUGAUAUUGCCUUCUCUCUCACCCUACUCUAAUAAGGUUCUGAUAUCUGGAGCUCAUAGGUGGGAGACAGCUAAUACAUACUUACAAGACAUUUAUUGCAUAGUCAAACCAUGGAUCCAGAGAAACAAGUCAAUAAGUCAAAUCAAGAUGUGCAUGUGUGGCGAAUGAAUGGCGUAUGGUGAUGAUGGUGAUAAUAGUGGUGAAAGUCUAAUUCUACUUUUGCUCUUUUGAGGGGAUACAUACCUUUCUUGCACUUUGAAGCUUUUUGGGGAGAAUGAGAUGCUCUAUAUUUUCUUUUUCUUUCCUCUCAGGUGGGUAUCUUGUACCCCUAAUUCUACUGUCGGACACUUGUCCAUUUUUACCUCUCAUCUCACUUUUUUCUUUUUCUUCGAGGUUCCGGGCACUUGCCCCUUUUUAUUUCCUCGUAUUUUUUUUUCUUCUCUCUUUUUUUUCUUUCUUUUUUUUCUUUUUUAGAGCACUCAUCUCCUGAAAUAAUGUAGCAAGUGGUAGUAACCAAAAUAACUGGAGCAUUUAUUUCAUAGGGAAUAACAGGGAUUGGAAAAUGUUUUUGGCUAUUCUCUCCCGGAUUAGGAGUAGAAUAAUUUCAGGUGAAUGUGGAGAUGGAAAUGAGUGAAUAUAUGUGGAUGGUACUUCCGGAGUAGAAGUAGCAUGUAUGAGUGAACGUGCAAGUGAAUCUUGAUUUUAACCACAUGACAAGCUCCUAAGGGUCUACACAGCUUGACUACACUCAAUGCUCAUAAGCAGUAAAAAGUAAAUAUGUGGCUCAAAGUCUAGCAAGCAUGUAUAUAUGGCUGUGGUAGGAUUUUAAACUCUCAUCAUACAGGAACUCAUCAUGUGUUAUUUUAAAGAUUUUCAAAGAUAAAAUUCUCCAGAAUUCUAGCAUCUCUAGGAACAGAUAAACAGCAGCUCAACCUUUCCAUAUCAUAUCCGUUAACAACUUAGACUUUUGAUCAGGUACUCCUCCCACAAGUUUAGUUUAGAGCAAAUCUUACUUCAUAAUAGUCAUGCCUAAACUUGAGAGAGAUUUCAAUUUUAAGAACUAGUCAUGGCAGAGCAACUAUUCAUCAUUUCCAUGUGAGAGUUUAUCAUGAGUGUUCAUAGCAAACUUUAUUUAUUUAUUUAUUUAGCAAACUAAGCAAAGAUAUAUAUAUAUAUAUAAGCACAAAAUUUUUAUUUGGGUUUUUAUGAUUAUGCAUCUUUUAUCAUUUGAGUAAAGUAUAAACGCGAGUAGAAAUACUUAGCUGGAUAAAUGGGGGUGCUCUCCCCCAAGCUGGAUUUUGACGUAAUUUCUUCUGAUGUAGCUAGCAGGUGAUGGAGGUGUAUUUGAAAGUCGGCAGCACCCUCACAGCAAUUUGGAUGUCCUCCGUCUGCUAGUCUUCUUGAUUCUUAAAUUCUGUAGAGCUCAAAUAGACAACAAAGCUUUGUGGAACUGGUUAAGUGUUAGCAUAAAUAUCUAGCCUUUAUCAUGUUGAGCCUCCUCAAUAAAUAUUACUUAAUUAGCAGGAUCAUGCACUUUUUAUUUUUAUAUUUUUAUUGUAAGAUGAAAAUUUAUUUAUUUUAUUUUUAUGCCACCACAGUGAAUGUACUUAUGAGUUUUAUGCCAUGAGCAAACUCACAUGGGGCUUACUAUUUUUUUUUAACAUUUUUUUAUUUUCUUUUUAAGAUAGCAUGAACCUGAUUAACUAAGCAAACUAUAAUUGAAUAAUUGAAAGGAAAAGGAUAACUACCAAGUUUACCUCUUGGCAAGGCGUUCGGUGUUUUUAAGUCCUCCGAACGGGACUCUCCGUUUUCUCAGUCGUCCUGGGAUUCGCUAGGUGGCGUAGUCGGUGGUUCCGGCGGCGCCUCUUCUUCGUGUAUAACUAUCUUCUCUCUCCACACCUGACUCGGUGCUACAGUCUCCUCAGGAUAGUUGUAUUCAAGCUGUAUGUCUUCAGUCCUUAUCACUUCUCCUUCGUAGUCUACCCAUCCGUCCUUGAUGAUUUGCCCACUCUGGUUGCGGUUGUGUUGUCUUCUUCUUGUCCUAAUCUGCUUAGAAUCUUCAACUAUAUAGUUAGAAUCAUUAAAGUAGUGGCGUACCUUCUCAGAGGGGAAGUGCAUGUGGACUUCUCCGGUUCCAAUAUAGAUAAUGGCUUUGAUAGUGCUGAGGAACGGUCUUCCAAGGAUGGUGGAUGGAUCAUACUCGUCUUCUCCCAUGUCAAUGACCUGAAGAUUAUCUGGAGCUGAAUGUAUGUUGGUUAUAGGGGCAUGGUUUCAUGCAGGAGCUGAUAAGUGACUGCGGCCAUUAUGUUGUCGUCAGAUCCGGUGUCGUAGAGUGUCUUCUGAAAAGAGUAUCCGUUGAUUGUGUACUCGAUGCUUGGAACACCAGGGUCGUUCUUCUUGAUCAAGAAAGGUGACUUGAGUCGACGAUCUUGACCUCCUUGAGCUGCAGUGACCAUCUUAGCUGACUCGGUCCACAUUUGCUUGUUCCUGUUCCUCCUGUUGGUCCUCUUCCUUGGUUCAUGUCGGGAUUGCUCUGAAAUUUGUGUACUCUUGUUCUUGAAGGAAAGUCUCCUUCUUCCCCUUGAUGUAGAGACUAAUCUUGGCAGCAUUAGCGUAGAUGACAGCUCUGGUGUUUAGGAAUGGCCUCCCUAAGAUGAUGGGUGCCCUCUCCUCAGUACCAAUCUCUAUCACCAUGAAGUUUGCUGGAGCGUACAACGUACCAACUCGGACACAGAGGUUCUUCAAUAUUUCCUUUGGGAAACUAAGUGUCUCAUCUCCAUUGUGUUUGUGCUCGUAGAUCCCGGUUCUUCACUUGGUGAAAUCUGGGAGUUGUAAAACUCCUCCAUGUUUUGUUUGAAGUGUACCUAUUCAUAGAGACAAGGCAGAGAUCAAGUGCAUGGGCCCUGUUGGUGGAAAACACCAACAGAACCAAAAGUGUAUUUGUUCUUCUCUAACCUUAAGCAUAGUGAGCAUGACAAAGUUGAUAGAUCAUGAGUGUAGCAUUUAAAACAUUUGUUUGAUCAGAUGGCUCAACCUAAUGGAAAGAUAAUCUAUCUAUAUUUAUGUUUUGUUUAUAUCUUCCAAAGAUUGAAUGUGCAACAUUUUAGCUUAUAUGAUUAGGAGUGUGGGAUCACGAAGGUAGUACUAAGAACAAAGAUUAAGGACUAAACAUGUUGAAUUAAUUGAGUUGGUUAAUCUGGAGUUAUAAAUCAUACAUGUUUGUCUCUUUAUUUAUGUGAAUGCUAGAACCAAGGAGAAGCUUAUAAAAGCGAUAGUCAAGUACCUUAAAAUGUUACCUUACUUGAAGAGUGACGGUACAGUAUCACCUUGUGGAAGCUUUCCUUUCUUAGCGGUUGUGCAUCGUGUUUGUGGCACCCUCCAUGAAUCAUCUCUUAUGAGGUACGUCUUUCUUGUGCAAAUUGUUAAACUUCAUGUGUCACUUUCUUCAUCUCCAAUGUGAGUUUUAUCUCAGGACUUCCCAGGUUGAUAUUGAAAGUUUUCCUGCAGGGGUUAGCCCGACAAAAUAUACCAAUGCCUACUCAAGUAGUUUUUUAGUUCAGUAACCAAACUAGACUCCAUGUCUAAUCAGAUUAAGGAAGGCUGUUUAACCUAAGCACCACACUUAAUUUAAAAGCCAAUAGAAGUAUGUGCAGUACUUCCAAACUCACACUUACUAGAGUAAACAAAGGUAGCAUGAUGGCUUAUAGAGAUCUACUUACGUGGAGAUGAAGUAGUGUGAUUAGUAUUUAACAAAUUGAGCAUGUCUCAAAGGUAAGGACAACCAACAUAGUAGCAUGGCAAAGGAUGUUUUAUGUAAAGUACUCCCCCAAGCUUGAAUUUUGCAAAAUUCAAGAUUGGAUGAAUUUAAUUUAAUGUUGCAUGAUGAUUGGUUGGGCAUACCUUGCGCUUGUCAUUCAUCCGUUCUUCUUGCUCCAAUCCUGGAAAGGUUAGUGACAAGAAUACCCGAAGGAAUAUUUCUAUAAUUAUCUCAAUAUGCUCAAUACACAAGGCAAUGUUGCAAAUAAUUAGAAGUUCAUGUUACGAUCUGAUAAGUGCUUGUUUAAGGACGCUAAGCUUAUCCUUGGGAAACCAUCAAGUUAUGUUGGUGAAGUGGUUUCCCCUCCAACACCUACCUAUAUCAAGAUCAACUCAACGAGAUCUAUAAUAUUUAUUAUAGACAUAUGCAUCGACAACUGCCCUUUUAAAGUUUUUAUAAAUAGAAAGGAAGAGGGGGUUGGAGAUCUCAAAUGUGGUGAUGAUGGAGAGACCGAUUGAUUGGGGAGAUGUUUUAUAUGAGCAAGGACUUGGUAAGGUAUUUAUGAAAUAACAUCCAUGCUCACUGUUGUUUCUCUCAUUCUCAAACUCCAAGGAUGAUUCUUCAUGAAUGCUUAAAAUUCCUCUAGGAUUGUCUCUCAAGUUUGUUUUAUCUAUCCAUUCAAUGGUGAUAGCACAUGGAUUUUUAAUGCCCUCUAGCCAUUGAUGUUGCUCUUCUCGAUCCUCCUUCUUAUGCAUGGGAUGUCUCGAGCGAUUCAUAGGAUUAUCGAGAGGUUCAAGAGAAAGAGCAUAGUAGAAACUAUUAAGCUCAAGGAUGGGAUGGAUAGCCGAAUUAUGGGAUUGAAAUGUUUGGAAAUUGGCUAUGGAAACUUCCUUUCCUCGUCUGGGAGAUGAUUCCUUCUCUAUCUCUAUGAUUUUUCUAUGAAGACUAGUACAAGAAGGAUGUCCACAAAUGAAGACAUACCUUCCUUUACUAAUAGAUAAAGAAAGAAAGACUCUACCAUAGGUUAUAUGAUUAAGACCAAUGUGAAAAUAUCGAGAAAAAACAUGGUCUUGUAGGGCUAGGUCUAAACCAGAAUUUAUAAAAAGAUUAACAGAUUCCCUAGGUGUAGCUAAAAGUGCAUUAUCUUCUUGAUUAAAAGAUAGGACCUCGGCUAUAGAAAAGGGUUGGUUUUGACCUAUUACAAUCAACUCCGGACACAGAUCAUAAUUAGGGGCAGGACGUGUUGACUCCCAUGGUCUAUGGCUGGUCUCCGAAGAUGCAAAGAAUUCAAUAAUAGGUAUGGAAUUUGAGUUAUCCAUAAAGAUAAAAAUAAAAAGAUAAAAGAAUAAAAGUAUAAAAGUAUAAUACAAGAUAAUAGCAAGACUCAAAGUUAUCUCAGCAAACCGUCUUUCUCCCCGGCAACGGCGCCAGAAAUGCUUGUUGAUAUUUGGUAACGCAAUAAGGAAAUGAUCCGCAAGCGCACGGAUAUCGGUGAGCAUUUCACUCGGGAGGUUAUCCAGAGUUAUCGUAUUUAUAUUUUUACCACUGGGAGAAAGGGUGCAUCUGACUAACCAAAUCUAUUGCUACUAUCCUUUUAGGCUACAAAGAAUGUCUCUCGAUGUGAGUGAUGUAUAGAGAAGACUGCAGUCGUAGUCUCGUUCUAACCUUGGUAAGGAUGAUCUACUGUUCUAUUGGGGAGGCUCACGGAAUCUAGACAACACAAAGGAUGUUCGACCCGCACCUAUAAACCUACCCGUCCUGCUAACGAGAUGUGAUCUGCAAAGGUAACUCGGAAUUGUCACGUUCCUCGCUACUACCACGGUCCAGCUAGUCAGGGGAUAUCUAUGAGUACCCUAGCCUAAACACCACGUUUACGCUAGCAAGUGAUUACUCUAAUACUCAACCGGAAGAGGACUAAAGUAAACUCAUAAACCAAAAAACAAUAAAACAAGAACUUACUAGUAUUAGAAGUCGAAUUACUGAAAAAUCUUAGAAGCAAGCCUCGGGUUAGGAGACUUGAUCCCGUAGGUACAACUCGGAGUAGACACCGACAGGCCGGCCUUCCUCCGAUCCACACCUCCACUCUAUCUCUCUCAAUCUAGUAGAAACUAGAAGAUCUAUUUCUACUUUACAUUGGUUGCUAAGCCUAAAAAGAAAUAUUAUUUAGAGAAGAGGUUUUCCUUCGAGGGCACCCCUCAAUCUCUAUGAUAAUUUCUUGUCCUCUCCAGGGGCUAGGGGGGUCUCCUUAUAUAGUCCUCCUCCUCUAUGCGUUUUUGGGUCGGUAGGCGAGGUGGUACUAUGUUUUUUACUUGAUCCAAUAGGUCGGUGGAACGUCGUGUGCGAAGAGAGUCUGGAACGGAGUCCAGAGGUGGGCGGGCGCCCAGGUCCUCAGGACGGGCGCCCUGGGCCUGGCCCCUCUCGGCCUCCGCUUCCUUCCCGUGGCUUCUGGAGUCUUCUAGAUGGUAGAAAAUUACGCGGUGCGUUGAUAGCUCUAUGUAAUCCUGACAUGUGGGCCUUUCUUCCUUAUUUCCUGAUAACCUCCUGCAGAAAUAGACAAACACCAAAACUCGUGGAAUUCUGUCAGAUAAAACCCUAAGUCUAGAUGUUGAUUUCAUUUGGAUCCUUUUCUUUGUUUAUUUGAUAAUUAAAUUUGAUACUUAAGGACCGUCAACAACCGCAUCUUCACUAGUCACUUUUGGUCAGAGUUGUUCAAGUUGGCUGAUGUUACCCUCUGUUGCAGCAUUGCCUAUCACCCUCAAUCUGAUGGUCAGAAUGAGAGGCUUAACCAAUGCUUGGAGACAUAUUUACGCUGCUUCGUGCAUGCUUGUCCAACAUGUGGAGCCAAUGGUUAACUUCAGCUGAAUUCUGGUACAACACAAGUUUCCAUUCAGCUAUUGGUCGCACACCAUUCAAGGCAUUGUAUGGCUAUCCUCCCCGCCUCUUGGCUAUCGACCCCUCUAUAACUGCUCAUUCUGAGGUAAACAUGUGGGCUUCAGACCGACUGUGGAUGGAUCACCUUCUCCACCAUCACCUCUCUAGAGCUAAGAACCGUAUGAAGCAACAAGCUGAUCAGAAUAGAUCAGAACACACCUUUUCAGUUGGUGAUUUGGUCUAUCUGAAGUUGCAGCCGUAUGUGCAGUCCUCCUUAGCCCCUCGCUCCCACCAGAAGUUGGCUUUUCGUUUCUUCUGGCCAUACCGUAUUAUGGAACACAUCGGUACCGUGGCUUACAAGCUUGAUCUUCUGCACACUCUGCAAAUUCAUCAAGUGUUUUAUGUCUCCCAACUGAAGCAAGCCGUCAGUGCUGCUCAUUAGGUAGUUCGAACCUUACAUACUGACUUUGCUAUUCAUUUAGCUCCAUAAAAGAUCCUGCAGUGCCGCACAGUGGUUCACGGCUCCUCCAAUAUCUUCUAGGUGAUGGUGAAGUGGAACAAUCUACCAGAAGCUUUGGCCACUUGGAAGAUUUUGAGGCUUUUGGCCAGAAGUUUCCGAGUCCCAAGGGGAGGGAAUGUCAGCCGUUGUCAUGACCAAAUCCAAGUAGAAGAAGUCACACCUAAGGCCCAACCCAGGGAGCAGAGGUCCAAGAAGCCGAACCCGAAGAUCUUUGGCGAGCAAUGGGCCCAAAGAUAUCACUUGCAUGCUUAAAGAGGCAGCGCCUCUGUAAUGGCUAAUGAGUAUAAGACUUAGGCCUUGUCCAGUUGCCAAUUUCUUUAGUUUCGAAUACUGUAGUAUUUUUAUUUGUAUUUGAUAAAUAUUAUCCAAUCAUGAAUUAACUAGGCUUGAAAGAUUCAUCUCACAAAUUACAGACAAACUAUAUAAUUAGUUUUUAUUUUUAUCUAUAUUUAAUAUUCUAUACAUGUGCUAUAAGAUUCGAUAUGAUGUGAAAUCUUGAAAAUUUUUGAGAGAUGGGACAUGUUUUUAUAGGAAACUAUUCUAAGGCCUUGUUUAGUUCCCAAAUUCCCUGUCACAUCGAAUCUUGCAGCGCAUGCAUGAAGUAUUAAAUAUAAAUAAAAAUCUAUACCUAUCUACAAAGAGGGAAAAUUUCAGUCUGCCCAAAAAUUUUCUGCCCACCGUAUCCGCUUCCAUCUAGAAUCCGAGGCUGGUACGUUGUGGAGUAGAAAAAAAAAGAAUAGAAAUUUUUCUAGGGUUACCAAUAUAAAAUCUCUUAUAUAUAUUAGAGUAUAUUAAAAAUAAACAAGGAUCUAAGUGCAAAUCUAUCCUCUCUGCAUCCGUCAAUCGGCCUGUAGGGAGACUGCUGGAAGAGAAUUUUUUUUUUCUAAGGUUCUCAAUGUAAAAUCUCCUAUAAAAUUAAUAAAUUUAUAGUAAUUCAUAGAUAAAUCUAAAAAUUACAAAACAAAUGUUGUUUAGCUCCACAUAUUUAGAUCCAUGUAGUAAAAAAAAAUAUCACAAAUUUUAGUAUAUUUGUUUUUGUUGGAAAUGCUUGCCUAUACUUUUUAAUGUAAAAUUAAAAUUGUAAUUAUCUUACUCCAAUUAUUAUCAAAAUUUUAUGAUAGCCUAUUUAAUGUGAUGCUUGAUUUGUGGUAAAAGUUUUAACACAAUUCCUGUAUAUCUCACUGAUUUACUAAUUUACCUAAAUUUAUGCUUGAGGAUACUUCCACUACCUUUACAUGAUGUGGUGUUAUGUCAUAUGAACACUUUAUAAGUCCAUAUGUUCAUAAUCUAUAUACAUUUAACUGAUAUAUCAUAUUUUAUAAGAAUCCUAAUCUAAAUAAAAAAUAAAGCUAGCAACAAACUUCUCAUGUUUUAAUAUAAUACUAAAGUAUAUUAAGAGGUAAUAUUAAAGUAAGAUAAUGUUUGACUAAUUUCUAUUUUUAUUAUUAAAUAAAUAUGUCUCUAAGCUACAUAUUAUUUUAAAUAUUAACUAUCUAAUACCAUAGAUGUCAUGGUUAUCAAUAAAAAAAAUUAUGGACUUCAAAUUUUAUAAAAAAAUAAAUAUAAAUAGAUAUGUAAUAUUAUGUCAUAACUUUCUAUGGUCAUUUGAUGCUUUUCUCCCGUUACAACGCACAGUAAAAAUCAAUCUCAAGAUUUACAUAGACUUCGGCUUACCAAUAAAAAGUGUAUUGUUAGCUUCUUGUCUUUUCACGAACAAUGCACAAAUUGAUAGAAACUUAUACAAUCUAUAUAAAAUCAAAAUCAAAUCUAGAAAUUAUAAUUCAAAAGUUUAUUAGGCUCUUUUCAACCAGAGAGUAUAAGGUGCCAUUACACGUGAAAUAAAAGUCCUAAAAAAUCUAAGAGCAUGUAUAUAAACUAUAUAUGGAUAGUCUGCUUCAAAGUCAGUUUUAAAAGCUUAAAAUUUUUUAAAUUUAAUACAAAGGAUAAAACACAAAUAAAUAUAACAAAGUGCACAUUUUCUACGGACGUCUAUUUGCUCCCGUAGCAACGCACGGGCAUAUUUUGCUAGUAAUAACUAAUUAUACAAUUUGUCUAUAAUUUAUGAGAUGAAUCUUUUGAGCCUAGUUAAUCUAUUAUUGGAUAAUAUUUGUCAAAUUAUCAAAUACAAACGAGCAAUGUCUAUUUUAUAAAUUUUUUUAAACUAAACAAGGCCUAAAACCUAAACCUAAGAACUUCCGACUACUGUUCUUCUUCCUCCGCCGUCCCCCUUCCUUCUCCGCUCUUCCAAUCCCCUCCCCACUGCUAUCUCUCACAGUGACUCCUCCGCCUCGUUCCGCGCCCGCCUGACUCCUCCGCCUCCUCCCUCGGCGGCGUCGAGGGUGCGCUCGCCCGCGCGGUGGCCGGGCGGAUCUCGCCGGGCGGCCGAGCUCCCCGGCUAGAGGUCGCCCGCUUCUUCCCCAAUUCCGGCCGGUGAGCCCCACUUCUUUCCCGUCCUUAAGCCGAUGGACGCCUCCGCCGCCGGUUCGCGCGGCGGCCCAGCCCUGCGCUUCCUCUGUCCUAAGAUAUCCCUACUCUCCCCGCCCUCGCGCUCCUUGCUGCGCUGGCUCGUCGGUGCGCCUCGCGUCCUCCCUCCCUUCACCGUCGCUGCUGUCUUACGUCCCACUCACGGCGACCACGCCGCCCCUGAUCUCCCCAGGGAAGCAGGCAAGUCUCACCAACCCACUCUCUCAACCGCUCAUGAUUCCGCCUGACGAUCUCCCUAUACCUCUAUGCCUCCCGCAGAUGAAAUCCGGGGGUUGCUGCCGCGGGGUUUCGACAUCAUCGGGGCAUUGCUCGUGGGGGGAGGGGGUUCUGAUGCGGACGUCACUUGCGCACUGGAGCAGGCUCGGGUGCUGAGGGAGCUGCUGUUCGGUGUGGCGGCGAGCCAUGGCUUGGUCGGAGGCCACAUGGAUGCAGCCACCGGGGAGAUUCGAUUUGUUCUAUCCGAGAGCGGAGGGACGGACUCGGUGGAAGGGUCUGUGGUUACAUGGGAGGAUGAGCCGGGGAGGUUGUUGUGGGAGAAGGGAUGCCUCCUGCGCUGCCAACUGCCCCUGAAGCUUCCACUCUAUCUUAGGCCUGAUGUGAAUUCUGGUAAAUGCUCGGAAGCUUACCUGCCUAUUUAAUCAUUUACCGUACAAAUGAAUGGGCAAAAGUUCAAUCAAUCAUGAUAUGAUGUGUCUUGACAUCUAUUUGAAGAACAUGGAGUUCUGUGAAUUCUUUUUGCUGCAACUGGUUCAAUUUUUUGGAUUAUUAUAUAUUGUGUUAGGAUACUGCUUCUACCUUAGUAUGUGCUUAGAAAAAAAUCAUUGUUCUUAGCAAUUCUCAUUUCAGAACCCACCCGUGAUCUGUGAAGCUAAUAAUUGGUUGGAUAAGGUGGCAAGUUACUACAUCUUGCAUAGCUGGAGGGUUUUGUUUCAACUAUGUGAUUUCUUAAGCCUGUCAAAUAUUCAAAUAUGAAAGAAGCUAUUAGAGAGCUUCUGCAUUUCCAUAUUCAAUAAACAUAUAGAGAAUCUAGAAUCUAAAACCAAACAAUAUGAUUGUAACAACAUACAAGAGGUGGAUCGCCUCUUGCUUCUUGUUCUAACUGAAACUAAAAUUUUGCAUUAAAUCAUUGAGCUAAUGUAACAAUUCAAAUUAAUCAAAUAUUAAAAUGACGAACUGUGUUUGUAAACCUAUUUAUCAUGAACAAAUUGUUACUAAUUUUUAACUUGCACAUAGAGUUUGCAUGUACAUGCAGUCGUAGAUCAAUUCACAGAAUAUCCUUUAGAGGUGAAGGUGGAAGAACAUACCGCUACAACUAACACCAGUGUAAUUUCUAAAAUUGUAGUUAGCAAAGAACAAAAAGGUUUGACUGUGCAUAAUCAUGUCUGACUGUACUAGUAGUUUAUAUGAAAUCUGUUUUUUUCUCUGUUUAUGGUAUAAACAGUUGUAUCGGGUAGUUAGGUGCCAACUAUCUGCUUCUGAAGGGAAUGAGAUAACUUUGUUGUGUGUUACUUUGAAGGCAUCGAAGAACGGUUUUCUUCACUUAUUGAAUCUACAAUUGCUAAACUCAGAGAUCCUCAUGUAUCGUAUUUAGUUGAGGGGCCAAUUACAUCUAGUGAAUCACAUCAUUCUAUUAUCUUGCGUGGUGAUGAUUUAAGCUUUGAUUCACAUACACAUGGAAACUCAAGAAAGAACAAUUGUACCACAAGUAUUGUAUCUUGUUCAGAAUUCUUCACAGAAAAGAGGUACAACUUCUCAUUGACAAGAGAGGUAAGCUGAUACUCAAUCAAACUUGUUCUUUAAAGUUAUUUUUGAGGACUGUAGUUAUUAUCGAAUUGGCUCGCUUAUCUUUCUUGUAUAAGCAUCAAAAUUGAGUAUAAUUGUUUAUUUUUCAUGAAGAUCUGUUAUAAAUUGAACUGAGGGGUUGUGUGUCAAUAUAAAAUAUAUGAAAGCCAGCUGCUAAUGAGCUGCCAUUUCUUUUCUGGAGUUCUAUAGUUGGAUAAAUGGAUAAUGCAGAGUGCUUUUUCCAUGCAUACUUCUGUAUCACAUGACAUCUUGGGUCAAAACUUUCUACAAUUUCUGUUUGCUAGAAUGCAGAUGCAAUUGCAAUAACUGUCAACCAAUCAGCGAGUAGCUUGAAGCCUGGCACUACCCCUGUGGUAGAGUACUUUCCUGGUAAUUAUGUUACCCGUGUUCAAAUUCUGCUUUUCAAAGUUGACUUUUUCACCAUAUUGCUUUAAAUGUUACCAGCAGACAUACAUUUUCUUUUUUAGCGAAAUUAUGUAAGGACCUGUUUGAAUCCUAUGAAUUGAAUCUGAUUCAAGUAAUAGGAUUCCAGCAAUUGCUUUCAUGGAAAUUGAAUCGGCCAGAAUUUAAUUAGAAUAUAACAUUCUUGUUUGGAUGUACAUAUAAUAUUUCCAAGAAUUGAAUUACAAAAACUGUUUGGAUAAGAAAAAGUGGAAAUCAUCAAACCCCUUAUCUGUUACGUCUCCUGCAAUGCACGUUGGGCCCUGUGGACGAUGACGCCUUGGACCAGCCAGCGGCCAUGGCCAUGGCGCUGUUGUGUCUAAGUUGCUGUCACUGCCUCCUUCCCACGCCACCUCCACCUGGCCCUGCCGCCUCCUUCCAGAGAAUCCAUGCAUGUGAGAGAGGGAAAUAGAUAUAGCACAUGCCAGCAAUCUGUGUCGAGCAGUCAAGGAGAGAGACACAGUAGUAGUCGAGAUUUGAGAAGGACUAGGUUCGCACCCGUGUGUUGCUAUGGGCAAAACAAAUAUAGAAUAUAGUCAAUAUAAAAUAAGUAACUUAAUUUGUAGAAGCAUUUUAUUAAAUAUAUGCUCAUAGCUGCUCAAAACCAUUCAAAAACUCAAAUAUCCAAAAGUAAAAACAUAAGCAAGUCUAGAUUCUCCUAGUUCUCCUAGCAGUCUCUUGCCAUCAGUUUUUUUUUGUAUUCUAAAGUCCAUCGUAUUCUUAGCAGAGGAUAAACAUGUGAUGCUUAAUUUUUACACACCUUCUUAUGCUUGGCUUUCUUCUGACUGUUUCUUCAGUUUGCUUGAUCUUGCAACACUCUCAGAUUAUUCAGUGGCAGCACAGUUAGAUUAUACUUACAGGAGUAGACGGCACAAAUAAAAUAACAAUUAUUCAAAAAAAUAUAUGAUGCAAAACAGACAAAUGCAAGAUGCUGGGCAACAAAAAUAAAAUUACGCAAGAGAAAAACAUAAUCCAACUCAUGGAAGAUGCACUUUUAAAGGCAACUAUCACUGUGCCUUGAAUUAAUCCUCCGGCUUCUUAUUAACCCCAUUACAGCUGAAGCCUUAAUGUGAUGUGAGUUUGGAAUCAAAAUUGAAGAGUCAUUUGUGGAUUAUCUACAAGAGAACUAAUGCAGGUAGAUUGUCAGCAAGUUUGCAAACACACACACACACACACAUGUGAUUGCUAAAGAAAAUCAGAAAAAAAGCAGCGCAAAGAGGAUGAAAAUAUUAUAUGUUGAUUAUGAUAGAUCUCUUAAACUUAAUUUUCAGUAUAUCUUCUGCAUCACAGAAACAUGCUACAGUCAAUUCUUUCUAUUUUAUAUGAAACUAAUGUAGCAUCUAAGAUAAUCUCCUAGAACUUCAGGUACAUUGUACACUGUACAAUAAGGAUUUAGCAGCUUCCAACCAGCCUUGAGAUCUCGGGGGACCAUGAUCUCGCGAUGGCUUCUCACCAACUUCAGAUUCAUCUCCCCCAACACAGGCCAUUUUAUUCAAACAAAAGAACACAAACAAUGCAAUCAAUCCUGCAAGAUGUUGUUAUGGAUAAAUAGAGUAAUUAACUCAUUGUGUUGCUUUCAGAACCUAGGCACCACAUAUAUUGCUUCCAGUUAAUCAGCAUACCUCUAAUCCUGGCUUCCGAACAAGAAUAUUUUCUCACAUGUUCCAAUUUGACCGAAACUGAUCCUGUCAGACCUUCUGAUGCAAUUGAGGAACAAUAGCACACCUCUACGAGCAAAGGCAGCUCUUCAUCCCUGGAUUGAUCUAUGGCUAGAAGCUUUUGUGUAACCUUUUUAAUUUUUUUUUUGUAUUUUGUUUCGUAAGUUCUCCUUUGUAAGUGAGCAACUUUCUGUUUUUUCAAUAAAGCUUUCCAGUAGGGUGCAAACCCCUCCUGUUCUGUAAAAAGCACACCUCGAACAUGCUAAAUCUCCCUAUCAGCAUUGAUCAAAUCUGUAACCAUCACAAACUCCAAUAUCUCUGCAAGACUUCCCUGCAUCAAAACCAAACAACAUGUUCGCUUCAGUUCAAAUGCCUGCAAAUGAAAAGUAGGUGGUCGCUGUAGAACAGUGGCGACUAGACUUCAUCCUGGCCUGCGCUGGCCUAUCGACUGUGUAAUGUAGCAUGGGGUCCUGCCUCGUUGGUUGAGUCAAUCGCAGCCCUUCUCCUAAUGCAUCCCUGGAAAACUGUGUGUUGGUUCCCGUGCAUUGGGGGUGGCUCGUGCCGGGGCUGGGCUGGUGCGGCAUUGGGAGGCAAUGUCCCAGGGCAGUGGGGGCUGGGCUGGAGCGGUGUUGGGACGCGGCGGCGCGGAGAUGUGGUGGCUCGGGGCGGAGCAGCGACUGAUGGACACGGGGUAGCAGCAGGGGAGGCAUUGUGGGCAAGGCAGGGCAACAUUGUGGCGCUGUGGUGGAGGCAGGGUGGUAGAAGUUAACCUGCACAGAACACAACAAAUAGGACAACCAUGAAACUGAAAUUAGUUACGGAUAGCUGCCGACAAUGGAGAAGAGAAGAUAUAUUACCUCAAAGGCUUGCCGGUAGGUGCUCGUGGGCCUCCUCUUGGUGGGUAGCACAAGGAUGGCGGGUGAGGGCGAUGACGGCACACCCAACGCAGUUGCUCGCUGGCCUGUGGCCUCCUCUUGGCCGGGAGGAUGAGGGCGGCACACGACGGGCAGAGAGUAGACUAUGGUCACGAGGAUGGGGAGGUACAGUGGUGGACGUCGUGAUGAGAACACUGCCGGCAACAACGGUCUUGGACGCUCGGUCGUGUGAUGGGAUUGACUCGACAGCUGAGGCCUUUUUUCCUACAACAAAGCUGAUGCCUUGAGGGGAUCAAAACUGUAACCAUGCAUUCAUGAUUGUGGAAGAAUCGCAUGUGUGGUGGGCUGGACUGGUCUCACACGGUGGUUGAAGCUGGGAGAGAAAGGAAAACCGAUGUCAUGGGGUCGUGGGAACGAAAUCAGAGGAAGGCCGAAGAAAACCGUCGGGGCAGACUGACACACUUCCUUCUUCGUAUAGUAGAGAUUUGCAGUCAUUGGGUGCUAGCUGCUGGGGCUCAUCGGUGCUGGGUGGUGUGCGCACGCUGCGUCGUGACUUCGGGUCUGCGUUGCCAUGGCGGUGCGACGACGAUCCUGGCCGAAUCUGAGGACUUAGGUGUCAAGCUGCAAGCGAUGAGUUGAUGUGCUGAGUUGAGGAGGCGUGCUGCUGCAGCGACAGCGGCAUGCGGCUCCGGGUCUGCCCUGCUGUGCCAGUGCGACGAUGAGCCUGGCCACAGCCAAGGAGGAGGAACUUGGUGUGGUCUGGACGAGUCGAGGGGGCGGCGGCGCUCGGGAGGAGUCGGGAGAGAGAUGAGGGGUGGUCUGGAAUUGUAUUUCUCAUUUUAGCCUGUGAAUUUUUAGUAGGCUGCUGUUUCUGGUCGUGGAAAUGGGCAGAAUGUUUGCUUUCCGAUUCUUGGUUCAUCCAAACAAGAUUGCCCAAGAAAGUAAUUUCAAUUCAUCCCAAUUCAUAGGAUCCAAACAUGUACUAACAGAAGUUUGCUUGUCAAUUCUUUUGAUUCCUUUCUAGUCCUUCCCUCUUUCCACUUUAAGUGUGGUAAUUUGUGUUCUCAUGUUGCUGAAAAUACCUUGUUUUCUUUUUUUUUAGCCUCAGCACCUGCCAGCCUCAGAGUAAUCAUCUUGAAGCUUGAUAUACUAUGCUACACAUCAAUAGAUUUUCCAGUGGCAGCUGCUGUAUCUGAACUUGUUAUUCCAGGAUUAGCUGAUCAGAUGAUUGUAAUGAAGAGGAUUAUUGCUUCAGAGAUAACUCAACAAGUACAGGUAUGUGAUUUGCUCAAUGUCACAAUUGAUUAAUUCCCUUUACUGAAGCAGCACAUACACAUGGUGCAUAGAUAUCUUUGUAGAACCACAUAUGGCUUUGGUGUUACAGAUUACUUGAAACCUAGGUCGGAUAAAAAAACACAAGAUCUUUAGCUAUUGCAGUUGCUGCAUGUUUUGGAGUUUAAAAGCUUUGUCACUGCAUAUGUGAAGAUAAUUUUGUUCUCAAACGACGCAGAAGAUUUGUCUCAUUUCAUUAAGAAAGAAAAAAAAGGAAAUGCUAGUAGGCAUCCCAGAGAAGUAUAGUUACAAACGUGCCAUGUACAUUAGAACCUAGGGAUGGCAACAGACACAUUACCCAUGGGUGGAGCCUACAGACACGUGCAAUGAGCACUAUGACUAUUGAGAGCAUAGCUCUUACGGCGUAAAGGCGAGGCACGGCGAUUGGGGGGGGGGGGGGGGGGGGCGCCUGGACGCCUAGGCACCCGCCUUGCUCGCCUAGGCGCCCAUUCUGCAAGGCGAUGGGGGGGGGGGGGGCGCCUGGACGCCUAGGCGACGCAUUGAGAACUAUGAUUGAGAGAGCAAAUGAAAAGGGGCAAGCAAGGUCGUCUUUGUUUUAUAGUCCUAUAUAGGAGGAUUAGAGCAUUAAAGCUCAAGUAGUUCUCUUACAACCUAGUCAGGGCCAUUACUAAAGAUGCCUGCCUGCUGCUUUAUAUGGAGAAACUACAAAAAGAAAGGUGAGCGCUCUCUCUAAUAUAGACCUGUCUUCUCAAACCCGUGUCCAUACCCGCCACCCGUCAAUGUUAUCAGACAUAUGAUUGAGGCUACUCGUGCCACUUCGGGGUCAAUAAUCAGUCCCAUUUAGUCGUCUACGUGCCUAAAUGGCUGAUCAACCAUGUAUAUAUGGUGUAACCAUAAAUUGGCAAAUUGAAGAGGCUGGUUCGCAAUGCUCCCUAUGCAUCAUUAAUGCUUUCAUUGCUGUCUUUGCUGCUUAAUGGCACCCUCUACUGCUGUCUUUACUGCUUGCUGGCAGCCUCCUUGGAAAUAUCUCAGUAUGUGCUUCCUUUAGUGUUGGGCGUCGCCUGGCUUCCUCCCGUGGCUGCUGCCUCUUAAUUCUAGUUUCUCCUAGCCGCCACUUUUCUGCUCAACUGGUGCCCCUCCACGUCCAUACAGCAUGCCAUUCCCUACCAACUUCUCCACUGGCAGCCCCCGGAUUACUCUUCCCUCUGUGUGUUUGGUUGUCUCUGCUACCCCAACCUCAGUGCCACAACAGCCCACAAACUCCCUUCAUUCGACCCGGUGCGUGUUCCUCAGCUACCCUUCCUCUCACAAAGGGUACCGCUGCCUGGACAUGGCCACUCAACAUGUCAUCGUGUCACGACAUGUGCUCGAUGAGUCUGUGUUCCCUUCUGUUGCAGCUCCGUUGGUGGCCUUAUAUGCAGAUCUUUGUGCUGUCAUCCGGUUGCUCCCUCCAGCAGCGAGGCUGAGCAGUAGCUGGACCUCUAGGACUCGACAAUCAUCUAUGCUGGCCCAGUGCACCUUCCUGGUCGCGCCCUGCCCAUACUUCCGAGUGGGCCUCUGGCCCUAGUGCACCUCGCUCCGCGCUCGGGUGGGACUGGCUGUUUUGGCUCCACGUAUAAGCGACGUCCCUGACCCCCUUUAGUGCUCACGAUUGCAAGGCAGCGUGCAUCCGGUUGACUGCUUUGGCUUCUCUGCCAUGACGGCCUCGCCGAUCCCGACCAACUAUUGCAGCGCCCUUUGCUGACCCCAACUAGCGUGCUGCGAUGGCGGUGGAAUACGAUGCUCUCAUCGCCAAUGGCACCUGGCGCCUGGUACCCCGACCGCUUGGUGCCAAUAUCAUUUCUGGCAAGUGCUUGUUCAAGCACAAGUUCCACUCCGAUGGGACCUUGGAUUGGCACAAGGCGCGGUGGGUCGUCUAGCAAGCUGGUGUUGACUACGAUGAGACCUUUAGCCUGGUUGUCAAGCUGAUGAUGAUCCGCACCGUCCCGAGCAUUGCCACCUCGCGUGCUUGGCCUGUUUACCAGCUCGACAUGAAGAACGCCUUCCUCCAUGGUCACCUCGAGGAGACGGUCCACUGCCCGCAGCCAUCUGGCUUCAUUGACUCAGCUACUCCUAACUACGUCUGCCUGCUGCAGAAGUCCCUGUACGGACUCAAGCAGGCGCCCCGAGCUUGGAACCAGUGCUUCGCCAACUACAUCAGCACCAUUGGCUUCGCUAUGUACAAGUCUGACCGUCUCUCUUUGUGUACAAGUUGGAGAUCACGUUGCCUAUCUUGUCGUCUAUGUCGAUGAUCCUCACGGCGUUGUCCACUACGCUGCUCUAGCACAUCACCACGCGCCUCCACUCGAAGUUUGCCAUGACCAACCCGAGUGACCUAGGAUUGUUGUGACAUGGGACCACUCCGACUUGUUUAUGUGGCAGCGACAGUAUGCUGUCAACCCCCUCUAGCAGGCUGGCAUGUUUGUCAGAGUGCCACCCUAUGGCACGCCAGAAGAUGCACGGACCAAGCUGUCCGCCGUUGGUGGUGCCCCGGUCGCCAACCCCUCUGGGUAUCGGAGCCUCGCUAGGGCCCUCCAGUACCUCACCCUGAUGCAGCUUGACUUGGCCUUUGCAGUUCAGUAGGUCUGCUUGCGCAUCUUGCGAUACGUGAAGGGCACGCUCUUCGCUCGGCUCCACCUAGGCACUGGCUAGUUGAUUAGGUCACCGCCUACUCCGAUGCUGAUUGGGCAGGCUGUCUAGAUACACGCCGCUCCACCUUCGGGUUCUAUGUCUUCCUUGGCGACAAUUUGGUGUCCUGGUCCUCCAAACGCCAGACCACAGUUUCCCGCUUCGGUGCUGAGGCCGAACAUCGUGCCGUUGCGCAUGCCAUGGCCGAGUGCCAUUGGGUGCGGCAACUUCUUCAGGAAUUCACAUCUGGGUUCCCUUCCCUUGGCCACUGUGGUCUACUGUGACAAUGUUAGUGCCAUCUAUAUGACUGCUAACCACAUCCACCACCAUCGCACAAAGCAUAUCGAGAUCGACAUCCGCUUCGUUCGCGAAACAGUGGCAUUGGGACAGGUUUGCAUCCUUCAUGUUCCCUCAGCGCACCAAUUCGCGGAUAUCAUGACUGUUAGAUUGUAUAUAUAUAUGUGCUGUGCGUGUGUAUAUGGUAGGCAUGUGCCUGGUAUGGUAGCCGGCCAGCCCUGCUUGAUUAGAGAGAUAUGAGAAGAUCUCGGUUGGUCUUAUUUCUAUAAACCACCGGAUCUUCUCUUCCCUAUUUAUAUAUAUGUACAUAGGUCUCAAUCAAUCCAAUCUAUUAUUCCACGCAAUAUUCAUUGCUUUCAUGGUAUCAAAGACCUAGUUUUUCCUUUCUGGCCGCUUAUUCCCCUGCGCCUGCUCGCUGCCUCUGCACGACCUCGCGCCGCCAUGGAUCCCGGCGCCUGGCUGGCUGAUGGUUCUCUUGAGCGCUACAAAGCGCGUUGGGUUCUUCGUGGAUUCACUCAACGUCCCGGCAUCGACUAUGAUGAGACUUUCAGUCCCGUUGUGAAGCCUGCUACUGUCCGAACAGUUCUGUCUCUUGCGGUCUCUCGCCAUUGGCCAGUGCAUCAGCUUGAUGUGAAGAAUGCUUUUCUUCAUGGGAACUUGUAUGAGACAGUUUACUGUGUCCAGCCUUCGGGAUUUGAGGAUUCAUCUCACCCAGAUUUUUUGUGCCUCCUAAAUCGGUCCCUCUAUGGGCUGAAACAGGCGCCGCGUGCUUGGUACAGUCGCUUUGCAAAUUUUCUUCUUCAUCUGGGUUUUGUGGAAGCCAAGACGGACACCUUGUUGUUCGUGUUUCACCGUGGUCAAGAUACUGCCUCUCUCUUGCUGUAUGUGGAUGACAUUGUGUUGACGGCCUCCUCCACAGAAUUGCUUCGUCGGAUCAUUGCAGCCAGCAAGAGUUCUCUAUGAAAGAUCUGGGUGAACUUCAUCAUUUUUUGGGGAUGCAAGUUCAGCGUACUCCCUCCGGGCUGUUCCUGUCCCAACACCAGUACAUGCUGGACAUUUUGGACCGCGCUGGGAUGGCUGCUUGUAAGCCCUGUUCCACUCCAGUAGAUCUCAAUCCGAAGUUGUCUGCUGAUGGUGACCCUAUUUCAGAUCCUACGGAUUUUCGCAGUCUAGCUGGGGCUUUACAGUAUCUCACCUUCACUCGGCCUGAUAUCGCAUAUGCAGUUCAGCAGGUGUGUCUUCACACAUGCAUGAUCCGCGCGAGCCUCAUCUUGCAGCCCUCAAGCGGAUCCUUCAUUAUGUUCGUGGCACUCUUGACUUGGGUCUUCAUUUGCGUGCUUCUAAUCAGACUGAGCUGGUGGUCUACUCUGAUGCGGAUUGGGCCGGAUGUCCUAACACUCGCAAGUCUACCUUAGGCUACGCAGUUUUUCUUGGUGACAAUUUGGUUUUCUGGUCUUCCAAGCGUCAGAAUACUGUCUCCCGUUCCAGUGCCGAGGCGGAGUAUCGCGCUGUCGCCAAUGCUGUGGCUGAGGCAUCCUGGCUGCGUCAGCUGCUUGCAGAACUUCACACUCCUUUGGGUCAAGCCACCUUGGUUUACUGUGAUAACAUCAACACUGUAUACAUGUCUGCUAACCCCGUUCAGCAUCAGCGUACCAAACACUUUGAGAUUGAUCUUCACUUUGUUCGAGAACGAUUGGCCCUUGGAGCAGUUCGCGUUCUCCACGUCCCGACGACGUCACAGUUCGCUGACAUCUUCACCAAAGGCUUGCCCACUUCUUUCUUCACGGAGUUUCGGUCCAGUCUCAACGUCCGACGACUCGACGCUGUGACUGCGGGGGUGUGUUAGAUUGUAUAUAUAUAUGUGCUGUGCGUGUGUGUAUAUGGUAGGCAUGUGCCUGGUAUGGUAGUCGGCCAGCCCUGCUUGAUUAGAGAGAUAUGAGAAGAUCUCGGUUGGUCUUAUUUCUAUAAACCACCGGAUCUUCUCUUCCCUAUAUAUAUAUGUACAUAGGUCUCUCAAUCAAUCCAAUCUAUUAUUCCACGCAAUAUUCAUUGCUUUCAAUGACCAAGGGUCUUCCACCUUGUACCACUUGUGAUCAAUGUUUUCUGGUCAGCUGGUCGAUCCUGGUCGACCUGGGACCGACCAGGCGAUUAAUCGUGAUUAAUCAGCGACCAUGUUGAUUAAUCGACCCUGGUCGUCCAGGCAUAUCAGCUGGUCGACCUAUAUAUACCCCUCUAUAUAUACACAAUAAAGGAAGCAUUAAGACUGCAUUAGUGUUCAACUGGUGACUUACUUGUGGGAGUUCUUUUCUUCUCUUUUCUGCACUAUCCAUACCUCCAUAUUCCUGUCCCAAACUCCAUUUCUUUGCUGACUUGCUGCUGGUAGCCUGGAACACCAAAGAAACCAUAAUUAUCAAGUAGCAACACUAACGCAGCCUUGAUCUUCACAUACCUUUAAUGCAGUAGCAAAUAACUAACAUUUAACAGAUCAUAGCAGUCACAAGGCCAGCAUAUUACAUAACCAAAGUCCAACUAGUUCAGUACAAAUAAGCGUGUUCAACACAGAGUCACAAGCAUUGACAUUCAAUAGUCCAACAAAAGUAGGAAACUAGCCAUCUAAUCAAGCAAUUCAUCAUUGAAAUGGAACUCUCCAUCUCCAUCUUCAGUUGCAGGAACUUCAUCGAGUUCAUCCUCCUCCAUUACUGUUGCUGAAUCAGAUUCCACAUUCUGAACUUGGUGUUCAUCAUCAUCUUCCUCAAUAUCUGGAGCCACUGUAUUCCUUUGACGCUUCCUGGUCCUAGUGUAAGUGUGACUCACAGGGGCAGGGGCAGGGGCACGAGCAGCAGUCCUGCGCAUGUUACGUCCCUCUAGUUCCUGGGUCGCACCAAUAGCUUCAUCCAGUUGAGCCCAAGUCACAUCAUUACCACCACCUUCCAUAACUGGUCCACAGUUUUCAUCGACCCAUUCACUUUCCCAAUGAAAUUCUUGAAGCAAGAGUGGAUUGCUUCUCUUUCCUUUAGAACCCAGCUCUCUAAUUUUUUUGAAUCUGUUUUCCGUCUUCCGUCUUCCGGUUGUAACUGACAUAUACCAACUUGUUUAACCUUUGAUGCUCUUACCGGUUUCUCUUCUUUGUAUGGACCUACAUAAUGCACCAUCACAAUCACAAUAACAUACCAAUAAUCCAAUAUUGCUAAGGCUACCAAACUCAAUUUAACAGCAGUACAGUAGCACUUACACCAGAAAAUUCACUCCAAUUACGCGCAACAUAGGCUAACAAUCCUUUUUGCUAAACAUUGGAGUUCAAUUGUCAGGCCACCAUAUGCAACACACCAUAGAACUGCAAUUUCCAUUCCAAGCAUAGAAUUCCACUAUUAGUUCUUUGUUGAUUGCUUUUAGAAAAAGAGAAGGAAAUUAGAGAACUUACUAGGAUUUUUUCUAUCUCUGUCUCUUAUUGCUCCUUGCUUUGAGAAGGAUUCACCUUCAGCCCUCUCAUAGUCAUCUGCCUGCUUGCGCUUAUCUUGUUCUGCUCCUCCUCAUCACUCACCAUCUUCCACAUUAUAUUAUUAAACAUGGUCCUCACUCCUCAGCCUUGCGGCUUGUCUCAUGUUUUUUUUCUCUUAUGGCAAAGAAUUUGCUUGGAUUUAAGUAUAGCGCUGCUCCGUACAGCUGCUGUUCCAUUUGGUUUUCCUAUCUCUUAUCAUAGUAUGUUAGUACAUCCCUGAGUAAAUCUGAUUUGUGUUUCAAAGAUUCCUUGAUUGCAGGCUUUGCAACAUCCAUGGCUGCCAUAAUCUCAGGAGCAGCUGGUGUCUCAUCUCCAUCUACUAUCCUCAAAGCAACAAGAAGUGGUUGUGAAGCUCUUAGGCAUAAUUCCACUUUGCCCCAAAUUGCCGCUGAAAGGAUAAUGUUCUCAACGCGCCGGCCUUCUGGAGUGGUAGAGAAAGAAAGAGCAUUCUAUUCAUCGCUAAUCACUAAACCCCUCAAUGUACGACUAUGCUUAUGCAAGCUUGCCAAUGUGAGAAAUGAAGUGGCAAAACGAGUUACACCUGACCUCACAAGAUCUCCAAUCUUAUCUCGCAUUAGAUCUAGAACAAGACCAUGCUUGUACACAAAUCUAGUCACCUUCAUUGCCAUGUUAAUGCAAAUGCUGAAUUCCUUGAUCUUCCCAAUGUCCUCCAGCAACAAAUCCAAGCAAUGGGCUGCACAUGGUGUCCAAAAAAGAUGUGGGAUCCUCUCCAUUAAAAGCCUCCCUACUGCCUUGAAGUUGGCUCCAUUGUCACUGACAAUCUGCACCACAUGUUCCUUCCCAACCUUAUGAAUUUGCUUCUCCAACAAGUCAGCCAACAUAGGUGCAUUUGCUAUCUCACUUGAAGCAUCAACAGAUCCUAGAAAAAAAGUCCCUGUUGGAUUGUUAGCAAGGAAAUUGAUGAGAUGGCGGUGGCUUGUGUCAGUCCACCCAUCAGACAUUAUGGUGCAACCAUAUUCCUUCCAAGCCUCCUCAUGCUUCUUCCUCAACUCUGAUGUUCUAGUUACAGCUCUUUCAAGCAGUGGAUUCCUAAUUUCAUGAUAUGAUGGUGAGCGGUACCCAGGACCAUAUUGUCCAAUUGACUCACAAAAAAUUUCCUAGCUCCUUGAAUUAAUGGCAUUCAAUGGAAUGCGAUUCUCAUAAAAAAAAUCUGCAACAUGAUCAUCAACAAUUACUUUGGCCUCCUUACUUUUCUUUGUGCAUUGUUCAAGUGUAGGCUGAGUGCGCUUGGACUUGUGCCUCUCUGCAACUACUUGCUCUGGUGACUUGGACAGCAUGGAACUCACUGACCUGGACUGUUUUUGAGUUGCUGGUUUUGCUGCAGCAGUAACAGUGAAACAAGUGAUGGCAGCCUGAGCAAUCUUCUUCUUGACUUGCUUACCUUUUGUUCCAGAACUUGGUACUCGUACAGGUGCAACUUCUUCUGCAGCAACAACAUCUUUUCCUCUUCAUUUUCAACUUGUGCUGGCGCCUCUACUAGAGCAGUCCUUGAACUCUUUUUUGAUGUAAACCAACAUCUCCUUGACUAUUUCUGGAGAACAGGGACAACCAACAGCAUCUCCAUACCCCCAGCAAGGUGCUGUUUGAAUCUAUUUAUGCCUGCAGGGACCAUCUUCCUGCAAAAUAUACAUGUCACAAAGUCUUUCUUGGUUGGAUCUUCCCACCACCCAUACUUCCAUCCUGGAUCUUGUGAUCUUGCCUUCCUCUUUUUGUCAACAGCUUGGGCAGCAAGAUCUGGAGGUAGUUUUGCUAUAGCCCUCUCAAUUAUGGAAGGAAUAUCUAGAGCAGAUGAGGCAGCAUCUGACCCAACAAAUUCUGGAGGACCUCCUUCAAGGUCAGUCAUAGGCAUUAUCACUUCCACGUUUGCACAUCAUCGGUCCACAUCUGCAGAAGCACAGAGGGACUUCACAACAAGCAUCAAGCAACCUAGCAGAGAGCCAGAGAGGCUGCAGAAGUGCAGAGCGAGGGAUGGGGGAGGAGUGAAGAAGAUGGAGAGGGGAAAUGCACAUACCAUCGUUGGAGCAGCUUAUCAUGUAGAUUGGCGGUGACCACUUCACCUGGGACCUGAUAGAGGGCGUCAAUGGCUCCCUGCUGCACACCAGACUAGCAGAGAGGAGGCAAGACCGCAGGAGACAGGGAAAAGCGCGCGGGGGUGGAGGAAUCCCGUGCAGGAAGAGAGGAAUCCCACGCAGGAAGAGAGGAACCGUGCGGGAGAGUGGAGUCAGCGCCCAGGGGAGGAAAUUGCGGCGAUUGGGAGAUGGGAAGAGUGUCCUGCGUGCCUCCCUGCUAUAUUCUAACCCUAACAGGCCAAGCUAUAAGCCCAGUAGCCCACAUAUCUGCCCAGUCAAAGAGGCCCAAAAAUAGAGCACACAACCUGGUCGUCCAUGUCCUAAUCGGACGAUUAAUCGCGAAAAGUGGACGACUAAUCGGACGACUAGGUUUCUGGUCAACCUGGUCGGGUCGGACCUCCUAAUCGAGCACUCAUGACCGACUAGGACGACUAAUCGCGAUUAAUCGGACGACCUGAAAACAUUAAUUGUGAUCAUGGCUAUAUACAUGACAGGUACUCUCCCCACAUUGGGUGUGUGUGGUGUGAUUCCCAUACCUUUCCACAACAACGACAUGCAGAAAGUUUAACCAUGCUUGGUUCAUUUCUGAACUAAUAAUUUUUCUGGUUCUUUUACGUUAAAUGUGACUAUGACCAAUGACCAUUGUGUCACCAUGUCAUUUACAACGUACACGAAGUCAAGAACUCAUUCAUAUCGCCACCCUUGAUAAUCAUUCGCACACAUGUUCAUUCUAGGCCUUCGGAAUUUGAUUCUCAGUGUAUUGGUGUAUUAUGGAUUGGACUUCAGCUACUUCUAAAUAAAAAAGAAGUAAAGCAUACUAUUUUGGAUCUGUGUGGGCAAUUGGGCAAUUGAUGUUUGGUAUUUUCUUGGUUGCAUAUUUCUCUUGCAACACAUACAAGUCAAAUCAAGUUCACUUAAUCAUUAACAUUGAUUCUUUUAGUGUGUCAUUUCAUUAUAAACAUGAUUAUUAAAUGCUUUAAUUUCUCAUUAGAAUGUUUUCUCAAACGCUUCUUGACUUUGUUUGCAGCUUUGUCCAUUCCAUUUCAUUCCUUCUGGUUUGCAUGUUCCAGUAACAGCCAUAUACAAUACAAGAUAUGGUGAGAUCGAGGAGAGGCAAAGUAUGAAAAAUUCUAUUUCUGAAAAGUUCAUAUUUCUUUCAUGAAGCAUGGUAGUAACUAUGGGGCCUUUAUACUGUCUCUCUAUCUCUAUACCUAAAAAUAUCCCUUAUUAUUUACAGGUGAGCUGCGAAAAGAACUGCAUAUAAGGCUAGGACUUCCCUUAGAUCGGCCUUUGUUGCGAAUUUCUAAUGCAUUGACUUUUGGCAGCAUGGGAAAGAGGAAGAAAAGCAUGCCAAGAAGUGGUAUUCAUCCUGCAUAUGUUGCAACAUAUACUCCAUUACUAUGUUUUCCCCCUGAAUUACAUGUGGGAUCUUGUGGUAAAUUUGUGCAAUUCAGAGUAUAAUAUAUGUAAAAACUGCAAAAUAUCAUAUUAUGCUAUGUGAGAAGCUAAUAACAUCAUCUAACAUGAAGAUAAGAACUUAUCUUUGUAUAUGUAAUACUGCGCUAGUUAAGCCUUCUGUUAUGUUUUCACAUUCAGGUUCUUCGCUGCUUCGAGAAGUCCACAGAGAAAUUCCAUCUAGUGGUGGUUAGUUGUAUCUCUAUUUCUUGCUUUAAGCAAAAUAAGAAAUUUGGUGAAUGUAUUUUCGAAGGAGAUAGUGACGUAAAGUUUUAUGUUUAUUGCAGUAUCUGGAGGUGUUAUGUCUUUGAUUGAUGGUUCGUAUGAGUAUUAUCACUACCUUCACGAUGGUAUUGAUGACAAUGUAAUGUGAUGCAGACAACCAAUCUAAUUUUAAAGUGUUUCUUCAGCUGGAAAUGUCCUUCCCCAGACCUCAGUGUGUGGGGGAUUACAUCUUACAUUAUUUCCUUGAUGAAUGCAUAAGAUCAAUUUUAUUAAAAAAAUGCUUUCCCUUCUAGAUUGUUUCCUGUGAUGUUUAGGUAGUAAAUUAUAUUAAGAUUGCUUUUGCAGUUUGUUUUAUUCAACCUAUAUAGUAGUAGAUUGCUUGCCAACCUUCAUGAAAGAUCAUAAAUCCAUAUAGUCCCAUCGAUAUAUGGUGUUACUUACUGCAAAUUUUGAACCAAAAUCAAGCGUGAUGAACUUGCAGCACAAAGAAAGAUUUUAUUUUGAAGUUUUGCACAAUCAGCCAGUUUCAAAUUCUAGUUACAACAAUGCUACCAUAAAAUAAAUACUUGAAGUUCAAUGCAAAUAUAAUUUCAGUUGAAAGUUUGAUGGUGUUGAGUGCAUAGUUCAUGUACUUAUAUGAUUAAUACGGAUUGAUAUUCCUCAACUCGAACACGCAAGAGAGCUGCAUACCCUUAUAUUUUAUUACUCUCGGCAUAGUGAUAAAUAAAAUGCAGUAUACAGUUUCCUGUUGAUGUUUGUAUAUUUGAUACAAAAAUCAUUAUUGACCAUAGAAUACAUUCAGAGGAUAUGCCUGUUAUGAUUUCUUGUGUAUAUUUUUUCAGUGAUAUGAUCAUGUUUCAAAUUAAUAAUGUUGCAUUUCAAAAUUUCCUUUCUGAAAUUGCCCUGUUAGGCCCAGCAUUAGGCUUUUAUGAAUUUCCUCACUAUUUUGUAGAAAUUAAACUGUUGUUCCCUCUUUUGGGUUGGCAAGUCUUAGUUCUCUUUCAAUGUUUCAGGGAUGGGGAUGUGCAUAUCGGUCUCUACAAACAAUUGUCUCUUGGUACAGAUUGCAACAAUAUUCAUCAAUAGAUGUUCCUUCUCACAGGUUUGUGCCUAUUUUCCUUAUUGACUUGAAUAACUAUAACUUGGUCAUAUUGACUGCGAACUGACCCUAGGAUUAUGGUCAGUUGAUAAUUCUGACCUUCUGGCAUUAGUAUAUCAAACAAUUAGAAAUGUGCAAUUCUAUCUACAUGUUGCAUAAAGAGGAGGAUGUGCUAAGUAAAUCAGUAUAUAGCCUUAUUACAAGACACCAUCUUGCAAUCUGCACCCAUUGAAAUUCAGAAAAUGAACGGGCGUGCAUUUCAAUAUGUCUCAAAAAAGCAUCACACAUGAAGGACCUAAUGGUGUUACCAACAAUGUGAAUCAAACAUUCCUUUCUACCAUUAUUUCGUUCCUUCGUUUUAUAAGGGACCAAGGGCAAUUUUUUUCAUGCCCAUUCCCAUAUGCUACAAAUGUUAGGCAUAGCAAACUGUCAUGCUGCAAUUUAUUUGUCAAUAUGGACGUGACCAUAUAAUGUAUAGUUUGAACAAAUGCUUUUAAGUAGAAACAUAGAGGAAUCUUGCAUUCUUGCCUGUUAUUGAAAUAUAUGAUGUCAGUUUGAUUCAUAUUGCUGUCCAACUCCAACAUUCCUAUUCAGGGAGAUUCAACAAGUUCUUGUUGAAAUUGGUGACAAGGAUUCAUCGUUUAUCGGAUCUUGUGAGUGGAUUGGAGCCAUUGAGCUAAGCUUUGUCCUCGACAAACUGCUGGGCGUGAGUUUUCACUAUUCUUUUCUUGAUUUUUUUCUCAAAAACAUGGGAGAGCUGCGCUUCAUUAUAUUAAGAAGAAAUAGGAAAGAACCCUUAGUACAACACACCCGCACACACACAUAUCGUUAUUUCAUAAGAUACAUUUAUGCCGGUUAAGAAUGAAAAAGCGACCCUGCACCUAGAACAAAUCAACUAACAGCUUGGGCAGGGGCAGUCAAGUGGGAUAGCCCAUGAGCCCCUGCUAUUGUCCACUGUUGACGCUCGUCACCGGUCAACUUAAGGUUUCAGCUAUGUAAGGAAUUGCUCCAUCAAAGACGCAGCUACUGCGAUGAUUCCAAAUUAUCCAUGCUCCCAGAACUAUUAGGGAGUUCAAACCUUUUUGUGUUAAACCAGAAGUUGCUGCACUUUCUCUUUCCCACCAAUCACCGAAUGAAGUGUCAGAUGGCUGUGGAGCUAGAGAGUGGAGACCGACCUGUCUCAAUAUAUAGUACCAAAAUUGCCUUGAAAAUACACAUUCAGUUAGGUGAUGAUUAAUGCUUUCUCAGCUUGAUCACAAAGUGGACUUCUCUGGAGGAGGCAGUCCUCUCGCGAGUUCGUGGGAAGCAUCGGGUGCAUGUGGUGGGGAGGGAAGAUGAAGUUUGUUUACUCAUGGCCGGUUCAUAAGCAUAUGGACUACUGUAGGCCUGACACAUGUGAACUGCUUUAAAAUUAGCACAUAGUGUAUACGGACACUCUGGUUGGUUUAUAUACCCCUUUUUGUACACAACAUUGUGGGUGCCCUUAAGCAGGACAAAUCCAGUCUUUUUUUCUGUGAGCUUCCUGAGCAUACCUGAGUGGGAGUGUAGCUACCAUUGUUCACUUCACAUCUUGUAUUAUUUAUGUCCGUACCGUACCACGUGCUUCCAUUUCUGCUUAGCAGAAACUGCAUCUUGCAGGUUAGUUGUAAGGUUAUCAAUGUGAGAUCUGGCGAUGAGCUUCCUGAAAAGUGCAGAGAACUUGCCAGGCAUUUUGACACCCAGGGAACUCCUGUGAUGAUUGGUAUGUGCUUUUGUCUAAAGGGUCUAAUAUUUAACGUGUUUGAUAUACAAUGUUAAGAUGGCUACAGUUGAUUCUGUGAAUAUUAUCUGACAUAGAAUUGGCAAAUCCAGGUGGUGGAGUCUUGGCUUACACCCUUAUCGGAGUUGAUUAUAACGAAGCCAGUGGAGACUGUGCAUUUCUUAUCCUUGAUCCGCACUACACUGGUACUGACGAUCUGAAAAAGAUUGUAAAUGGCGGGUGGUGCGGAUGGAAGAAGUCUGUCGACAGCAAAGGCCGAAGCUUCUUCUUAAAAGACAAGUUCUACAACCUCCUACUACCCCAAAGGCCAAACAUGGUGUGAAACCUAUGGUGUUCAAUAUGUUACUAGUGCAUGUUCUUGCAAUAGUCGGUGUUAUGUUAUUUUUUAAAAAAAGCCUCAUAGAUUGGAAGUCAUGAUUUGUAAAGUUGUUAAAUGAGACAUAUUUUUUUUAUAAAUAUGUAGUGAUUAGUAAAUUUGUAGCACCCUAAAACAUCAUUUUUUUUAAAAAAUAGUUUUGAUCUCAUUAUGCAAUUUUGUGUGCAUUAAAUAUAGGGGAUUUUUUUUAGCUAUAAAAUCAAAUAAAAAAAUAUGUUGACAACCAAAAUUAUUUAUUUUGUGAAGUUGUUAAGAUAGGACAUGGACCUUAUUACUGUUUCUCUCAUCGAGAUGGUAAAAACAUAUAUGAAAUGUUGUAAUUCAGAAUCCGGACGAUAGAGUUAUGUCUUUCAGAGGAUACUUCAGCAUCGGCGUUGGUACUACCGACAACUGGUGUAAGCCUAGGCAGCGGUAGCGUUGGUACUGCCGACAAUUGGUGUAAGCCUAGGCAACGGUAGUACUGAGAUGCUGGUGACAAUUGGCGCAAACUUGGAUGUCGGUACACCAACAGGCUGGCUUUUUGGAGCCUGAUCCAAAUUACUUCAGACUCAAAACUUAGAAAAAAAAUGUUUCCUACUUGGACAAGACUACUCUAUAUAUAUAAGAGGAUUAUGGCCGAUUGAGUAUUCAAACUUUCAAUCUUCAAAAAUCAAUUUAGUCUCUUUUACCCUCUUUCCUUAUACUUCUCAUUCUUUUGUGGGCGUUGAAUGGAGGUGGAUUGAUGAUGACGAAGCUCUAGAGCGGUCAGGCUAGCUAGAGCAGCCCAUAGUCGUCGCACACCCCAACGAGAUCCUCCCAGGCGUGUGGGAGUUUUUGGUCUUAAGAGACCUCGUUGGCAUGUAUUGCAUAUCGUGAUCUGGCAAGGCUUCUCUAGCGGACAUAUCUUGUGUAUCGCAUUCAUCGUUGAAAGCACGAGAUCCGGGUGCAAACAUCUCCUAGGCAUCGGCCAUCGGCUGACCUAAAAGUCGGCUAGGCCGUACAUGUACCGUGGCUUUAUGGCCGUGGCGGACGCGUUUGUCCGCUGCCGAAAAUGAGCGGUCUAGCGUCUUAUUGGUGUGGUGACCUAAUCAAGUGUCUACAAAUUAGAAAUUUGAAUGUGCAUACAUGCCGGUGCAUCUAUUUUUGUGACACUGUUUUUGGUUAAACAUCAAAACAUUAUUUGAGUUUGGGUUUGAAAACAAACAUGAUUUGAAUUUGGGUUCGAACACGGUUUCUAAAUAAAGGAAAAAAGAUUUCCUUUAAACUCUCCCCCUCUUUUCUUUCUGGCCCGAAGUGGCAAUCAGCCCAGGUCACCUUGGCCUCACCCGGUUCACUCCCUCGCUUCUUUUCAGAUAGCCCAGCCCAGGCCCGCAGCCCAGUAGCUAGGUCGCCUCGGCCAUCUCCAUUUCCAUCUCUGAAGCCCAGCUCGCCCUGUUCUGUGUUCCGAGGAGCCUGCUCAGCUCCAUUUCCAUUUGUGCACCAAGCCCAACUCCCUCCCUCAGCUCCCAUGCACUCAAGCGGACACCCCGUCCCCGUGUGCACUCUUUGCUAGCAGGAUGGCCUCGCUCGCGUCAUCGCGUGUGACCUUUUCUUUUUCCUCCCAUGGCCAAAAGCCCAAAACCGACUCCCUUAUGAGAAAAGCGUCAUCACCUCUCCACAUACCUGUGUUUUUCACCCUACGUGCCGCCUUUAGCCCUACUAGUGGCCGGGCCGGUUUCCAAGCUGGACAGGCUGGUUUUGCUGGGAGUUGCGCAUCUCUCUACAAUCUCGCUUCUUUCAUUGUGUUUUCGGCUGUUUCUAGAGGCGGCUUCUGUUUUCCGUCAUCUCUAGAAAUCGAUUUUUUUAAGGCAGAGGAGCAAAGGCAGCUAGGCCAACCGUUUCUAUACAGGCAUUCUAGCCGUCUCUAUAGUUGAUGAAAUCUGUAGUAGAGAAUGUGAAAAUGUUCUAUAGUUUUGGAACUGGAGGAAUAUAUAUAUAUAUAUGCUUAGUAGCCUACUUUACCUGCGCAAACCUAUUUUGUGGUUGGAUCACAGUAAGUUGAGAAAGAAAACAGUGUGUGGUGAACUUGAAGAACAUUACAAUUGUAUCACCGCAAUAUUUUCCUAUGUAUAUAGUUGCUUUAUAUUUUAUAUUUUUUUCUUUCACUAGUAAUAGAGAACCAACCAACUUUUAGUUUUUGGCGUCCGGUUCAGAUUGGACCCAGGACUAAUAAUAGAAUCAGUCCCGGUUGGAACUACCAACCGGAACUAGAUCCUGUGCCCAACAAAUAGUACACGAGGCUUUUUCAGCCAGACAUUUAGUCUCGACCUGUGGUUCAAACCGGGACUAAAGGUCUCAUUUCAGUCCCGCUUGGAACCACUAAACGUGACCAAAGGUCCCACUGCCCUUUUAAUCUGGGUUGUGGCUCCAACCGGACUAGAGAUUAACCCUUUAAUCCUGCUAGGCUCUACCAAUCGGGACUAAUAUCUCCACUAUAUAAACACUUCCACGGUCCCCCAAACCAAGGCAUCAGUUGAAUUUUUUGGUUUGUGCUGGUCCAUGUUCUUGUUGCUUGGGGGAGCAAGUUCUUGCUCCCAUUAUCUCUUGAGAAGAUUUUUAAUCUUUCAUCCAGUCAACUUUAUAAAAGUUAGCAACUUCAUCAACUAUUCUUUCAUUGCUAAUAAUGUAGAUCAUCAAUUCAUGGUUUAGUAAUAACAAAGAAGUAUGUGGUUUUAUUUAAAUUAGGAAUAAUAAUGGUAGAUUUUAUUUUUAUUUAUACAUCGUUUCUACAUAACCUUAAACAUUUGUAAUUUUCUAGAUUUUUGUUAGCAAUAUUAGUUCUUGAUGAGAGUUAAUAAUCAUUAAAAAAAUUAUGUGCCAACAAGUAGGGUGCAAAAAAAUGUUUAAGUUUACGUGGCAUAUAUAUAUAUAUAUAUACACACACACACACACUUUUUAUAUGUUACUCUAAUAUAUUACAUUGUAUAUUUAUAUGGGGGUUCUAUAGUUCUAUAUUUAUUGGGAUGUUUUUUAGUUUCAGCCACAGGAACUAGGUUUCUACCAUGGCGAUCUUCCAUUCGCGCCACCGCAAAAUAGGGCCGCUCCUCGUCACCCAGACCCAUCAAUAGUAUGGAAUAUGUUAAGUUUUGCAUGCUUAUAUAGUUUGCAUAUAUACUUUCAUUUAUAAUAGUGAUAUGCAUUUUGGUAUAUGAAAAAUAUUGACUUCAGUGACAUAUAUGAAUUUUGAUAUUUUGUAUAUAAAUAUAUACAAAUAUAUGAAUUUUGGUGUAUGAAUUUAUAUAUUGACUCAAGAAUAGAAAUUUUUAUAUAUUAACUUUAGUGAGAAUUGAUGGUUGGAUUCGAUGCAAGGUUGCCGGUUGUACCAUUCAAUCAUCCUAGCAUAGUAAGCAAAGAUAUAUAUGUUUUCAACAAAUUAAUAUGUUUUAAAUAUGCUUGUACACAAUAUCUUUUUUGAUAUGUAUAUAUAUAUGUGUUUUUUAAAUGCACUAUAGGUAAUUGAUCCAAUCAUUUGGCUUGAAGAGACACUCAAAUUUUAGGGUUGAGGGAGUGGAUGUUGAGAGCUUUGAUGUAGAUAAUGGUCAAUUGGUCCAAUGUCGAAUUGGAUUUUCCAUUGCUGAUAGGAAGGGUACAGGUGUUGUACAUAUCUAAGAGAUGGGAAUAAAUAAGGCACUUGAGAAGAAAAUUGCAACCAAAUAUGUUGUCAUUGCACGUUUGAAUAAGCUUGUGAAUAAUUGGUACACCCUCCGUACAAUAUCUUCCUUAACGAUACAAGCAAUAGAUGCAGACUGCUAUCAUGAUGUUGCAGGCUUCUGUGCAAGGAUUGCUCAAACCUAUCGAAAUGAUGUGUUUAAGUCGAAGAUGAACUCAUAGCUUAUAUCAGAUUUGUUAUUAUUGGAAAGCUUUGUUCUCAUAUUCAUUUUUUCAACCAACACUAACAGGUUGAGGACUAUGGCUUAACCUAUGCAGGUUGUAGCUUUGAAGCCCUUCUAAAUCAAACAAUGUAUGCAUUGUGUUAUGAUUGGAAAUAUGUUGAUGAAUAGCCAACACUCACUAUGGAAGGAUUUCAGGAAAAGCUGAUUAUGACUAAGACAGGAUCAUCUAACCCACCGACUUCUCGACCACUGCUAACCAUCAUUAGUAGACCCUAUGCUCAUACUUUGAAGCAAGGGAGAGUGCACUACUUAAUGUGUUGCUCUACAUCAAUGAUAUUUGUGGAUAUCACAUCAGCGACUUACACACUUCACCGAGUACACAAUACGACAUAGUCAAAUUUGGCGGUGAUCUACUUGCGCUUGCAUGAACUUUGGUGUGUAAUUGAACAUUGUUGAUGGUAAUUAACUCCAAUUUUCAACUCUCAACUAACAAAAGGAGUGAUCUAAAAUGACUUAUAAAAUAAGGUUAUAGGGGUUUAUUCUAACAAGUUUCACGAGUUGUGUUGUUCUUACUUGUCUUGCAGGAUAUUGAAUAUUUCACCAUACAAAAGUAUUUCAAGUGAAGAAUCUAAGUAUACCAUUGUGGAGAGCUCGUCGAGGUGAUCAAGAUGGACAUAUAAUUUGCCAUAUUUGGAGCACCGGAGACAAAGUCCUCGAUGGAUACGACGUGGAAGACUCUAAAAGACUCUAGAACCAUCAUCAAUUACAUGAACAGAGGCUAAACCGAUAAGAUUUCAUAGCUCUGCGAAAUAAUCUUUUUUAGGGAUUUAUCUAGAAGCUGGGGAAGAAAAAAAUCAAUCCACGACAUGACUCAUUGUGCAAACGAUUGGAAAGAGGCACUAGAAGGAUGUAGAAGACACUAGAAGACACGGGAACAAAGCGGAAGACCGAAGGCCACCAGGUGGGGCCGACCGGCCCCACAUGCCAAGCUGACCGUCCUGUCCCCCUGCCAGUUGGACUCUCCUUCGCGUGAUGGCCUCCAACUGACCUCUACGACACAUCUUGACCCUUGUUCUAUUUCGGUUUGAUCUAAGGGUUGCGGUUCAUCCCACCAGACUAUAUAAGCAGAGCCAUACCCCCCUGAGGCAUUGAUCAAUCAAUCCAUCAUAAUUCAUCAUAGAUAAUCAGUCAAUCAUAUCCCACUGUUUAGAGCUCCACCAACUUGGGCAUAGCUGUUGGGCAUUCUUAACGUCAUUACCAAAAGUAGACUUAGUUUUCUAUUUCUGAUAACGGCGCCAAAAAUACCGAACCUAUCCCUCAUGCUACUUAAGCCAAGUUGUCAUCCACAGCAUGACAUAAGAGACGCGGUAUUGAAAUAUGCAAUUGCUCAUCUAGAUAAAUAAUAAAUGGGAUCUGCAAGCGCACAGAUUAAUACCGAUGUAGCAUUUUAACCGGGAAGUAUUCUAGGUGUCAUUAUUUAUAUUUUUACCACUGAGAAGGGAUUACUAAUAAUGAUGGAAUGAAAUAUAGAACUGAGUAUCAUUGCAUGUGUUAGAGAGUAUUCAUCUAUCUCAUCAAUACAGGGUAAGUGUCACAUAAAAUAUAGAUAAAAUAUGAAUGAUGACAAAGAUAACUAUUCUGAUCAACAUAACUAGCCACAUAUGAUAAUGAUAAGCACCUCAACAGAUAUUCUAGCAAGUCAUUAGCAUGGAAUUAGAAUGAACUACAAGAAUAUUUCCUAAGUUAUUCUUAACUAUAAAGUCUAGUAUAUCAUAGUUAGUGCAAUUAUACUUGGCAAUCAUUGCGAGACAAGAUUACGCCCAUGCAUAUCAAAGAAGAUGAGAAACAUAGCAAUCACUCCCCUGUAAUAAUGUUGCUCUGCCUGCCCUAUACACGGGAGGGGAACUAUAUAAGAAUCAACGGAGCUGUCAUCACCAUGAACCACCCCACUAUCCGGCAUAUAGGGUACAAUUGCAGAUAAAUACGGUAUAUGCACCACGCCUACACAAUACUUAUCAUUUAUCCACUGUACACAUGGAUAAACGAUAUACGAUCCUAAUCAUGUAUAUAAUUCUAAUCUAACUAAGCCAAGCAUAUAACCAUGAUAAACUAAGAACGAUAUAAUCGCAAAUAUAAACAAGUCACUACAGGAAACUAUAAUUGCCUUGGCGGCCUCAAUUUCCUUGGGGGCCAAAAACAAACCGCCAAGGAAAUGACAGUUUCCUUGGCGGUCCUACUCCACACUGAAGAAAACAUAUAUUUCUUGCAGGUUUAAGUAAACCACCAAGGAAUAUGGGUGUUUCUUUGGCUGUUUCCAACCACCUCCAAGGAAAUGAGUGUUAUUCUCAACCGCCAAGGGAAAUACUCAUUUCCUUGGCUAUUUUUCUAAACCGUCAAGUAAACUAUCAUUUCCUUGAGGGUUAUUGAAUUUCCUUGGAGGUUGGCACCCAAGAAAAUGCUUAUAAGUAUUUUGGUGACUUCGACUGAAAAAGCAAUAAUAUCUUAAAGGUGUCCAAAAAUCAUAAAAUUUGGCUUGAGAUCAUAAUAUGGUUGUAUUAUCUUACCAUAAAUUUUUCAAAUCAUAUUAACAAUGCAAAGUGCAACUUUGUUUAAAAUUUUCACAAAUGGAUACAUCUCUCGCUUAACAGUCAUAAUCAAUAUAUUAAAAUAGAGCAAAGUCAUAUUCAUAAUAUUGAAGAACAAUGAUGAACAAAUGAAGAACAAUAGAGGAAUUACCAAGAAUCCUCUUGAUAGAUCCGGAAACCAAUCGAAGAUUGACUCCUUCUAGUUCUAAUCCUAUGUAGCUAUGCUAAACUAGAGAUCUAGUUGAUGUGGUGGCUCUAGGGCUUGAUCACAGGCUCUUCUCCUUAGAUGAAUGAAAGAAUUAGGGUUUGAAAGAGCUGCCCUCCUCCAGGGGCCAGGGGCCUUGCUUAUAUAGCCCUCCCAAAUGAACGUGGGCCGUCGGAUCAAACCGACCUUAAUCACACAGUUUUCCUUGAUCCCUUUGGUUGGUGGAGCAUGAUCUGUGAGGCAGAGCCUCAUUGGCUCUCAGGCCAGGGCGGGCGCCCUGCCCCCGGGCCCCCUCGGCCACCCGCUCGUUCCCGUGGCUUCUAGAGUCUUCUAGAUGAUAGAAAAUUGCCGCACACGUUAAUAUCUCUAUGUAAACCCGAUGUGUGAGCUUUUCCUCCAUAUUUCCUAAUACCCCCCUCUAGAAAUAGACAAACACCAAAACUCGUGGAAUUCUGUCAGAUAAAACCCUAAGUCUAGGUGUUGGUUGCAUUUAGAUGCUUUUCCUUGUUUAUUUGAUAGUUAAAUUUGGUAUUUAACGACCAUCAACAAUAGCUAGAAACUUGAGAAUAGAAAUUAGAGGAGUCAAGCAACGCUUGGAUUCCAGAUCUAGUCGUGAGGAGGCUAGGUAAAGCCUUGUACUUCUCUCUUGAUUCAAUAUUGUUAUCUAUUUGAGUUUGUCUUCUAGUUCAUUGUGUUUACCUUCUAGUUCAUCUUUUGUUCUUCUAGUUCAUCAAUUAGAUCAUCUAGUUUAUUUUGUUCUUGUUCUAGUUCAUCUAGUUCAUCGUCUAGUUCAUCAUGUUCUUGUCUAGUUCAUGUUUCCGUCUAGUUCUUAUUAUAGCUCGUGUUUGAGUUGAAUACUUGGUAUGACUUGGUAUAAUCAUAUAUUCAUAAUAAUAAUUUUCAUUGCCUACUUUGAUUAUAUGUUUAGUAUAGUUAGCUUAGCUUUGUGUUUAUGCCCUUGUUCGUAUAGCUCUUACCCUUUGAAUUCAGGGGUAGGUGAUAGAAGUUGCGUAAGCGUGGUGCUUAGACAUUGCCUAUCUGCGAAUGCACCCUAUGUUCUGGGUCAUGUGUUAGAUCGCGAAGGUGACAGUUUCGCUGAGUCCUAUGUAGUCCACUCCCCAAUGUAGGACUAGUAAGGCUGAGUUGUGGGUUGAUGUCUUGUUAUGUUCCUGACCCACCUUAGCAAUGUCUCUUGUGUAUAGAUACAAGUUAAGUCUGAUCAUGAUUACUAAAUGUAAUUGCACUAAUUCAUGUAGCUCAAUGACCUAUAGUUAGAAUAACCCUAGGAGUUAGUCUCUAUUUUCUAGUUCUUUCUAGAAUCACGCCCAAGUAGGAAAAUGCUCGGCGGAACCCCUUUGGGAUUAUGUUGAUCUAUUAUUAAUUAUCUUUUAUUUAUGAUUGAUCCCUAUUUUAAGUAUUGAUCUAGUGGAGCUCUUAUCACAAGUGUAAGAUAUAGCUUUUAUACCUCUAAGUGUCUUCCCAUGAUAAAAUUAUAAAUAUCGAUACCUGAAGCUUUUCUGGGUGAAAUGCUACAACGGGUGUAUUUUAUCUGUGCGCUUGUGGCUUACAUUGCGCUUGUGGUAAAAUUAUAAAUAUCGAUACCUGAAUUUAGUUAUAGAAGAAAAGAAAAAAAGUAAAAAGUAAAAUUUAAUUCGGUUAACUAGAGGUAAUGUUUUCCUAAACGCUAAACGGUAAACAGUCGAUGACGUUUAGCCAUUACUCGGUCUAAAUAGUCAAUUAAACAGGCUAAACAUUCAAUUAAGCAGGCUAAACAAAUGAUUAAAUGGAAACAGUGUACCACUGUUUAGCGUUUAAACAGUCUAAACGGCUAUUUAGGCGAACAGUGACGGGAGGUGGCCACCCUCGGGCUCGCCCUCAAGCUCCCGGCUCUCUUCCUUUUAGUCUAGGUUGGUUUAAGUAGCCGAGACCACCCCAUUUAAUCCCAAUUGGCUACCUGGGAAUAGAAGACGUGCCUUUAGUCCCAGAUUUGCAAUCCUGAUUGAAAAAGCGGAACUAGAGGGGUUUCUCAACCGGAACUGCUACCUAGUCAUGCACUAGUAUUUCUUCCAUAUGUGUUUGCCGUUGUUUGUUCAUGGCUAGCUGUUCGCAAGUCGCCACGUUACAAUGCAACACACACAGGACGUCAGACACGAUUUAGUGGUCACGGUGUUUCUUCGGAUUUCGCACGAUCCGACCAUGAUAUGUUGUUAGCGUGACGCGCAAGGGACACCCUAGCAGAGGAACGCCGCAUACAUUCAGGCACGAGUCAUGCGUACCGACGCGACGCCGCCGCCGGCCUCAUCUUCCACGCAGGCAACAACCGGCCGUCCCGUCCGCCACGUACAAGGGCACACCGACUCCUGCAGCAUGCUUAUCGGCAGCUAGCGAGUAGGGAUGAAAACGAUACGGGCCGACCAUAUUCGAGACCGAAUUCGUUUAAAGCGGUUCAGAUUUGUCCGUAUUCGAGUCCCGAAUAUUGAACAUCCGAUACCGUAUCCGUAUCCGAAUACUUAAAUCGUAUAUUUAUGAUGUCAACAUCCAAUCGUAUCUUAUCCGACAUGAUUAACAUUAUCUGUAUUCGAAUUUGAAUCUGACCAAAAAUAUGAAAACAAAUAUGAUAUCAGUAAUAUCAGUUCCUAUCUGUUUUCAUCGCUACUAGCUAGCAUAAAAGCUAGGGCCUGCCCCCGUGGAAAGAUAGCGAUGGCGCAGCGGCAGCAGCGUAUAUAGCGCCUUCAGAGAGGAGAGAUACCUGCCGGUCCAUGCAGUGGAGUGCGAGUGAAGAUACGUGCCACCAACCGCCUAAUUGCUAGUAAUUGCUAAUUGCGUUUAGAAUUAGACCCUGUCCGGCCGUUAGUUAUUAUCCAUGCUAAUAGUAACAUGGAACGGCCUCGACGACGUCGGUGCCCUACACUGAUUUGAUUGGUGUGAAGCCGAGUGGUUAACCAACGAACGCGCAACUAACGCAAUAAUUUGGCAGAGAUUAGCGACCAUCAUCAUCAUCACUCAGUGGCGGUCACACUUUUGCCUGAUUCCGCCUUUUUUUUUUUGCUUUGCCAACAAUCCGCACCAGUUCCCAGUUGAAUGAGCGCGGCGCGUUUCCACCGUGAGAUUGGCAUAUAUCGUUACGCGUUUGCUUCUUAAUUUAUCCGUAGCCUGAAUAUAGACUAUGGGCAAGGCACCAGCGGAGACGCUUCUUCGGAUCUUUCUGGAGAAAAUUAAAGAACGUCCACCGACAAAGCAAAUCAACCAUACAUACCACCAGCUGCAUCCUGGUAUAUAUCCAUCACCUUUGUUAGAUAGAUUUUUUUUUUUAUAAUGAAAAUAGCUAUAUACUUCCUCUACCAACAAAAGAAUAUAAUUCUCACUUUUUGAAGAGUCAAGUAAUUUGAAAUUUAUCUAAAGUUACAUAAAAGUACUCACUUUAUUUAAUUAAAAAAUAAGUAAAAUUAAAUUAAUUAUGAAAUAUAUAUUUGUAUUAAAUCUAGCUGGAGAAUAUGUACUAUAAAAUCGAUUAAAACUAGGCUAGUUUGUCUUACAAAAAUUUCAUAGUUACAUCUUUUAUAGACAGAAGUACCUUUUUUUUUCAUGGUAACACCUCUCUUCUCCCUCCCUCACUAGCUAUAUAUAGUUACUAGAUAUAUGCCCUUGCGUUACACCAGGACAAUGGUUUAACCUUAGGCCAGUCUUAGUACAUGUUUCAUAAGAGUGUCAUACACAUUAAAUAGUGUGCCACAUAAGCAAAAUUGCUGACUUGGCAGAGUCAUUAAAUGAUGGAGUUUCUCAUAUGAGAGAGGAGUUUCAUCCCCAUGAAACUCAUAUGGCUCGGUUACCUAGUUUAUAAUCUUGGUAAUUGUGCCAUGAAACUAUGCAUUGAGACUGGCCUUAGUACUCGGACACAUACACGUUUCUCAAGGACUUCAUUGUAUUGGAAACGGGUAGGAUGUGAAUACACGAGCUCUGAGUGGAGGAUGAUUCGUAUCAGACGCAGAUAUUUAAGUAGGAUCGAGAUUUGGUAUCACCGGUAGAUAAUGACUUUAGAUUCUUUUUAUAUAGGUGUAGAAAUUUGUAUGUUUACUAGACAUAUGCUCGUGCGUUGCACCGGGAUCAAUUUUUUUGACUAAACCUCCUUACUCAGACAUAGACACGUGAGCUCCGAGAACUUCAUAUUAGAGGUGGACGCGUAGAUCCCGUCUCCGUAUUGGAACAGGGGUAGGGUGCGGACGUGUGAGCUCCUAGUGAAGGAUGAUUCAUAUAAAAAGAUAUGUGAGCAGUAUCGAGAUUUGAUAUCAUCAGGCGAUAGCUGAUUACAUUAGAACCUUUUCAAGUGUAGAGAUAGAGAAGAGAUACGUGGAUUGACAUUUGUAUCACCAAGUAGAUGAUUACUUUAAAAUUUUUAAGUGUAGAGAUAGAGACAAGAGUUAUUAUCAGGUCUUAUGUAAAAGGACUAGGGGAUACAAAUAACGUGAUAAAUUUUAAGACGGAUUGUAUGUAAGCGAUAAAUACGCUGUGCGACGAUCAUAGGCAUCAUCACCUAAUUUGUACAGGUCCCACAAUAAUCUAAGUGUUUCUUAGGACACCGCACCAAACUCCCCCAAUUCGUCAAUACACGUAUGAACCCUAGCUAGCUAGAUAUCAUUGCAGCUUCUGUUCAUGUGCUGGCCGUCCCAAAACGAUCCCAACGGCCGAACCUUCGCCGCCCGCCCACCCGACAAAGCAAAAGAAAUUAUGUGCCCCACGCCACGCAUCAACAACAACAAGACGUCGGCCGUCCUUUGCUCUGUCGUCCCCAGCACCACCACCACCAGGGCAGCAGGGGCGCAGCAAACCACGCACCAGAGGGCCGGCCACCAGUAUAAAGCCGGCACCACCUGUCCGUGCAUCGCCGCACAGCAGAGCAGCACACCACCACCCAACUCCACUGAACAACACGACCAUUCUUCAUUUUCCAGGAAGCUCUAGAGCGCAGGUGCAGAGUGCUGUGCAGACACCAUGGCGCGGCGGUCUCUGGCCCUUCUGCUCGCGUCGUCGCUGGCCCUCGUGAUGAUGGCGGCCGUCGCGUCGGCGGACUCGUGGCUCUACGAGAAGUUCAGCACGGACGGCACCGUCCGCACCAACUACGACGAGUCCGGCGCGCAGGUGGCGAUGCUCAACCUCGACCGCAGCUCCGGCGCCGGCUUCAACUCCAAGGAGCAGUACCUCUACGGCCAGUUCAGCGUCCAGAUGAAGCUCAUCCCCGGCAACUCCGCCGGCACCGUCUCCUGCUUCUACGUACGUCGUCGUUCCUCGUUCGUUCGUUGAUAGCCUCGAUCAAUCUUGACCUGAAUCAUAUCUAUCUAUCACUGACAGUGACAGAUCGAUGUUCCCGUACUAGCUCUACACAUAUACCUGGGUUAUCUUAUCUAUCUACUACUACUGCAUUAAUUCAUGCAGCUUUCUUCUGGCGACGGCGACGGGCAUGACGAGAUCGACAUGGAGUUCAUGGGCAACGCCACGGGGCAGCCGGUGGUGCUCAACACAAACGUGUGGGCCAACGGCGACGGCAAGAAGGAGCACCAGUUCGACCUGUGGUUCGACCCGGCCGCCGACUACCACACCUACACCAUCAUCUGGAACCCGACCAACAUCCUCUUCAAGGUGGACGACAACGUGAUCCGCGUCUUCAAGCGCUACGCCGACCUGGCCUACCCGAGCUCCAAGCCCAUGACGCUGCACGCCACGCUGUGGGACGGCAGCUACUGGGCCACCGAGAAGGGCAAGGUGCCCAUCGACUGGUCCGGCGCGCCCUUCGUCGUCUCCUACAAAGGCUACUCCGCCGACGCCUGCGUCAGCGGCGGCGCCUGCGCCGCCGGCAGCGGCGCGUGGAUGAACAAGCAGCCUGACAGCGCCGAGUGGGGCACCGUCAAGUGGGCCGAGAGCAACUACAUGCGCUACAACUACUGCGACGACGGCUGGAGGUUCCCGCAGGGGCUGCCGGCGGAGUGCAGCCGCAGCUGAUUCAAUUCGAUCGUUCGCCGGCGUCUCCCAUCCUUUCAGACUCAGUUCAGGCGUCCAUUAUUGCCAAAGUUCUUGAUUUAUUUUUGCUGGAUAUAUAUAUAUAUCUAUGAUUCUUGUUCUGUUGUUGUGAAUUUUUGUCAUUGAAAAGCAGCCCCGCAGCAACGCGAGGGCGGGAAUAUAUUACUGUAGUUUUGCUUGUGUAAAGAAAAGAAGCUUUGUUUCUACUUUUUGGAUAAAGGAAUAAAAUACUUGUGACAUGCAUAUAUAAACAUGAUAAUAAAAACCUAAAUCUGCGUCAGUUCAAAAUAUAGAGACAUGUUAUAUUUGCAGAUUUAUGUGACCUGUGUUACACUAACAUAUAUAUAACAUAUAUAUCUAUAUUCAUAUAUCUAGGAAAACAAGGAUGUGGUUCUUAUUCUUGAAGCAUUUUUUAAUUGUUUGUGUCAAAUGCAGCAAUCUGCUAGCGUAAAUGGUGGGCACAGCUCUAACCUGUUUGUUUGAGCAAAAUGGAGGGCACAACACCGAAUCUGUUAGCGUAAAUGAGUGCAAUGGAUGCUGUGCGUACAAGCAGUGUACUUCCAUAUUCUUGCGUCCAAUCAAUUCAGAUACACAUUUAAAUCUGCAUGUUUGGAAAGACGCAACAAUUAACAUUCUUGCUGUAUUAAGCGCGUAGUACUACUCGAAUGUGCAAAGUGCAAACUCCAAUCAUUUGGCGUUCAUACAUAUACAGUAUCAAUUAAUCUGCUCCGGGCAUUACAGGAUGUACUUUUGUGCUGUCCAUCAAUAGUAGCAGUUGGGGAUACGACUGAUCGGUGGCGUGAUAGUAUGGUCUGGAUGGGAGUAGGAGUAGUGGUGGUUGCAGUGCAUGACAUCCUCGUCAGUCUGUUCUUCCACUAAAAUCCUGGCACUUCGUUCGUUACAAGGGAAUUAUUGGCGCUUUUGCUAAAGUCCGACGAGACAGUGGACCAGCGAGAAUGCUGCUGCUUUCUGCACGCGGGAUCUACGUGUGCUAUUUUUUUUAUUAUGCAUUAUAUUCUCUCCGUCUUUAAAAAAAAAUACAAUUAUAAGAACUGUGUUGAUCAAAUUAGUUAAAAUUUAGCUAAAUUUAUAGUCACAUUAUUAACAUUUAUGUCUCUAUAAACAAAUUUAUUAUAAAAUAUAUUUUUACUAAUCUAAUAAUAAUUAUUUGUAUAAAAAUGUUUAUUACUUACUUUUUAUAUAACUAUAGUUAAAGUAUAAACUGUUUAAUUCCUCAAACAGUGAGAGUUGUGGAUGGAGGGGCCCUGUUUGGUUAGACAUGUUAAACUUUACCGUCUAUCAUAUCGAAUGUUUAUAUACAUGUAUAAAAUAUUAAACAUAGAGUAUUUACAAAACUAAAAACACACAUGUAGAGAAUAAUUUGUAAGACAAAUCUUUAAAGUUUAAUAAUUAAUCUAUAAUUGAAUACUAAUUACCAAAUAAAAUAAAAAUACUACUACAAGAAAUGGUGCUUUACAUGACGAUCGUUUUGGUCAUAAAUAGUCAAAAGCAUGUCACGAUUAACUUACCAUGACGAUCAAAAAAUCAAUCACGUAUCUCACGUUAUACAUUUGCUGGACCUACUAAAAGUCGUCACCGAUUGACAUUUUAUAUCGUCAUUGAAUACAAGGUUAGCAACAAUAGCCAAAGCCAAUAGUGAUGAACUCAAACGUCAUGAAUUUGUUCCACGUCAGCAUUUGCCACAUCAUUCGAUGAUGAUGGAUCUGACAUGGCAGCUACAUCGCCAUGUCAGCACCAAGUAUACAACCAGCCCAAUAUGGAGAAGGCCCACAUUAGCACCAGGCAUACAACCAGCCCAAUAUGGAGAAGGCCCAGUUGUUCUUCAUAAUGUUUGUCCAUUAGGCCCAUGUUGGCUGAUUUUUUCUAAUAGGCCCAUACUAUUGGGCUAACCACUUGCAACAUAUUGGCCCAUUAUUUAAAUUCAAAUUUUUGCCAUAAAUAUUAAAUUCAAAUUUAAAUUUAAAUUUUUGCUAAAAAAUAUUCAAAUUCAAAUUUAAAUUAACCCAAACAAAUCAUCACAGAUAGUCACUGAUGGUCACAGAGUGACUGAAUGAAUGGUCACAAAUAACAUCACACAUAUAUUGAAAUGUAGCACGACACACAUAUAUAUUAUAUAUAGAGAGAGACGUCCCAGCUCACAGAUACAAAGAAAUAUACAUCUUAGAUCAUCACAGAUCACUUACAUUUAAAGAUAGCCACACCAAAUGGCAUAAGUUCAAACAAAAGCAUUAAAACGCAAGUAGCUACAGCACUACUUGCUACAAAAUCAGUCACUACAGAGGCCAACAUUGCACAAGUUGAUACCAGUUCACAAAAGCUAAGGCACCACACAAGCCGGGCCUUGCAUAACAGACCAACCCAUACAUUCGAACUCAAGUGAGAGUGCUGCAACCGGUACGCCACACACAACUUUACCUUGGUGGAAUCAUAGACAACAGACCCUUGAUCAGUAUGUCUGUCUCAGCUUGCUUUUUCUUAAACUCCUCCUCCUGUUUAGCCCUUGCUGUUUCAGCAUCCUGAAACUUCUUCAUCAUGUCAUCCAUCUGCAGUUGCUGGGUCUUCAUAAUCUCCCUAAGAUCAUUUGAGGUUUGUUUCUCCACCACUAGUUCAGCUUGUAACUCACACUUACUUGCAUUAUCCUCACUAGCAGAUGAUGUUUUCAGCCCCACAUUUACCAAAAAACUAUUCUUCUUAGUCUUCUGAACGAGAACCUCUGAGACAACAUCACCCACAUCCUUUGGUUCCUCAUCAUCUACCGAAGCAUUUAUCUUCUCCUCUAUUUCAACCUAGCAAUGGAUGGAAUACAUAGAUAAAUGAUCAUCACAAUAUAUAUGGACCUAAUGUAUCAUUUCAUUGUGCACUAAUUUUGACUUUACUUACAAUGGCAGAUUGAACUGCAGGAGUGAACCCUUUCUUUUUGCUGUAGUGCAAGUCUUUAAAUAUAUCCAGUGCAUUUGGUGGUUCAUUUUGAUACUUGUUUGCCUGACAAUGAAUUUAAAACAGCAAGAUUUAAGCAGCUUGUUUACAAGCAAUCAAGUCUGCUAUACAGACCAAUCAAGUAGUAAGACUUAGCCAAGUUCCAGUUAAUUACAUGGGAUGUAACAGCAGGAUCAUUCCAUUUGUAACAUAGGUAACAAGCAGAAAAGUAAACUAAUUGACAUGGGAUGCAAUAGCUAGACAAAUUUUAAGCAGUUUGUUUACAAGCAAUCAAGUCUGUUGUACAGACCAAUCAAGUAGUAAGACUUAGCCAAGUUUCGAUUAAUUGUACUCACCGAAUUGAUCAGCUCCAUUUCAUAGCUGCGAGAACCAGUUGUCUGGUGAAACUGCACUUUGCUUCUAUUGUCUUUGUUUUUCUCACAAGUCAGCUGCACCAACAAAGUUGUAAAGUUUGGCUUAUAUGAGAUCAACAUCAGAUUUUGCUCAGUGGCAUGAACUUACUAUUUUUUUCUCAUUUUCCAGUGUUCGACAAGUGCAUCCCAUUGGUCAUCACUCAUAAAUGAUAUAGGAGAUUUCUUGGGCACCUGAUGUAGUGGAAAGCAUCAAAAUACGUCUUUUUUGGCUUAUAGCACCGCUGAUGAACAACUUUCUUCAGCAUAGCCACACAUGCUUUUUGCACAUGAAUUGAAGUUUUCUCCAUGUCAAACUUGGACUGCAUUUAACAACAUUAUCAAUAGUUAAUAUUCAAUAGACAAUUUAAUGGUUGAAAAUCUCUAAUCCUAAAAAAACAGUAACAAGGAGUUAGUAGGCAUCCUCUUGUCGGUAACAAGGGGGUCAAAAUGCUAAUGGUUGUGCAACUAAACAAUCCAUAUAACUACUUUAGAAUAUUCAAAUUUCUGUCUUGCUUCUUUGGAUAUAGUCUGUUGCCUUGCCUCUGCAUCAUAGGAUAAGAAUACAGAUAUUGAAAUAACAAUAAUAGUUGGUUCUUUUAUACUCCAAGGAUCAAUCGUGCACCUAAAGAACACAACAUCCCAAUAAAGGACAGUUCGGUUAUUCUGCAUUAUUUCCAAAGAGAACUAUAAAACUAUAUAAGGUUUGCAGCUGUUAUCUAUCUGUCCAUCUGUAGUUUGUGAUAGACCAUGGUCCAUGGAUUAUGAACUCUAAAUAUUUUUUUUUCUGUAUAUACACCUUCUUAACCCUGUUUAAUGCUAAUUCAAUGCAUGGUGUUGGCUUGUGGUGUACAAAUUUAGUGCCCCUGAGUGAAAGAGGGCCUCUGAAUAUGCAGCCCAAGCUGAGAAAAAGAAAUCUAGAAAGGCAUGAAAUAAACAAACAGUAGAGGCUAUUGCUUAUGACAUAGAAAGAACCUCAAAGGUUGAGAAGGAACCUUCACUGAAUAUCUCAGUUGCAUGAGUUUUCCUAGGUAAUUUGCUUUGCUGCUAUGCUCUAUACUACUAACAUGUAAUUUCAGUGUGAUAACUACAUAUGCCUUUCUAGCAAACCUUAAAUGUGUCAUUUUGGCCAUGUUUCUGUGCUUCUAUGGGUCUAACCGUAUCUUUUUUUUGUUUUAGGUGAUGCCCAUGCCCCUGUAGAGGGCGUGCUGUAUUGUUGGUGAGGAAGACCGUGAUAUCGUGGUGGCAAAGAUGCACUGCCUGAUGUUCCAUUAAUCAAUGCUCUAAGUAAUUAACAACUCACUUUUUUUCCUCAAAUACAGAUCUGUGAUAACAGUGCACUCUAAAGAAGCUCCUCUUUCUUUUAUUUGUGAUAAUAUAUUGCUGAAGUUAAGAGGGCACAUAAUUCCCUACUAUUCACCCCUACUUUUAUUUGUGUUGAACUGCAUUGAAAAUUUAAAAGAUCUUGUGGCAACACACAGCCAUAUAUACACUAAAAUUCUCUUAAAAAGAUAGACAAAAGUAAAAAACGAUCAAGUGGCUCUUAUUCCAGGAAUACUAGGCAUGGCUAACCAAUGUCCACUUUAUGCUAUUAAGGUACGUGUCUAAACUUGAGCAGAAAAAAAUUUGAAACUAAACAUCCAUUAUAAGAUAUAUUCAGUAAUUGAGACGUUUCCCAUUUCAUUGUGUACAACACAACAGAAAGAAAGAAAUAGAAUAGAUGUCCAGAAAGCAGUGUAAUGGUUGGUUUUGUGGUGUUUUAGUCCAGUGGUGAAUAGCAUAUCCUCCCUAAUCUCUAAGCUUCUUUUAUUCAACACUUCCAUACUUUCAUUAACUUGCUAUACAUAGACAUCUGUAAAUAUAUAAACUUUCAGCUCAGAUAACUAGACAGACUAGUAAAAACAAUAUCGUAAAUCAACUAUAAAUUGGUCAAAAAGUUGACUGGUUGGUCUCCACUUGGUUCCUACUCUCUCCAUUCCAAAUGGUCAAAUGUGUAACAUAUUCAGAUAAAAUCAUUUGCUCUCCCUAUACAAUAUCAACCUUCACAUAUAUACAUGAUGCUGUUAAGAAAAUUUGAUGGUAAUUGUAUAUCAGCUUCAUUAUUAGCAUUUAGUUGAUUUUUCUUAUUAAGAAGAGCAAUCUCAGCAGCAUGAACAACAAAGCCAGCCUCAUCAUCUCGGCUUAAAGGCAUGUCAGAUACUUCUGGUCUCCUCCCAAGGUCCACAACACAUGUUUGCUCUUGAUAGGGUGCAGCAGUGGAUGCAACACCAUCUAUUUGAGACACAUUAUACAAAUGGCGAUGAUUAAACCUUUGAACAAUCCGCCAAUUCUUUCCAUGCUUAUUAUCUGGCAAAUAGAAUACUUGUGUCGCUUGAGUUGCCAAAAUAAAACUAUCCUUUUUGCACCACAAGUUGCUAAUAUUGAUACUCUUAUAGAACUCAUCAUCUUUUAAUGAGGUAUGCUUACCAUCUAAUUUGUACCAGUCACAUCUAAAAACUACAACUGAUCGUUUUGUACCAUCAUCCUUGUCAGUGUACAGAAACUCAAUAAUCUCUUUAGGUGUGCCAUAAUAAUCAAUUAUUCCAUUUCUAUAUGCACCUGUACAGGUCAACCUGGAGUUUUGUGUCGUCUUGUUUUUGUCACGCUCGGCGGUGUUGAACCGAACACCAUUGACAACACAAGUGGAGUAUGAUCUUACUCUAAUGUCAGGGCCACAAGCUAAGGCAAGUAAAUCAUCAUCAACCACGUCUGUUGCAUUCAACCUCCACAUCUACAAUGGGAAAUGUCUCAGCGCCUAAUUAUAAUUACUAAAACAUUACAGAAAUACUAGGAUACUAUUAAGAGACUAACAUGAUUCCUGAACCAAUGCACAAAGCCAUUCUCUGUCCUUCUUUCAAGAUCUGCAGCAGCCACCCCUGAUGUUGUUAAGUCAUCUUGAAACUUUCUGUAACUAAAAAAAAAAUCAGUAAGUGACUAAUCUGAAAAAAAUGAUUAUAACAUACAUAGAUAGAGAUUUUGGAACAUACUUUAUUAAUUUCUCGGCCUGAUCACAAUUGUUGAGAACAUACCAAACCAGCUGAUCAAUUUCCUCAGAGUACGAAUAAUCAUAUGCGCUUAUAAGAUUAACACCGUGCCCAAAAACAUCAACAAUAUAUGCUGACUGAUCUGAAAAUCCAACAUUUCUUGGAAGCCGAUUAAACCUUGUCUCCACAUCUUCCAUAUAUCUAGAGCAAAAUGUGAGGGCUUCAUCUACCACAUAAGCCUCUGCAAUUGAGCCUUCUGGACAUGCCUUGUUCCUAAGACUUCUUCAGAGUAUACAAACGAUGUUCAAUUGGGUACAUCCAACCAAAUUGUACAGGUCCCCGAAGGAUGGCCUCAUCAGGCAAAUGGACAGCAAGGUGAACCAUAACAUCAAAAAAGGAGGGGGGAAUAUCUUCUCAAGCUUGCACAAUAUGAUAGGUAUUUCUGUCUUCAUUCGAGCCAACAAAUCUGUGUUCAGUCUUUGGCUGCACAAUUCCCUGAAAAAUUUGCCAAACUCAGCAAUUGUUUGAUAGACAUCAUCGUCCAAUAACCCUCUUACCACAGCAGGUAUAAUCCUUUGCAACAGAAUGUGACAGUCAUGAGUUUUUAGGCCUUGCCACUUGAUUGCAUCAGCAGUUAAGCACUUUUGUAUAUUUGAAGCAUACCCGUCUGGAAACUUGGCAUCCUUCAAGAAAUUAAGAAAUUGAGUCUUCAUUGACUGGGACAACGUAUAUCGAGCUUUAGGCAUGUCAUAGUCAUCAUCUCCCUUAUGCUGCAAUUGCAACUCCUUCCUAAUUUUCAGAUCAGCAAGAUCUAACCUUGCAUUAGUUGUAUCUUUUGACUUCCCUUUGAUGUCAAGAAUGGUACCAAGCAGACUUUCACAUACAUUUUUUUCAAUGUGCAUCACAUCAAGAUUGUGUCUGAGCUUUAGAGAUGACCAAUAUGGUACGUCCCACAAACAAACCCUUCUACCCCAAAUUGGUACACGAUUCCCAGAACGCUUCCUUUUCUGUCCAACUCUAACAUCUCUAACCUUUUCUAAUUCUUCUAGCAACUCUUCUCUAGUGAAAGUACCUGGCUUUGCACUAGUACCAUGGAGAGACUCAAAAUCAUUGGCCUUGCGCAAAUGAUGACCUCUUGGAAGGAAACGACAGUGCCCAAUAUAGCAUAUCUUGCUCCUGGCAUAGGAUAGAGGAUUUGUGUCACAAUGGAGACAAGCAAAGUAACCACUAGUGGUACGCCCUGAUAGAGUACUUAGUGCUGGGUAGUCAUGAAUGCACCACAACACUGCAGCAUGAAGCUUAAAAUCUUUUCCUGUGAUAGCAUCAAGGGUAUCCACACCUCUCCAUAGCUCAAGUAAAUCUUCUACUAGAGGCUGCAAGAAAAUAUCAAACGCCUUCCCUGGUGAAUGAGGACCGAGAAUCAACAAAGACAUCAUGAAAUUAGAUUCUUGCAUGCAUAACCAAGGUGGUAAGUUGUAUGGAAUCACAAAAACAAGCCACAUGCUAUAAGAUGAACUCAUGUUGCUAAAAGGAUUGAAACCAUCUGUGGCAAAGUCCAAGUCUCCAAGUCUUAUGUUUCGUGCAUCUUUAGCAAAAUUAGGCCAACACUUUGUCAAAAUCUUCUCAUGCCUUUCCAUCAACAGGAUGGGUCAUUUCCUUCUCAUUUUGUUUCCUCUUCAACUUAUGCCACUGUACUUCCUCAGAUGAUUUCCUAGAAACAAACAACCUUUGUAGCCUAGGGAUCAAUGGAAAAUGCUUCCUCAGAUGAUUUCCUAGAAACAAACAACCUUUGUAGCCUAGGGAUCAAUGGAAAAUGCCACAACACCUUUGCAGGAACCUUCUUCUUCUCAGGAUCUUUCCAUCUUGAUGCUUGACAAACUGGACAAUUAUCUAAUUCCUUAUAUGUCUUUCUAAAUAGCACACAAUUGUUUGGGCACACAUGAAUUGAUAUAUAACCAAGUCCCAAUUCAUGAAGCAUUUUCUUUGCUUCAACAUAUGAUUUUGGAACAGUGUUGAACUGUGGGAAAGCAUCUGACAACAUCUCCAAAAUCAUAGAAAAUGCUGAGUUAGUGAUCCUAUAAUAUGACUUGACAUGGAGUAGCUUGAUCACAAAUGUCAACCUUGAAAAAUUUGUGCAACCCAGAUAUAGUUCAUGCUUAGCCUCUUCAAUCAAAUGUUUGAAACGUGAUGCAGCAUCAUUGGAUGGGUUUCCAUCAUCAUGUCCAUCAUCAUUUACAUGUUCGGAGCUGACAAGGUCCCUUAACAUCGCAUCCAAUCCAUCAUCAUGUACUGGUUCCUCCAAAGAAUUAUCAUUUCCAUCCUUAGGUACUGGCUCCUCCAAAACAUGAACAUCGCUGCCCUCUUCAUGGUUUAUCCACCUUGUAUAUGUAGUGGACAUGCCAUUGAGCAGUAGGUGCCUCUCCGCAUCAUUCUGGUGUAGAUAUUUAUGGUUUAAACAAUUAGUACAUGGGCACAGAAUUUGUUCAGUCUCAUUAAACCUCUCUUUGAUGAAGUCCAUGAAAGAUUUCACACCACCAAUAUACUGAGGUGUAAAUAACACACCAUACACCCAACGUCUGUCCAUCUACAACAAAAAUUGCAAAACAUACAUCUUCGAUGCAUUAGAACCACUACAUGGACUAACAAACUAAAGCACUAAAUUAAAUGUACCAAAUGUACAAUUGAAAGAAUUAGAAAAAGAAAUGAUAGGUCUGCUGCAUCAAUAAGAUAAGGGGUUUUUUUUGCACGCUUCUUAUAUUUAGAGAAUGAUUAUUUGUUGGAAUAUGAUCUGACAUGGUUGUGGUAGCAAGAUAAGAUUUAAUCCUGCAUUUCACAUUUCUUUUGACAGAACUUUGAUGUCAGUUGCACCUAAAAUAUUCAAGAAAAUGCAUCUAUGGAAUGAAAUAUAGUAUGAAUUCUAAGGCUCUCAACGAUUCAAGAAACUCAGGUUGGAAUGGUUGAUUAUUGUUAUUGACCAGUACAUAUCUUUUUUCCUGUGCUUACAGGCCCAAGUGGCCAUUUUUUUAAGCCACAAAUAAGAGGAGCACAUCAACAACGCCUGGAGAAGCUCCUCCUGCAUUGGUAUGCCCUCCUUUCCAAGGACAUUCAGCAAUUGCUCAGUACUGAGUAGCAGUUAAUCUAUGGCCACCUGUUCAGCAUUUCCAUUCUUACUUGAGAAUUUGGAAAUGCCUGGACUAAUUUGGAAUCACAAGUUGUCAGAUCAUGCUUCAUAAACUUAUUAAUUUGGUGCCUGCAUGCAUCCUUACUCACAUGCAGCUAUAUCCUUGCUCUGAAUGUUUCCAUUACUAAAGCAUCUCAAAAUUCUAAGGAUUAGAAUAUUUCAGCUGCAAAAAUUAGCCUGAUAAGUAAUGCUAGUAAGGACCUGUUAUUAAGUACAAAUGGUUUAGAAAUAUCUAAGAAUGUUCAACAAGCUAAACUAGCUAACUGACCACAAUAUAUAGAGUUGGUGGGAAGUUUUUAGGAUUUUAUAUAUCUAAAACUCUGAGUUGGCCUUUAGAGUGUUGACAGAUAAGUGCAAGGUUUAUUAUAUUGGAUUUAAUGAAACAUCUGCCACCCUCUUGUGCGCAGAGCGAUAUCUGAUGACAUUAUGGAGUUAUGUUAAGAAGAACAUUAUCGAGUCUAACCAAACAAAGUGGAAUCACUACUACACCAACAAAUAUGCUGUGAUCCGAUUUCAUUUCUAUUUUCAUUACCAUUCCAUGAACAAAACAGCGUGAGAUUUAUCAUGCGCACACAUGCUAGGAUUGCAAGCGGCAGCGGGUUGAGCCAUGAGCCCGCUGGGCAGCACGUGCCGCAAGCCCACCAGACCACGCAUUAUGGCCUGCAUCUUUUUAGCGGCGCAAUGCGGUCAACCCACGUAACCCAGCAGCGUCACAACCCGCAUCUUUUACGGCUGCGAAUCCUAGCGUUGUCGGCCUUUUAAGCUUCACCGUAGGCCUGCCCAGCAGCCUGUCAUCGUCUUCAGACUUGCUGCCUUCGGGCCCUCAGCUGUGAUCGUACGUAAUCAUCACUCAUUGAUGAUUUCAUCUGGGCACCAAAUUGAUGAUCUCUGAACCUCUUCAAUUCUUUGAUGGAUGUCCUCUGAAGAGUAACAGGGGAUCCUCUGUUCUAUAAUCUAGAUGCUUUGUUCUUAGUUUAUUUAUUUAAUUUUUCACUGUUCUUGUCUCAACUAGUAGUAGCAGUUUAGCAUGAGCUAGCAGUUAGACUUGCAGAUAAUGGAGCAGCAAUUAAACAUGAAGGACCACUGCUUGCCCAAAGGUUUGUGCAAGUAUAUCGUCUUGUGGAUAGCAGAUAUUACAGCUGAGUUGUUUUGGUUGUGGCAACAUGCGGGCUGCGGCGAAGCCCACAAAAAGCAAGUGGUGCUAUGCGAACUGCCGCAUGUGGCCACAAGCACUUUGCGGCUCCAGCGGGUAUGGCGUGGGCUGCCCACCGCCACCCCACUUGCAUUCUUGGUAUAUACACAACUUGAGUCGAGUCUCAAAUUAAUAUGUUUCAUAGUCUGCGCAACAAAUUAAAUAACUGUAUUUUUACUGUUUCAUGUAAUCCUUUCUACCCAAUGGAGAAAAGGGGGAAAAUGAACCCGCUCACACACCCAUGGUCUAAAACAUGCAAGACUGGUUUAAAACAUGCAAGACUCACAAAUCACAAUGCAGGUACCAAUUUCUGAACUCAUUUUGUAGACCAAACUAGUAGGAAACGCGCGCCCCUGCGCGCGUCCAGUAAAGGCUUACCGAAGCUUGUGUGGAAGCAAUGGAGAUACAUGUAUAUGGUUCUGUGUAUGAGUGUAGAAACUGAGUAGGUGCAAAGUACCACACAUAGGGCGACCAUUCAUACAAAUUACAAUACAUGAUAUUCAUAGUGCUUAUAUCCCGUACAUGCUAGGCUUCCUUGGACAUAUGGAAGCAUUAUGGGAUGGUUGUGGGCUCUUAUAUUAGAGAACACAAUUAGAUAGGUGCUGUUUUUUUGUGAGAUGCAGUGCACAAAUUCAUCCGACAGGGUACUGCAGAACAUAUAUUAGCUGUUCAACUGAAUGAAGUCACAUGUACUGCCUUAAAAUGAACUGGAGGGAACAUAUAAAGUCAGAGCAAGGCGCUGAAGGAGGCAACCUUAUAGCACUAUAAAAAAUCUCGAUGCUUUUAUGUACAAAUCAUAAGGCACCUUUGAAACACCAUCAUUACUGCAUCAGCAAGCGAAAUCAUAUAUACACAAAUUGCAAACAUGGCAAGGCAGGUAUGAAUUUGAAGUUGUAGCUCUAUCCAAUCUAUUUUACAGAACUGAAAUGUAAUUAGAAAAUGUUGCAUUGUUAAAUUUUGCAGAACUGAAAGGUGUCUUUACCCUACCUUGCUUUCAUCACGUCGUGGACUCCCUGAUUUGGUAGUGAGUUGACCGCCAAAGUGUUCCGUCACAUAUAGGCUAAAUUUAGAGUUAAACAUAUUCUGCUAGAACCCAUGAGGGUUUCUAAUCUUCUUGAACAGUAAUCACGUAAUCUACAUGAUUGCUCACAAAAUGUACAUACCUGUGUGGAGGCUGAAGGGCAUUGAAUUAAUUUUCUCUGCAACACCCAGUUUCUUUUUUUGCAUAGAUGUAAUAGGUUGUGAGCCAACCUACAAAUGAUUUUAUCUUCCAGAUAAGGGAACUCAAGUGAAUAUUUGGAACAGUUUGAAUAAAAACUAGAAUAAAGGCACAUGUCAGGUUUGAAAAGGAAAAAAAGAGCUAAUACUUUUUACAGCCUCCAUGAUCAACCAAUAGGUUUCACCUUCUUCAAGGUAGAUGGUAGCAAAAAUUGCCUAGUGCAAAUCCAUGUUAUAGUGAGUAGCAAAAAAGGAAAAACAAUGACAGAGGGCAAAGCUGAUUUGAUUCUUGAAAUCCUGUAUAUAUACAUGAUCAAAUAGCAUAAACUGACAAAGACAUCAACUGUCAGAUUUCUGGAAGCCAGAGAAUUCGUCUCUCAGAUUUUGCUAGGUUACAUAAGACAAGAAGGCUGCGUGAGCCAAACAGAGAGGCAUCACAUACCAAUCUUAUGAACAGAAGUGUCAUAACAGAAAAUAUAGCAGUUUAUAUUUUAAACAACCAAAGACAAUAUGUGAGAGCAGUAAAAAAUAGAAACAUUAUAGUUUCAUAAAGCAGACCUUGAUAAUGACUCAAUCACUCUCAACGCAGAUCCACUAUAAUCAUGUGGCAAGCGUUCAAGCUAAAAAACAAUGAUGGGUAACAUUAGUUAGUAGUACUUGAAGUUCAUAUAAUACAAACCAAAAUCUUUAAAGUUGUCAGCACUAUAAAAAAGGAAUGCAUUUAAGUUGCCAAGCUCACUAAAAUUCUUAUAGUAGGAUGCCACCUUAGACUCAAUAAGCAAAUAUAUUAUUGUGUGCCUCUCGACUUCAUAUAAAAAAUCAUGACCCAACUUGGUUAGUGCACCGAGAAAUAGAAGUUUAAAACAUAGUUGUUGGCGACGCUCAUAACACUUGGUUGUUGUCGAUAUAUCAUUGUUGAUACAUGUAAACAAAAGGAGAAUUAGUUCAAACCUUAUCCUCAGGUGUUAUGUUGUGGUACGCUUCCGAACAUUCCCGGGAGCUAAAGUGGAGUCUUCAUGUGUUGCAGUAGAUUUGUAGGAACAAAAGUGAAGGGAAACAAAACAAAUGAGUUGUUAGUUGUAAAUAGCUGUCUUUCUGGACCAAAAAAAGGAAAACCAUUUAUCUGCAGGUACUGAUGGAUCAAUAAUAUUUAAUAUGGUCUUCAUUGCUUUCUGUACAUCAUCUUUUGUAAUGUACAGAAAUUUGACAGUUUCAAAAUUUGUAAUGUAAUCCUGGUGAGGGUGUCUGCCAAUAGAAACAAAUAUUAAGAAUUGUUAGGAUUGUCGUAACCUAUGUGACUAAUUGUAGUUGCAAGUGUCGAUAUGAAAUUUUCGAAGAUCAGGGAUAAACAUGAGUAUUUCGUAAUUCGAGGACUUCAUGUUUACCCUGAGUGGCUGCUUGUUCUAUUUGGUGCGAAGAUGCCUGAAAUUUAUUCGUCAAUACAUUUUAAAAGGUUUGUUCAUAAUUAUCUGUACAAAUAUAAUGGGCUAAGGCAACUGUCAUUUGAGUUGCAUAUAAAAGAAGGGACAUAAAUGACUUACUGCAGUAUCAGUAUGGUAUACUAAUCUAGCACACACCUUUAUGGAAAACCAUCCACUAUCUACCUCUUUUGUGCAAAAAGAAACGUACAAUAACAAAGGAUGGCAAUGUAGCUUCAAAAUCGAUAUUAUCAACAUCGUAGUAGCCAUUUGCAAUCUCCUUAGAUAAAUAAUUUUCUCAUGGCAGAAAAUAAUGGAGGCAUUUUUCUUAGCAUACAGUCAUGGAAGCAUAUGAAUAUAAUACCAGAUCACUCCAAAAGACUAAAUCAUUCAGCUACAUAUAACUGUAAAUUGAAACUCCAAUCCCAAGUUGCUAUGGCAAGUAAAUAGUAAGGGACAGGUAGGUACAUGAAUAUAUUUAAUUUGUAUGAUCAUGUUGGCAUUAAGAUGAAUGACAAACAGAAAGUACAAUUAGUUUUAGCAGUAAUUGGUGGAAGGGACACCUUCCAAGAUAGUUCAGUUUCAUGCAGGAUUAAUUCUAGGAUGCAUAAGUCUAGUUUCAUGCAUAUAAAAUUUGAAACAAUACUAACCUGAAUAAUAAACAAAAAAGCAGCUAUUCCCUGAGGCCUUGUAGCCUUAUUUCUUUCUGUAUUGGCUAAGUUGUUUCUAGUUACAUUGAGCCUGCAGGUUAGUUGUAGCACUUGUGUCUGUGGCUAGUAUUCUAUAUUCCACACAAUAGGUCAGGAAUGAAGAAAACACACACAUAAAAGUAAGGUGCUUAAAGGAUAUGACAAAGGCAAGCAACUCCGACCAAUAAGGUUAACAAAGAUAAAAUACAGAAAGUGCCAAGUAAUCAUUGCAUUGAAAAACUGUGACUCAACAUAUGAAUAAGUUAGGACCCAGAUAUUUCAUAGAUCAUACAACUGCACACUAAAAAAAAUUAGGCACACAGCAUUAUGAAAAAGAAUUUUAUUGUACAUUAGGCAAGCAGCAGUAUGAAAAAUAAUUUUAUUGUAUACACAUGAGGCAUUCCAAAUAUUUUUUGGUGUGAGACGACAUAAUAUCUUCAAUUGUUACUGAGAUUAAUGGGUAAGUUCGUUACGAACGACUAUGGAAAGAGGAUAACUACAAUAUGUAAAUACGGGGAAAAGGUUCUUUUUUGAUAUAGUAUCGAGGACAUGCAUGCCUGUAACAGAUUGGAAGAGACUGUAAUUAACAGUUACAAACAACUAUGGAAAGAGGACAACUACAAUCUAUAAAUACGGUGAAAAGGUUCUUUUUUGGCAGAGUAUCAAGGACAUGCAUGGCUAUAACAAAUUGGAAGAGACAAUAAUUAACAGUGCAGAGAAGUUUUUUUUUUUUGUGUAAAUGAGGUAUAGCAAAGUUUACACCAUUGAAACAAAACUAAGAAGCAUGGUAAAUCCUUGUCGCUAGAAAUCAAUGGAAACAUGCACAUAUAAAAACAUGAGAUCUAUCAACAGUGGACAAAUACAUGAAAUGAGUGGAACAUGUACUGCAGAAUUAGAACCAUAUACAUGAUAAUAGGGCAAUAUAUCAACCAGACAAUUCUCCUACUCCUCCUACUAUUAAAGGAAUUUCUUGUUGUCAUUAAAUAAGAAUGGAGAAGUGCACAUGUUAGAAUCUGCAUUUUUUUUCUCUAGUACAUAUGUUUCAUUCUUAGUUUCCUGUAACCAUGUAGAAAACCUGCAAACCCUUUUAAUCAGUACUAUAAAACUAAAACCAAAGACUAAAUUAGAAGAAAGUGAGGGCUAGAGACAGGGGAGCUGAGAGUUUACCUCGUUGUUCAUGCAGCCGCCGCUGCGUUGUCAGCGAGCAUCUCCACGCAUGAGGAGGGCACCAACAGCAGGGGUGUGGUCGGCGCUGGGCCGUCGAGACCUGCAGCAUAGGCAGCUAGGGUUUCUUGUAGCACUCGCACAACAGAGAGAGGAGGCAUCACCAAGGGGCAGGCACACCUGCGGCCAGCAGCUCGCACCCUCGCACCGCGCUAUGGCCUGGGGCAGGCAUCGCCAGUGUCCACGGGGUAUGCCGCACCACAGCACCUCGUGCCGUGAGGUGGUGGUGCGGACAUGGCCGGCACAGCACGAGGCGUGGGGAAGAGGAGGAGGAGGAGGAGGAGGAGGAGGAGGAGGAGAGGAGGCCGGCCGCAGCCGCCGCCGCCGUGCCCGCCCGUGCCCGUGCCAUCGCCGCCUUGUCCGUGUGGAGAUCGAGUGGGAGAGGGAGAUACCGACGGGUGAGAGAGGGAGGAAUUUGGGAGAAGAAUUUGGGAUGAGAAGCGGAAGCCCGAGUAUAUAUUGGUGUGCUCGGAUUCGGAUGAGAAGCUAGUGAAGCCAAGGAAAAGCCACUUAGAAGCUAGAUAAAACACGUGAAGCUGCUUCCGAUAGAAUCCGCUUCGUGUUUUCUAGACCGUCGAUCUGCAGAUCGGACGGCCGUAGGAAUUUCGGCCGACGUGGCCUGGCUGGACGCGCAGGAGCGUGUUCCAAAUUGUAGGAGAGAAUUUGCAAUUAAAAGAAUUAGAUAAGGAACUUUUCAACAGUUGACUGAAGGGUGGAUCUAGGGACUAGGGUGUUCUGCAUCUACUGUGCUCACCUUGCUUGAAGCUGCCGAGGGGGGUUGUUCGACGGUGCUGCAGAAGGGGCGCUGCCGCCGCCGCUGGUGCCGGCUCCUUCGCGGGUGCCCGGCUCCUUCGUGCUGGGGCUCUGGGAGGAGGCAGCCGCAUGCCGCAGCAGUUGAAGGGGCAGCGCCGCAGACGUAGGGCGCGAGCCGGGGUGAGCUGCGGUGGGGAGGGGAAGGGGGCAGUGCCGCAGGGGCGAGUUGGCCGGAGUGGGAGCUUAGAGGUGGCGCCGGUCGCCUGAAUGGCGGGGCGAGCAGACGCGACUGACGGCCUGAGCUGCGGCGCGGGAGGAACCGAGUGCGAACAGCUAUCUCUUAAUCUCAAUGCAACUAGUACGUAUAAAAAUGCUAAAUGAUAUGCUAUAGUCCGUAACACAGCAGUAGCCUAGUGGUAAGCACUUAGCUCUUCAAAAGAGGGGACAGAGGUUCGAAUCCUUCGAACGGUAUGCCAAAAUUUUUUGUUUGUACAUUUUAAUAAACUGACAGGUGGGCCCACCAUCCCAAAUACACAGGUGCAUCCCACCUCUAUUUAUUUAAUAUUAUAUAUGUCCACGUAGGAUUAUCCGGAAUUGAUGUGGUCGUCCACAUCAGCGCCUUAUUGGAUGCUUCACCUGUGACCAAACCGAGUUGUCCAUCACAAAUUCACAACUGCAUUGUCAAAAUACUCUGUGAUGUCCAAUCGUCAUAAUUGUAUCACCCUUGGCACAAAUAAUAUAAUUCUGUGAUGCUUGCUGAGAAGGUCAUAAAAAAAGUCAUGUAAAGCACUAUUUCUUGUAGUGAUAAUACCGGUUAAACUUUAAAAACCUCCCUCGGCUACGCACUCGCCAAGACAUACCGAGUACGUGCACGACGCGGCAAGUGUUAAGCUGUACGGGCGGCCUAACCAUAUAUUUAUGUGGACUAGUUGAAUACCCGUGCAUUGCUAUGGGUAAACAAGAUAUCUCAUGACAUACAACCGCACAAGUACAAAUUUAUGUCAUUACAAAUGCUUGUGUAUUGUAACGAGAGCAAAAUAAUACCAUAACAUACAUUGCAACAUGAACAGAAUAAUGUCAUGGUAUUUUUAAGUUUGAUCUUGGGUUGUACAAUUCCAUCUCAGCCCUUAUAGCUACAAUGGGCAAACUCAUGCAGAACCUUGUUUCGUAUCCUACCUAUUGUGACAAAUUCACAACUUAGAUGACAACCUUCUUAUUGUGUCUCGGAUUAAUGGCGCGACCACAAAAUGACCAUGCAAUGAUGCCUAGACCCUGGAGCUUGUACACCAAGGUUGAGAAAUUAUGUUCAAGGAUUACCACUUCAUGCCUCACAAGCGACCAGCAAUAUGCCUUCUAGACAUAGUAUUGCUUCCGUUUUGUCCGAUCCCUGCAAUGGAAAAAUAUUGCUUUUCCAUUAUAGAUCUUUUAUCCAGUAUUCAACAUAUUUUCUAACACUCCAAACCCACCUAAUGAGCGUGGUAAAAGAGUAAAUUGAAGUUAAACAAUGCAGUUUUCUCUAGCUCAUUUCAUUUAUAGAUAUAUAGUAGCCUUACUUCAAUAUUUGUUAGAUAAACAUUCGAGAAAAACUGAGUAUGCCAAAUGUCAGGAUUAUAUCAUACUAUCACAAAUAUUUUUAAGUGUCAAACAAAUGAUAUUAAACAAUUUGAAGGAAUCAUGAGGGUGACUAACUGGUCAUUAACAAUUGCAGGAAACUUCAGGGCCUACACACUUCAAAUCCUCAACAUAUUUCUGAGCCAAACAUAUCAAUAUCUUGAGAACUGGAAUUUAACAACCAUCUUAACCCAGAAUUUACUAAUUAUGUUCAUUGAAAAAUUAGGGCAGGAGAAGUAAAUGUACCACGCACUUGCUUGCACGAAGCAUGACCUCCUUGUGCUCUGGUUUCACAGUGGGUGGUUUCUUGAUUUUGAUGGUUAACUUAGUUUAUGUUGAUCACAUUGAUGUCAUUCUUGUUCAACACUAUAUUUCACUGCCACUAUGUCUAGUUCCUGCAAAGAUAGUACAGAGCUUGGUAUUCUCACAAGUCAUAUCACUGUCAUCAAGCAGUUAUUAUUCUCAUGCUUCACAUUGCACUGAAAAUAUGUAUAUAACUAUGUCAUGCAUAAUCAAGUUCCACAACAACAUCAUUCGACUAAUAUAAGUUAUGAUCUAGGGCUGUCAUUGGUUGAAAGAAAAAUUUUCAGAAAAAUGCAAGCAGAAAAAGAAAUAAAACUUGAAGCUUAACUAAAAAUCAAGAAAUUGUUGCCUUGGAUAUUCUAAAUAGUGUUGGGGAUGGAGAAAGGACAAACCAUGAGCCUAUUCAAAGGGGAAAUCAAUUUUCAAGUAAUCAUAGUGGAUUAUGUUAUCAGAUCGAUUAUUCUAAGAAUUGUCUAAAUUAUAUCCAACAGUCAAUGCCAUCAUCUUCUCUGCUGCCGACGGUAUGGACCCAAGCAUAAUACAGGGAAAUGAUCUACACAACGCCAACAUAUUUUGAAAAAAAAAACAGGAGAAGAGAAAUCACCACCAAUACAUACUGGAUUUUGAGGCUCAGAUAAGAAUCUUAUCCAGAGUUAUUUGUACUGUAUAUGUUGAGAUGGCAACUUAUUGAGCAAGGUUACUCUGCCUGCCUGAGUAUUUUCACUAAAAUUGUGCAUAUUCAAUUAGUUUGUUGGAAGGUGCAGGUACAUCUCGAAAUGUCCAGAGCUCCAGUCUGAACUCAUGGGCCAUGGCCUUGGUAAUUGGAGUAGUAGGCGGUUACACGAACUAUCUUGUGGCAGAGCAACAUGAAGAACAAUUGUUUGGAAAAAAUGGAAAGAUAGAGCAUAAACUAAGUAAAAGAUACAUCACUUUAACUACAGGAGCACCCACCAUUUUAACAUCCACCGACUGCAAACUUGGUUGUUUGUUUGAGAUAAACGCAACCUACCAGUCAAAAAUCAAACAAACAGCUGUAACUUGAAAUAGAGUAGAGAAUUAGUAAAUUGGUGUGCAGCUCAAUUUUAUCUAUAAUAUUUAACCUUAUCAGUCAAGAAAUCCAGGAUUGAUCAUUAUAAUAAACAAAGCAUGGCUGCGACAACUGGAUUCCAACAAGCAGAGAAAAUACCAGUUGGUCAAGAUGAAAUGGUAUUUUUACAAUUAUUUAGGGAACUCAAUUGACUUAAAACACACAACCAGCCAAUUCCAUAAUUUGCAGAAUAUUAAAAUUGCCAGAGAUAGACUUAGCUUCGAUCUAUCGAGGAAGGGUUGGAGAUAUAUAUAUAUAUAUAUAUAUAUAUAUAUAUAUAGGACGCGUUUCUCACAAUUAGUCAGGCGCACCUUCUCACAAUUCAUGCAUGCAUGCAUGAGAACUUAUCUCCUCCUAGAUUUCAGUUGAUAGGCUUCGCUUGCCUUAUAAAAGUUGUUACGCACAGGUGUCGUGGCAAGUAUACGUAUAUAUGGUAUAGUAUGCGUUUAUACUUUUUUAGAGAGUAUACGUGCCAGGUAGUAGUAUGUGCCGAUACGUGCCAGGUAAGUAUGUCCAUGUAUAUAUAUAUAUAUAUAUAUAUAUAUAUAUAUAUAUAUAUAUAUAUAUAUAUAUAUAUAUAUAUAUAUAUAUGGCCUUUUUAAUAAGAGUAUGUGCACAUACACACAAUAAUAGAGUAUAUACUACAAGGUCAUAUUAAAAAAUAUGUAGUAUGAUACUAGAGUACGUACGCAUGUGCACAUACAACAUGUACAGUAAUCAAGUAUACACACAUAACACAAGGUGGAAAAACUAGUAUGAAUUAGUACUUUUGCCAAAAAAAAGUAUGAAAAAUACUCUUUUAAAAAAAGAAAGAAAGCACGUCAUACUUUUUUAACAAAUGAGAGUAUAUGUAUAUGUAGAUACACAAAAAUUUGCUUAGUAUAUGUACAUACUUUUUUGACAAAUGAGUAUACAUAUAUACAGAUACCUUUCUUUGAAUAAAAGUAUUGGUUCAUACAUUAUUACGAGUAUAUUAUUUUACUACUAGCAUUUAUCUCUCAGCUUGCUUAUGGUCCUCGCUCGGUGCACCCAAUGCUUCGUGGUCGUCGCAGGGAUGGACACGCGGACCACGUGGAUGAUAUAGGCGAAUGCAGACAUAGCUUUCUCGAGAAUAUAGGAUGUGAAACGAGUUGUAUAUCUCGAUUACUGCAGUAAGGAUUAGGACUAUCUCGACCUUACCUGGAUCGCAUCGACGGAUGUUCCUAAUUAAUUAAUCACAGAUAGAAAUUAAAUGUGAUGCCUAGACGGAUCUGCAUGCCACUUCUCCUGUCAGCUAGGGACGAUGCAGCAGAUGAAUUAUUGGAGCAGCUCAAGAAACGCCUUAACACUACACCACAACACUAAAAUAGCAUCAGACGUGUGUUGCUAAAUAUUAAAAUUGUCGUUGAACGGUCCGUUGCUAAACAUAUCCCUCGGAUCCUCCGUUGCUAAAAUUCAAUACUUAGAUGGAUAAUCCGUUGCUACAAGUAGUUUACUUUUGCGUUAGAUCGUCCGUCGCUAUAUAUCAGUAAUUGAUUCCGAUCGUCCGUUGCUAAAUAAAUUAUCCAUUGGCGCAUAGUUUUCGGCCCAUUCCCACAAAAAUUUUGGCCAGAUAGAAACCCUAGUUUUCACACACCAACCACACGAAAAACAUCCACACAUCUCUCCCUGCUCCCGCUGCCCCUUCCCACGCCGCCUCCCUGCUCCCAUGUUGGUUUCGUUCGUACGGCGCUGCACAGGCCGCCGCAUCGAGCCAUUAGGCAGCCGCCCGCCCCGGCCCCUACCCUUGUCGGCCGCCCGCGCCCUACCACGCCCCUGCUCCUGCCCUCGCCGCCCGCCGACCAAUCUCCAUCACUGAAGGUCGCCGGUGCACUAGACGUCUGCAUCAGGUGCCGGCCACCGGACUACCAGGUGCCCCAGCCAGUGCUCCAGCCAACAGUUCGCCUAGGUGCUGGCCGCCUGAGCACCAGACAUACUUGCUCCCAUCGUGUGCCCACACUAGCAUGGUCCUCUGCAGCUGGUCAUCCCAAAUCUUCUAAAGGUAUGUGCUUUAUCUGAAAUAGAUGCAAAUACAGGCAAUGGAUGGCACGUAUAGCAUUGGAUUUGCAGGAUCUAUUUUUGGUUCUUGAGUCCGUCCAUUUUUUGGAUGGGGGAAUUGUUUGUAGCCUCAAACUUGCUUGUUGUAUUGGUUGUUUCACCUCAAACUUGCAAGGUAAGAGGAUAUGGUCAAUAGAUCUGUAAUCUGCAAGGCAUUAGAUAAUGAAAAUAUUGAUCCAAAUAACAGAAGAUUUGGGAUGAUGUCUCACCCAUGUAUGGAUUUCACCAUCGAUGGAUGCUUCUGCCUUCUAGUCGCCGCAUCAAAAUAUCGCCGGGCCUAAUGAUCAACAGCUACGCUAUUGAAUCUGACUAAACCAGCAAAAUUGUCGUCGUUGCCGCACGUUCAUCUGUGUUACCAAAAAAGAAUCAAUAUAAUGGGAAAAAGGAUUUUGCAUUUAGAUGCUAGUACCUUCCAACAAAAUUGCCCAAUGAUGUGGUCGACCGGCGGCCGGCCGCAUGCCAGUUCCUCGAGGGAUGGCCAAGAUGAGAUGGGAAAUGACGCAGGCCGGGGAUGGCCAAGAUGAGAUGGGAAACGACGCAAUGGGGCGGAUGGAUGAUUAUAUAUAAGAAGAAAGAAGAAACGUAAAAUUAGGAUCAACAGUUCUUAACGGGUUUCCUAUAUAUGCCCGGUAUCCAUUUGGCCGGAUGGCUUGAAAGGAGCGUCGGGUGAGGGCGGCAUACUCUACGUGGGUUUAGAAGGAGGGAGUAGUUACUCUCAGAGAGUAGGAAAAAUUUACCCUAUAUAUAUAUAUAUAUAUAUAUACUCCCUAGGAGUAGUUACUCCUUUCUAAUAACCAUGCACUGCCCACGCUGGCACUCUUAGCGGGUUGUGAACGAGUAAACCCAAUAACAUGUAUACAAUCCACGCGCGCGUAUACCCAUAUUCCACCAAAUAAAUGAUUUUUUAAUCAUUAUUUCUCCGCUCGACUCGCUAGAUGAUAGGUCCGACUUCCGUUCGAAUUCAUUCCUCUCCGUGACAUGUGCUUCCAGAGGCCAACCGUAUCUGGAGACGGCGAUUCCUCUCGAGCGGUGGCGGCGCUUCCACCCAGCGUCGGUGCUCACCCCACGGCCUCUUCCUUGAGUGUUGGCUGGCCUCGCGUGGCCGAGGGGCCUGGUCGCGGCAGUCUCUGACCCGUUCCACCGCACCAGCGGCACCCUACCCCGUUCCACGGUGGCGUCGAACCCUACCCUGUUCCCCCACGACGGCGCACGACACGAUGUACCGGCUGACCGUUUCUCCAACGACGACGAUGCCAUCUCUAGCUAGUUCUUCAGCAGCCAUGGAUCUUGUGUGGAGUGGCGUUCGGUGGAGGGCGAGCGAGAUCUGCAGCAUCACCGGCCUCACCGUCGAUGUUCCAGAUCGUUGUUGCAGUCUAGUAUGUUAAGCACACCUCCUCCUGUAAAGAUGGGAUUCAUAUUCUAGCAUUAAUUUGGGAACAGCCGCACCUCUCAUCGGCGAGAACGCCGAGCAGACGUUUGGCGGCGGCCGCACGGGCGCGUACGCCUCUACACCUCUGCCUUGCAUAUAUACUCAUAUCUUGAUUCUAUUUAUCUGAUCUUAAUACAAAUCACCAUCACGCAGUGCAGCGCCUCUCUUUCCUUAGGUUUCAUCGCCGGAGUAUGUUGCACAACAUUGUGACUGGCCGGAGACGAGUUGAAGCCAAGCAACCACAAGAUGGAGACUAUGCAUGGCAGCAAUUAGUCAGAGAACAAGACUAUGAAAAUUCCCUCUCAGCGGCAAGCAAAAUUGGGAACAAAUAAGGUGUACUAACAAAAGUAUGCACGAAUACUCUAUUUUGAAAAUUAUGUACCGAUACUCCAUUCUGAAAAUUAUGUACAUAUGUACGUAUACCACAUUCUGAGAAGUAUGUAUGUUGCACUCCGAAAAAAUGUACAUAUACUCCAUUCUUAAAAGUACGUACAUAUACUCCAUUCUUAAAAGUACGUACAUAUACUCCAUACUAACAUAUAUACUUCAGUUAAAAAAAGUAUACUCAUACUAUAAAUGAGGCACUUCUAUAGGCAUACUAGUUUUUUUUAUUAAAGUACACACAAUGACACAAGUAUACACGCUCCUUCCAUUGGUAUAUCGACAUACUCUAAUAAAAAGGUAUGAACGCAUACUACCUAGUAUGUAAGUACACAUACUAUAUUUGUCUUAGUGUAUAUGAACAUACUCUCUAAGAAAAAGUACGUUCACAUAUGACUUUCGAUCUAGAGUCCUGAAGCCGUAAGUAUGAAACGUGCAAACGUACCUACGUAUACAACAAACCCAGCGUCAAUCUGAUCCGAUUUUAUCUAGACAUCCAGAAAAUACAAAUACAUAUGUUGUACAUCCACCGCAAGUCUAAAUGGGUCACGUUUCCCGACCCGUUAAGCAUCGUGUGAAUUGCCGGAAGCUCCCUGGUGCCUAUACUCUCGGUGGGAGUAAUUACUCCCGGGAGUAUAAAACAUGCACACCAACUAAUAAUCAUCACUGGCCUCUUUAAUCGAGAAUUGGAGAUCUAAAUCUUUUAACAUAUUGUAUUACUGUGCCAAAGAAGUUUGUGUACUCACUAAAAUAACCUAAUAUCAGAAACGCCCUUCAUCAUCACCAAUGAGGAAAGUUCUAAUUCAUCCAAAAUUGAAACAAUAAACAACAACAUAAAGGUAUUUCUUUCACCAGCAAGUGCGGACACAUUUGCUCAAUGACACCACUCGUCCACUCCAUCCAAGGAAGUAGAAAUCCAAGAACGCGAGACCUGUACCUAGCAGGGUCGAAUCCCAUGUGGAGGGUGAGUCGUAGCUCGUUGACGCUUUACCAUGGAGAGCUUCUUGUUUACCGUCAUGGCUGACAUACCCAACAAUGGAGCAGAGCCCCUGGAGAGCGUUGUGGUAGGCAGCGAAGUUGCGGAGGAUCUGAUGCUUUCUAUAGAGAUAGAAGGGGCUGCGGGACUUUGGCUGGUUCAGGUGGUUGGUUUGGGUAGGGUUUAGAGUGGGGAGUUGGGAGAAGGGAGCCCGAGAGCAAGUUCGCUGCCGCCAUUGCUAGGCUGGCUGUGGCUCAUGACAACGACGUUGACGGUGAGGGCAAGCGCUCCUGGGUGCGGGAUGGCUGAGGGCAGCGGCAAGCUGCCGGCGUCAGUGGGGAGGGCUGGGAGGCAGCAGGGCAUGUCGUGGAGGAGGCAUGGCGGCAUCGGCGUGGAUGUGGUGCCAGAUGCUACGGCGGCACAGGUCCUGUAGGUGGUGGUGCGUCUAGCGGCAUCGGGGCAGCGGAGCAGCUCCGGGAGCCGGCGCGUCCGGUGGGCGGAGCAGCUCCAGGAGCGAGCUGUGGGCGGCGCUAUGGUGCGGGCGAUGUGUUGCGACGGCGAGGGAGCAACGGGAGUUGCUGUGAAUGGUAUGUGCCUGGCGCACGGUGGCAAGGAGGGAGUGGCGUGAGCUUGAAGGCGAUAGGGAGGGGAGCUGGAUCUGGAUUGAGAUCAGGGAUUGCGGGAGGGGAGGGAGUGCAGCGUCGCUGGGGAUUGCAGGAGCGAGGGAGUGCGGCGUGACUAGGAUUGCGGGAGCGAGGGGAAGUCGGGUGGACGAUUGCUUUUCUCGUGUUUUAUUAUAGAAGAGAAUAGAGAAGUAUGCCGUGACGAUGCCGCACACGCUGUCGCCCCAUCGGCAGCCUCUCUGCGUGUGCGGUCGCUAGCUAGUAUGUUCUCAUCAUCUCUGCAUGUGCAUAUAUACAUAUCCACGCACCGUCGUCUGAUAUCCGCGCGAGAGUCAAGAAAGCGCAGAGGCAUGCAACCUAUGUUUUAAAUAGCAAGUUAAGAUGUUUAGUGGUUCAUGUCUAAAACAGCUAAUAGCGGAGCUAAAUCGGGCUAUAGCGGAAUAUAGCGGCUAAAUUGUACAUGAACACAAAUAGCGGCACUCUGCCUCAAAAUGCUAUAGCUGGCUAUAGCGGCAGCUAUAGCGGGAUAUUUAAAACUAUGCAUGCAACAGGGGGCUGCUAGUGUCCACCGAAACAUCGGGAUUCUUCGCAUCCGAACGACCAGAAAUAUCUUUUAUGUUUUUUCUGUUCUUCAUUUUUAUUUAUAUUUCUUUUUUUCGGUUUUAUGUGACUUUUUGUUAUCCGUUUCUUUUUAUUUUUUAUAUUUCUUUUAUUUCUUAUUUCUUUUUUCUUUUAUUUGCUUUUAUGUUUUCUUUUUAAUAAUGUAUUUAGUGAUUUUCUAUAGUGUAUUUAGUGAUGUUGACUAAAUAUAUAUGCAAUGCUCUAUAAUGUAUAUACUGAUGUUCUAAGAUAUAUUUAGUGAUGUUCACUUAGUACACAUGUGUUGUUUUAUAGUAUAUUUGAGAAUGUUUCAAAAGUAUACACGUGAUAUUCUUUUAAAUAUUUUCUCUAUUACAUAUUUUAAUUUUUUUCCCUUAUACUUUGCUCUAGAUUUUAUUAUUUUUAUUUAUGUUAUGUAUUUUAUUUAUUUUUGUGUAUAUUAAAAUACCAAAUUCAUGAAUCUAAAACUAGAAUAUUGUUGUUCUAAACCAAGAACAUUUUUCUUACAAAUAUAGAACAUUAUUAUCUAACCUAGAACAUUGUCUCUACUCACUAAAAAAUGUUCUAUCUUUAUAAGAUAAAUGUUCAUUAAUAAAGUUUUGAAGAAUUUAUUAUAAGAAAUCUGAUGGUAUAAUCAAAAUUUAAUUUUAAUAUUUACUUUAGUAGUUAUCACUUUUUUAGUUGAUUCCGUAAGUUAGCUGACGUGUACUGUGCCACGAAACGAUACAGGCUGCCUGCGCGUGAAAAUUAUUGGCUACCGGCCUGAGUGCUGGCAUGUGGGCGGGAAAAGAUGUGAACGAGAAAAAAAUCAUCGGUGUCAGUAUACUGUCCGGCCGUCCCGACCGUGUGAGCCCCCACCCCCCGAAACAUUGGUUUGACAGAUUUUCACGCUCAACACGCACAAGCCAAGAGUAACACCCAACAUGUUUUGGCUCAGCGUGUGGGUGGAUACUUCUAGGCUGACCCACGCCCACCCCAUCCUAGGUCAGACUUGAGCUGACGCAAGCAAACAGUUUUCAACGGAUUUAAAAAAAUCAUAACUUUAUAGUAAUCAUUUUUCAAAUUAUAUUCUAAUUACACCAACGGUUUUGUUACUAUAAAUCCUUCAAAAUAAGAUCUCACACGGAUAUAUUUAGAUAAUAUUUUAUUAAUGAACAUUUAUCUUAUGAAGAUACAACAUUAUUAAGUAGAGAUGAUGUUCUAGGUUUAUAGAAAUAAUGUUCCAUCUUUAUUAAAAAAUAUUCUUAGUUUAUAAGAAUAAUAUUCUAGUUUAGAUUCAUGAUAAUAUGGUAUAAAAAUAAAUAUAGACAAAUAACAUAAAUAAAUAACAAUAAAAUUUAGUGUAAAGCAUAAGAGAAAACGUAAUAAAGAAAAAUUAAAAAGAAUAUAACAUGUAUACUUAUAAACGUCCUAAAGUAGACUAUAGAAUGUCACAUAUACUAAGUGAACAACACUAAAUACACCAUAAAAUACCACUAAAUGCAUUACAGAACAUCGUAUAUAUAUUAUGUGAACAUCACUAUAUACAUCAUAAAACAUCACAUGUAUAUUGUGUAAACAUAGAAAACAUAAUAGAACAUCACAUGUAUACUACACGAACAACACUAACCGUAGACACAACUAAAUAUAUCAUAGAACAUCACAUAUAUAGUAAGUGAACAUCACUAAAUAUACCGUAGAACAUCACGUAUAUAGUAAGUAAACACCACUAGAUACACCGUGGAACAUCAAAAAAACAUAGUAGAACACCACAUGUAUUCUAUAUGAACAUCACGAAAUACAUCGUAGAACAUCAUUAUAUACUACGUGAACAUCACAUGUACACAAGACGAACAUCACAAAAAAUAUCAUAGAACAACACAUCUAUACCACGUGGACAUAAAAACAUCAUAGAACAUUACAUUUAUAACACAUGAACAUCACAAAAAGUAUCAUAAAACAUCAAAUAUAUAUUACAUGAACGUCAUAAAAAACAUCACAGGACAUGACAUUAUAUACCACAUGAAUAUAAAAAAACAUCAUACAACAUAACUCUGUACUAUAUAAAAAUCUCAUGGAAUAUAGAAUACAAAAAGCUGAACAUAAAAAUUAAUCAAUUCUAGUAACAACAACAAUAAUAUAAAAGUCAACAAUAGCAAAGAAGAGAAAAUACACAUAAAACAUGAAUAACAAAUGAUAAAUGUAUAGCAAAAUAAGAAAUAAAUAUGUAUAUGAAAAAUAAAAUAAUUAAUUAGUGUAAAAUAACAAAAGAAAUACAAAAAGAAAAAGAAAUAUAAGAAAUAAAAAGAGAAACUAAUGUAACAACUUACUAGGAGUUAAUCAUGUAAAAAUUCUUCUAAAAAUACUGAACCCAGUCAUUGCAUAAAAGUUCAUACCACACAUGUGUCAUAGACAUAGAAAAAUAAAAUAUAAUAUAAAAAAGUAGAAGAUAAAGUGAAAAAAGGAAAUAGAAGUAAUAAAAAAAGGAAAGAAAAGAAAAAUAAAUAAAAGAAACAUACAAAGUAUAAAAGAAAGUGAAAAGAAUAAUAAGAAAUAUGUAAAAUAUAAAUAAUAAAAAAUAAAAAAGAAGCAUGAAAAUAAAAAAGAAUAGAAUAGAAAAGAAAAGAAAAAGAAAAUAAAAUGAAAAGGCUACAUCACUCGGCAAAGCCUGCGUUUACAAGAUUCUUCAUCACAUCGAAUCUUUAGACGCUUGCAUAAAGCGGAUAAAAAAUAAUUAAUUGCACAAUUUACCUGUAAAUCGCGAGAUGAAUCUUUUGAGCCUAAUUAGGCCAUGGUUGGACAAUGUUUGUCAAAUACAAACAAAAGUGUUAUAGUGUCAAACUUUAAAUUUUUUUUUGCAUCUAAACAAGACCUUAGAACCCCUACCAUUUUUUUGGAUCCACCACUCACUACUGGGAACUCCCCCUUUUCUAAGUGCCGGCAGUACUUGGCAAAGCCCACUCGGCAAAGAAGUAGUCGACAAAGGUAACGGGCGCCGUGAGUGCCGACAUGGUAGACACUCGACAAAGGUAUUUUUUUGAAAAUUAUUUGCCAAGUGCCGAUGUGGCAGAUACUUGGCAAAGGUUUUUUUUGAAAUUUUUUUUGCCGAGUGCCACGCGUGGGGCACUCGGCAAAAGUUUAGUCACUUUGCCGAGUGCCGACAAAGGCUACAUCACUCGGCAAAGCCUGCGUUUCCGGUAGUGACUGUUUAUAUCUCCAUAGUAAUCAAAUAAAAUAAAAUCCCCUACAAACAAUUCAUACUAUCAAAAAAAUGAUAUCUUAUCCAAAUGUAGCGAACUUGUAGUGAUUGUACAUUUCCAUGACUUUCUCAAGAAGCUAAGUAACGGCUACAAAAUAUGUCGCUUUCUAGUGAGCCAGCGCAGCACCAACGUACGUAACGCCAACGGUGAAAUGGACCUUGGACUUCGAUCGGUCCGGCCUCGCAUCAACCUCUGCUCCAUAUAAGCGCAGCGGGGUGCCAGCAGACUCUUUCAAACAACGACAAUACGACAUCCUAGCAAAGUAGCAAGGCCGGCGAUCGAUGGCAGCGUCUUCUUCCAACAGACAUCACCGUCCUCACCUUGUUGAUCAGGGGCUGCCUCCGGUGCAGCAGCUGCUACUGCUACCUACCGGUGUGGAGGACGAGACAAGGGAUUGGGCGGAGCUGCCGCUGGACGCGCUGCUGUCCGUGCUUCGCCGGCUGGAUGCCGUCGACGUCCUCAUGGGGCCAGGCCAUGUGUGCCGGCCCUGGCGCCGCGUCACGCAAGAGGAGCCCGACCUGUGGCGCAACAUCGACAUGCGCCACCAUGGCAAGCUAGCCAACGGCGUCGACCUCCAGCCAGCGGCGCGCGCUGCCGUGAGGCGCAGCUCGGGCCGGUGCGAGGCCUUCUGGGCUCAGAGCUUUGGCGUCGACCGUGACCAGUUCUUCUUCUUCCUUGCAGACGCGUGAGCAAAUUUUUCCUCUUCUUUCUUCUGAUGAAAUUUUAUAAUGAUACUAAACAAAUUAGCAACCGUGGAUGCUGCUGCAUAUAAAUAUGUUCUUUUUGCGAAGAUAUAAAUAUGUUACUCCGACAGUACGUCCGAUUGACCAGAGUAUAUACUUGAAUUUCUAGCCUUUAUGUAUAUGAAAUAUACCUGAGUUACUAUUGUUCCAUUUGUAGGAUCAUAAGCUUUAGGACCAGAAUACAUGAAGAACACAUAUUGAACAAACCUCGUUUGACGAAUUAGCCAUAGUCUUGCUGAAGUCCCGUGCAUGCUUGAUACAUGCGAGAUCUAGACGACAUAGAGCUUAAUUAGGUUGCCCUCACGGUGCAACAAUACAGCUGCCUGAUCAAUGGCUAUAUCUUAGGAUGGAUUCACUACGGGAAGCAGUGGCUUCCCCUAGUGUCAAAUGCACUUGGGAAAGGCUUAGUUGCACUCGGAGAAGCCUUCCCCGAGUGCAACACUCGGGGAAGAAUGUCCGGGGUAUCUCUUCACGGAAAAGGCGUCUUCUCCAAGAGCCAAAAAUCAUGCAGUCAGGGAAGGCUUUUCCGAGAGCCGUCCUAGCACUAGGGGAAGAGUUGACACCGUUGGUGGUAGCCGGCGCCAUUUACUUGUUUAAAAAAAAAUCUUCCCCAAGUGCAACACUCGGGGAAGACACCCUCUUCCCCGAGAGCCGCGGCCCAGGCACUCGGGGAAGAGACCCUCUUCCCCGAGAGCUGCAGCCCAAACACUAGGGGAAGACAGCCUCUUCUCCGAGAGCCACUUCCCAGGCACUCGGGGAAGGCACCUUCUUUCCCGAGAGCCAAGGCUUGUGCACUCGGGGAAGCCACUUUGAAAUUUCUUUUUUGCUUUUUCAUUUAAUCAACAAAGCAUAUAUGUAUAUGUAUAUAUAUAUAUAUAUAUAUAUAUAUAUAUAUAUAUAUAUAUAUAUAUAUAUAUAUAUAUAUAUAUAUAUAUAUAUAUAUAUCACAAUCCAAAAAUCAACAGCAAUAUAUCACAAACCACAUUUAUAUAUAUCACAAAUGACCAAAUUUAUACGAAAUUCAGAAUAUAUUACAAACCACACGUUCAAGAGUACAUAUUAUUCCAAGUUCACAAGUUCAAUAUAUAAAAAACAACUUCAAAGACAGCUCACGACGACCGUCCAGUGCGAUGUCGGCGAGGGUUGGGACGCCCCAGCUUGCGAUCCCGGCGACGGUCCAUGUGUGCAUAGCACGUCGUGCGAUCCUGGCGACCCUCCGACAUGGUUGGAUGCCGCCCCCGAUGCAUGCUAAAAAAAGAGAGAGCACUAGAUGUGAGUGACAAAUAAAAAUAUAAAGAGUAUAAAGAAAAAUUAAAAAUUUCUGCAGCUCCACAAGUUUACAUGCAAGGUAGGUAUUGUCUUUUGGUGAGAAAGCAACCAAGAGAAUCUGUUUACAUAUGCACAUUUCGGUCAUUAGCUGUUAUUUGCAGAGUGUGAACAACGCCAAAGCAUCUCAUGACCAUGAUCGCUCAAACAAAACACAUACCAGAGACCAUUAUUAUAGGAGUAAGAAACAUGGAAGGCACAACAUAUUAGCAUAUAUCCUAAAAUUGGACGUCCGGAGCAUGAGCAUAUGGACUGAACCAACCACUUCCGACAUACUCACCAAAGCACGUCGCGAACUUGAUGGGCUUCCUGCCAUGGCCUUCUUUGAUGACUUGCUUCUUAACCUUGUCAUGAAGCACCUCCAUGUCAGAGGAAACCACGGGUGGGGCGCUGCCAUCCUGGGGAGGUUCAGAAUGCACGAAAGAAGCCUCUUCCACUGGAACCUGAGAAUCAGAAAGCAGCAGAAGUCAAGAACCAGGGACUCUCCGUCUUGAAAUAGAUCCCGAAUUGCCACACUGCAAGGAGAGUCUGCAAUUCAGGAAAAAAAAGUGCAGUGCUACUGCGGCAGCGGUGGACUCCAAAUUGGCAAAGCCGCGGGUGGGAUCCGAAACUGCCUCGUUUGCUGUAAAGUACUAGCGCCCCCAACUUUGCUCUAAUCCCCCAAAUUAGCUGAAACAAACAAGCUGACUGCUAAUUUGUUAAGAUGCUUGUCCAUUUCACAAUCCACAUUCCACAGGCUGAAACAAACAGGGCCUGAAUUGCUAUGCUUAAAAAAAAAAGUUAUCGCGGGCACGGUGCUCACAUCAAGCUUCUCUUUCUUAGCAAUGGAGUCCCAGUCCUUUGCUGCGAUCCCUGUUAAGGUUAAGGUUGACCACCAUUCCCUUCUCCAGAGUCUCGGUCCAGAAGCAGGCAAGGUAAUUGCCAGAUUCCACCGUGGUAAAGGCAAACUGGCCAUGGCUAACCUUGUCGACGUGAUGCAGGACGUCUCCCAAAGGCGAUGUCACCUGCAGGAACAAAAACAAUCCAGGAAAAAAAACUGCAGUGACGACCACAUCAUUACGUUUUUUUUUCUCUCCUCUCAAGUGAUAGUCGAUCCAUCUGUUCUUGAUGGAGAAAUUUCAAUAUUUAGGACUCAAUUCGCAUGCCUCUCAAGAUUUAGGACUCAAUUCGUGUGCCUUUCAAAAAAUAGGACUAAAUAUGCGAAUUGCUUCAAGAUUUAGGAUUUCAGGUAUUUUUAGUUAUUUCUAUUUUUUCUGAAAUAUUUUCACCUCUCUCUGGAACCUAAAAUGACCAAAUUGCCCCUUGAAUCUAAAACAUAACGAUCUCUCUCCCUGUCUCGUUCCUUCGUACCUCUUCGGUCCGUCGCGGCCGCGACUCGCAGUCGCGUGAGGCGACGCUCCCGUCCUCCGAAUCUUCGCCGGUGCUUCACCGCCGGCCACGGCCUCCAGCCCUCCACCGCCGUCUGUCUCCGCUGCCCUCCCCUUCUUCCCCUGCGCUCCAGUCCGUCGCCCUCCCCAUCCGGUGCCCUUCCCUGCGCUCAAGCUGUAGCAGGCUAGGGUUUCGACUGGACCCUAAGAGGAGGCUCGGCGCCGCUCUCCAGUGGAGGAGGCCAUGAUCCCCUCUGAGAUCCCUCCAAUGUAAGGCACAAUCCCCGAUCCCUCUUUCAAUUUGCACUAUAUUUUAUAGUUCGUAGAUUUUGGGGGCACAAGCUUAUCAUGUGUCUCUUUUAUUUGUUUUGUUGGUACACGUAGAAUGAAUGCAGAAGCUGCGUUUAGGCUGUGUGUUCACUUUUCUGAGUUUACUGCAAAGCUUGAUGAUGGUUGCUGUGUUGAUGUGCCACAAAAUUAUGACGAAUGGACCGUGGAUUGUCGAUGUUAUACUUUAGACAUGCUAGAAAAGGAUUUGGCAGCUAGGAUAAAAUGGGGCAGUGCCCAGCAGCUAGUAGUAUCUGAGUUUGUCAUGAGUGGAGUUGGAGAAAGAAAACUGCAGAAUGAUACAGAUCUGUCACUUGCUUUCAUUGAAAGAAAGAAUGAAAGGAAGAUGCUUUUGGUUGUUAGUGUUGUCGACAAACCCAUAGAAAUCGAUUGGGACAGUCUGCAGAUUACUCCUCUAACUGUUAAUCAGAUUGGUGCACCUAUGCCUGUGAUUGAUGAGGAUACAAUUUAUGAGUUUCUUGGUCUUAGAGCAGAGGAUGAGAGAGUUGAGCAAGCUAGGGCAGUGGCUGCUGAAAAGGGAAAGCAAACUGCUCUUGAACCAGUUGAUGAGUUGGUGGUUGAUGAUCAUGUGCCUGGUGAGAACUCAGUGCUUUAUGAUAGAGAAAAUCCUCCUAUGAAAGAGGGAACCAUUUAUGCUAGUAUGUCUGAAUUCAGGGCUGCAUUGAAGCAUCAUGCUAUUGUGGAGAAGUUUGAAAUUGGAACUGAGAAAUCUUGUAAAAGUGUGUUUAGAGGAUACUGCAAAGCGGAUGAUUGUCCAUGGUCUAUUGUAGCAAGGUUGAUGCAUGACAAACAGCAAGUCAGGGUACUAACAUUGUUCUAACUUGUCUUCAUAUGCAACAUACUUACUUAAUGUAUCUGUUAGGACAUUUUUACUCCACAUGUUUACUUAUAUCUGUUUUAAAUUUUCAGAUUACAUUGAACAAAGAAGAACAUUUUUGUCCAUCUACUGGUAGAGUGAAAACGAAGAUGGCAUCAUACACAUGGAUAGCAGAGAAGGCAAUUCCUUUUCUAAAGAAGAAUCCUAGCAUGGGAUCAAAGGAACUGCAAAAGGAGUUAGAGGAAAAAUAUGAUGUGACACUUGGGUACUCAACUGUACAUCUUGGUCAUGAGGUUGCAUCAAAAAAACUUUUUGGUACAUGGGAAGAAAGUUUUGGAUAUCUGUUCAACUUCAAGGCAGAGAUUGAGCUCAGAAUGCCAGGAAGUGUUGUAGAGAUAGAUGUAAUCAAUCAGGAAGAUGGUGUAUAUUUUCACAGAUUCUUUUGCUGCUUGAAACCUAGCAUUGAUGGAUUCCUAAAUGGUUGUAGGCCAUUUUUGAGUAUAGACUCCACAGCUCUCAAUGGUAGAUGGAAUGGCCACCUACCUUCAGCUACAGCACUAGAUGGUUGCAACUGGAUGUUUCCAGUUGCAUUUGGAUUUUUCUCAGGUGAGACUACCGAUAAUUGGACUUGGUUUAUGCAGCAACUGCAUAAGGCGAUUGGGAAUCUGCAACACCUAGCUAUAAUUUCAGAUGCUUGCAAGGGCCUAGAGAAUGCCAUAAAGACAGUUUACCCUUGGGCUGAGCAUAGAGAAUGUUUUGUCCAUCUGAUGAAAAAUUUCAGCAAGCGUUUUCAAGGGCCCGCUUUUGGGAGAAUGUAUCCUGCAGCUAGAACUUUCCAACCAGAUUACCAUGAGUAUCUCAUGAACAAGAUGUACGCAACCAAUAAACAAGUCGAGCCAUGGUUGAAAACCAAUCACAAGUUAAAGUGGAUGAGGAGCAAAUUCUCAGAACAUAUAAAGUGUGAUGCUAUUACAAGCAAUGUGGCUGAGGUUUGGAACAACUGGGUAAAGGAUAUUAAGGACCUUCCUCCAGCUAGCCUUGCUGACUCCCUUAGGUCCAAGUUUAUGGAACUAUAUGCAAGGAGGAGAAGAAUAGGUGAGAAAUUCGAAGGCCAUAUAAUGCUUCCAGUCGUGGUUCGCCAACUAUAUGCGCUGAGUAGGGAGUUGGCCCACCUGAAAGUCAAAGAAGGUGGAAGGGAAGAAGCUGAGGUGACAGAGGUUACUGAUUCACAGAAGAUCAUAAGACAUGUGGUCAAUAUUAGAAACCACAUAUGCACGUGCAGGGAGUGGCAAGUCUCAGGAAAACCAUGCCCACACGCUAUGGCACUCAUCACCACAUGUAGAAAUCCUAAGAUGGAAGAGUACUUGCAUCCUUACUUUUCAGUUUACCAUUUUAGGCUAGCCUAUGGUGGUGUGAUUAGACCACUACCUGAUAUGUCCCAAUGGGCACGUGUGAAUCUUGGAUUCAAAGUGUUACCGCCUCUCGAAAAGAGGGAGCCUGGUAGACAAAGAAAACUCAGAAUUCCUAGCUGCAUUGAAAAUAAGGGCAAUAAACCUAGGGGCAAAGGCAAGUGGCAAGUGACAUGCAAAAAAUGCGGAGGUCUUGGCCAUAGGUCGUCAUCUCCAAAGUGCCCGAUGAAUGGAACAAAGAAAAGGUAAAAUGCCACUUGUUUUGCUUCAUUAAAAUAUUACAUUUUAUUAACAGCUCCACAAUUUUAGGAAAAGCCGAGCUAAAAAGGGGAAGGCUGGGAGGCCUCCAGGCUCUAGCAAAAGGCAGAAAGUUGCUGAGCAAGGAAGUCCAGAGAACAACAGUCCUGUGACAGCAAGGUAAAGUAAAUAACAUGAUUUGUACACUUCUCCUCUAUAUAACAACAUUAACCAUUUUCUUUAUUUUUAGUCAAUUCUCAUCGGCCAUAGUAGAGCUAGAAGGCACAAGUCAAAUCAACACUUCUCCUGGUCCUGUGACAAGAAGGUACCUCUAUGAACUGUAUGAAAGACUUGAGCUGUACAUUUUUAGUUUUUAUGAACACUCAACCAGCUAGAAAUUUCCUUCUAUUUUUAGGCAAUCACUUUUAGCAAUGGUGGAGGUAGGAGGGUCAAACCAAAUCACUACAAGUUUUGGACCUGUAACAACAAGGUAAAAAGAACUACUCAAUUGAGCAUGCAUAUACUCAACUCUGUUCAUGUACUGAAGCAUCCCUCUCCUAUGUUCCCAUGUAUUCAGCCAAACCGGAGAAGAGGCACUAAAUAUUGUUACCACUCCCACCAAGUCUCCAGCAAGGCGUCGGAUAGGACUUAAGAAAAAGCUCACUCCAAGGAAGGGAAGAAAUAGUGCUACCUGAUCAAUUGAAGAAUAAUUAUAUAGCCUCUUUUGUGUUCUAAGUUCAAAGAAAAACUUUAUUCACCUGAAGGUUCUUUUGGCUCUGUUGACUGUAUGAUUGUAUGGUUGUAAGUUUCCAGGAGACGAUGGUUCUUUUGUGUUGCCCAGGAAAACUUGUAUGCACCAGGAUGCUUCUUUUGGUUUUGUGUGGUUUUUAGUUCCUAGAAAACCUGUGUGCCUUUAGUAUGGUUUGCUUAUAAUGACUGCUUUAUUUUUAUGAAUAUAUAAGCAUAUGUGCAUCUCGUUUAUAUUAUGGUGUGCUGGCUUUGCUUUGUGCCAAAAUGUACAUUUUUUUCUACCAAGGGUUUAGUAUAGUACCCAGGAAACCAAAUCACCUGCCUCUAUGUGGCUGGGUUCCUGGUGCCAAGGCUUCAGUUUUUUUUAAUGCUGCAGCGAUCAGCAGCCCAUCAUCCAGCGCACAGAACUGAUCUAAAUGAGGCAGGGGUACUUUGGUCCAUUUAGGAGGACAGAGAGACAUGCAAACAUUUCAUGAAAGGGAAAAGAUGGAAAAAAGGCCAAAAUCCUAAAUCUUGAAGCAAUUCGUAUGUUUAGUCUUAUUUUUUGAAAGGCACACGAAUUGAGUCCUAAAUCUUGAGAGGCAUGCGAAUUGAGUCCUAAAUAUUGAAAUUUCUCUUCUUGAUGUCUGUUCAGUCCAAUAAACAGGAGCUGUGACAAACAAAGCGAGAUGGUACCAGGUACGCAUCCUAUUCGUGCUGGAAUUGGCAUCGGUGAUCUUUUCCAAUCCAUGUAACUUCGCUCACAUCAAGCCAAAUUCCCAACAGAAAGUAAGAACAAUUCAACAGCACCCGAUUCACUGGGCACCAGCAUGCAGCCACGCGUGGGUGCGAGGGGUGGGGGGCUCACCAGCGGCGGGAUCUGCAGACGGCGCCGCGUCUUCUUCGACGACAGCCAUGGGAUGCGGGUGGGGAGAGCAGAGCGCGGACGGCCGGCAGAGACUUCUAGACUGCGGCGCGGCGGGUCGGAUAGUGAACUUGGUCGGGGUCGAGGCGGCGCGCGGCGCAGGGUCGGGGCCGGCUGCUGCGCGCGGGGCUGGGCUGGACGCGGCGCGCGGCGCGGGGUCAGGGCGGCGCAGGGUCGGGGCAAGGGUGGCGCGCGUGGAGACAGAGAGCUGCGUGGAGAGGAUGGGGAUAGGGUUAGACGGUUUUUGGGCCACAUUAGUUAUUUGGUCCCCGAGUGCUGUGAGCUUUGCACUCGGGAAGAGUACCUUCUUCGAAAGUUACAAAAGACACUCGGGAAAUUUUUUUUUUGUUUUUGUUUUUUUGUCUUUUUUUUUUUGAGGUCUUCCCAAAUUACUUUAAACUUCUUGUUCAAAUUUGGGGAUAUUUAAACUUUUUUUAUAUAUUUUAUUAGUUUUUUUCGUUUCAUUGAUUUUUUUGCAAACUUCAAAUUUGAACUGUAGGUGCAUUAAAUAAUGAAAUAUCUUUAUUCAAAAAAUUAUAUUCACGAUAUUUGGUGUAUGUUAAGGCCGUACCCAGAAGCUCAAAUGAAAUGUGAAACAUCUUGUUGUCGUAACAUGAGAUACAACUUGCGGAAAAAAUGUUUUUAAAUUAUAUAAAAUCCUUAAAAAGUCUGAAAAUAAAGAAACUUGUCUGGACGUCAUGUUAUCGCAUGUAGAGGCUAUGAUAAAAAUUUGAAAAGGUUUUGAACAAGUUGUAACAUCGGAUGUUUAAAACCUAGACAUCUCCGUAUAUGAUCAUAAGUGAUCACAUGUAAAGAUGUCUAGGUUUUAGACAUCCAACAUCACGCCUUGUUCCAAACCUUCUCAAUUUUUUAUCAUAGCCUCUACAUGUGAUAAAAUGACGCCUAGACAAGUUUCUUGAUUUUUAGACUUUUUAAGGAUUUUAUAUAAUUUAAAAACAUUUUUUCCGCAAGUUGUUUCUAAUGUUACGGCAGGUAGAUGUUUCAUAUUUCAUUGAGCUUGUGGAUAUGGUCUUAAAAUACACCAAAUAUCAUGAAUAUCAUUUUUUGAAUAAAGAAAUUCUAUUAUUUAAUGCACCUGCAGUUCAAAUUUGAAGUUUGCAAAAAAAAAAUCAAUGAAACGAAAAAACAAAUGAAAUAUACUUAAAGAAGUUUAAAUAUCUCCAAAUUUAAACAAGAAGUUUGAAAUAAUGUGGGAAGGCAUCAGAAAAAAUGGGGCAAAAAAAAACUAAAAAAAGAAAAAACUUCCCCGAGUGCCUUUCUUAGCUCUCGGGGAAGGGCCUCUUCCCCGAGUGCCUGGACCGCAGCACUCGGGGAAGCCAGUAUUUUCCCCGAGUGCCACGCUUUAGCACUCGGGAAAGGGCGCCUUCCCCGAGAGUUUUUUUUGCGUUCGGGGAAGAAUUUUUUUCAUUUUAAACUCCAACGGCGCCGUCGGUCUGGGACGUCAAGAAACACUUUUCUUCCCCGAGUGCGUCUCUUCCCCGAUUGUUGCGCUCGGGGAAGAGGACUUUUUUCGAGUGUCAUUCUUCCCCGAGUGCCAGGUAGGCUACGGCACUCGGGGAAGCCUCUUCCCCGAGUGCAAUUCUUCCCCGAGAGCAACACUCGGGGAAGACUGGCUUGCCCGAGUGUUCGAUUUUUGGCUCUCGGGGAAGCCUUUGACACUCGGGGAAUUUCCAUUCUCCCGUAGUGAUUGACAGGACCAUGGGAGUUUCUCUUCUUUUAUACCGGCUAUUGCACACUAGGGAACAUACGUUUAGGAUGGCUUUGGGUUGGUCCUUAUUAGGCGAACAGGCUUAGGCCCGGAUCAAGGCACACCUGAGCUCCUCCAUGGCUUGGACAACAAGCCAUAUGACUCCUUUGCCAGCAAUUCACACACUUAGCUUGUUAAUCAAACCACAUCUCAAUAAAACAAUAUAUACCUAGACACUAGAUCAGAAUAGUCAAUUAAGUGCAAUCGAACCCUAAUCACUAUAGUAUAUCAUUUCAUUUAAAAAUAAGAGUAUUGAUAUAAAUAUAGAGAGUAUUUACAUGAUUGUCCCACUUUAACUCAAGAAUAUGAGGCUCUCUACCAGACCCAUGCUGGCAACAGGUGUAUUGAAAACAAUAGGUAGUGGGCCUUUAGUUCCGCCAACAUCAACCUUGUGUAUAUAUUUGACAUCAAUAUAUUGGUACGAUCAUGGAUUCUAUAUUUCACAAUACGAUAAUUAUUGUCAAUGUGUUUGGCAGCACCAAUUGACAUCUUAAUACUUGGAUAGGUAACCUUCUAUUGAUUAUCGCAGAUGUGAGUUAGAUAUGCUGUCGACCACUCAUAACCCUACGACAAAAUUCAUUAGCCAUAUUGCCUAGCCAACAGCCUUGUAACAUGCCACAAAUUCUCCCAACAUUGUCAAUGAUGCAGUAGCACUUGCUUUGAGCUUUUCCUUAAAAUAGCUCCUCUAGCGAGGAUGAAGAUAUAUAUAAAAUGAUAUCUAGAUCUCUUAGUAUCCAUACAACCCGCAAAAUCAACAUUUGAAUAACCUACAAAGCGAGUGCAUACACGAGCAUACAUAAUGUUAUCAAUAGCUCAAGCAUAUGGAACAACACCUGAAUCCAAUAUAUGCUUAUAUGGAAAUCUCCACACGUGGAAAGAGUCUGCAUACGCAUACCAUCACUUUUACACUGUCGUCCUCGCUUCGUGUUAAAUGGUUAACCAAGAGGUACUAUGUUUGAAACAACAAAAGUUAUAAGUUGCUCUUCAUCGUGAUAAACUUAAAAGGUCAUACUAUCUACCUACUACAACUUUUCAUGGGCCAUAUGGGCCAACAAUACAAUUACUACAACCUUAUAACGGGUUGUGGUCUUACAUUUAACCACCCAUAAGGGCUGAUGCCCUUAGUAGCUCACUGCAUAUCCAGUGGAUGCUUAAAACAACCCCUUGGUACACCCAUCCAUGGACACAUGCAACAAGAGUCGAUACUCUGAAUAACACCACUAACACCCCGCAUCUAUUUAUAUGACCAAACUCCACACGUGGAACAGGUGUCUUAUUUUCACAAAUUCAGAAUAAUUCACUUAUAAAUAGAAAAUAUGAAAGCAACAUCAGUUUUUUCAAUGAGAUUUGGAGUUAUUUAUUAGACCUUAUUUGUACUUGUUCAUAGUGUUCUAUUGCGCAUAGAUGUGCUUGAUAUUUCUUCAAAUCAUCGUUUUGUGCUAUAUUAAACUUAGAUGUUGACAAGAGAAUCCAUAGUCCAAAUAGAGUAUCAAAUAUAUUGCAGUCAAAUUAAUCAAAUUAGUUUUUGAGGGCUAGCGAAGUCAUUCUAAUUGGAAUGCUAUAUAUAUAUACCUACAAGAUCGGUUUCAUUUUGCAGAUCUUUUGUACGUUUCAUGUGUUCUCAAGACCCUUGUGGUCAAUUUCAGAUGUAAAACAAUGUAAAAUGUUCUAUUUAUUAUUAAAAUAAGUAAUGAAUAUGACUAUGAUCAUUAAACACGAGUAUAAAUUGAUUACAUUUUAAGAAAAUUAUUACUGACUUCACAUCAUAUGAUUUUAAAUGAAUUAUUUAUCAAUAUUUAGAACUAAACUACUAGUUAUUAUUAUUAUAUUAGAAAACAUAACAUCACCUUAACCAACUAGCAGUUGCUAAACUUGUCAGGUAUUAGAGAAUUAGUGAUUCAUUGGUAAUUUUCUUUUCAGAUUGUAAAGUUACAAUAACUAGUAGAGAAAUAACCUUCGGUCCUCACCUUUAUUUCCAAUCAUGUUGGAGCCACAACUAAUGUGAGCAUUAGUUCCGGAUCUAAAUUUCACGGGCACUAGAGGCCCUUUUGUCCUCCUAAAAGUCACCCUUUAGAGGUCCCCCACCCAUACUUGAUCAUAUAUGUUGUGAGGAAGCUACACCUGUGACGAUAAAGUCCACGAUUCAAAUCCCACGCACCGCAAGAGGUUCCCAAGAUUUACUGGCCCGUGGGCUGUAUAUCCACCACAUGGAUUACUAUUGCUAGUGGUGAUGUAUAUUUCAGUGACAUUCUGCUAAUAUGUCACAAAAAGUUCAUCUUGGAUUGGAUUAAGUGGUUUGUUAUAUGUGUGCCUUUAGUCCCGAAUCUGGUGUCUUAGUUGGGAAAUCAAGACUGGAACUAAAGCCCAUUCAUGACUGAGAUUAAAGCCCAUUCCUCUAGUAGUGAAUAUAUGCGUGACAAAAAGGAACUCAAGCAAAGUUAUAUGGUGGACUUCGCCCUAGGUAGAGACCAUGAAAGAAGGUGUUUCUUGUUAAGUAGUCAAGGUUUUAGUAAAGAAAUGUAUUUCGUUUUUGGAUAAACUUAGGACCACCCUACUUCUUCUAGUGUUUUUAAGUAAUAAUGAAAUACUACCACUGGUCAUAGUAUAUGAGAAUCUCACUAGGAGACAUUUAAGGGGUGUUUGGGACUGCUUCACUCCAGUUUUUGCAGCUCUGCUCCACGAACUCCAUCAUGGAGCAGCUUCAUCGUGGAGUUUGUGGAGCACGAGGUACUGUUUGGCACGUAGCUCUGCUCCAGCUCCAGGAAUGGGUUGGUUCCAUGCAAAUGGUCCAUUAUGUCACUGAUUGAAAUUGUUCUUGAUAUUUUUUGAUCAAAAUAGAAAUCAAAUGAUGGAGCAUUAAUAAAGGUCAUAAUUAAAAUACAAGUGCACAGGUGAAGAGACAAGGGGCGGCGUGCACAAGAAAAAAUGAGGUCGCGACGUCGGGAGGUGAAGCAUUUACGAGAAUUAAUCUGUGUUUAAUGAGUGGCAAGAUGGGUAAUUACCUUAUAACUCUAUGUGGGAGUACCAAACUCUAAAAACUACAGUACCCCUACUCGAGGAAAACAUAGAGCUGACAUCUUGCUCCACCUUUUUUGCGGAGCGGAGUUUGUGGAGCUAGACGUAUUUGACCACAUGGAGCGGAAAAACUGGAGCGGAGCAAUUCCAAACAUCCCCUUAGUAGAAAAAAAAUUAUACUAAAAUUUGAAUGUAAAACACCUUGACUACUUUGAAUGCUAAAACACCUCACUACAAGAAGUAUUCGCCUUAUCCAUGUACUGCUCCCGUGCAGGGCUCCGCAACUGAAGAGUCUUCGGCUUAUCUCGUGCGAGAGCAUCUCCAAGCAGGGCCUCAACUUACCAAUAAGGAAGUUCCACAUGCUUGAGGAGCUGGAACUGUCACUCCACUCAGGCGUCGUCACCACAUCCAGCUUCUUCAGCCUCGCUGAGACCUGCAACGCAGCGGCCGAGGCCUGCCCGCUCCUGAAGCGCUUCCGGCUGAACAAAUACUGCUUCCACUGGCGGUCCGGCAUCGGCGACAGCGAAGCCACGGAGAUCGGGAAGAUGCGCGGCCUCCAGUUCCUGCAACUCUUCGGCAACAGCCUUGGCAACGACGGCCUCACGACAAUCCUCCGUGGCUGCGUGCGUCUCGAGUCUCUCGACGUCCGCCAUUGCUUCAACGUCGAGAUCAACGAUCAGGUGCGAGCGGAGUGUGCCAGGCUGCAAACGCUGAGGCUACCGGACGACUCUGUUGACGACUACGACCUCAGUUUCGGCAGUCCUGAACGAGGGAUCCCAGAUUUUUAUAGGAACGUCGGUGAUCCUGAUGAUGAUCCGGAUCCGACGGGUAAUCCCGGAUCAUGGUGGUACUUCCGCUAAUCCGCACGAUUCAAUCAGGAGAUUAUAUAUACAUAUCCACCGUUACACCACUGUCCACUGCUCCUAUGCAGGAAGAUAGUGGACAAAAGCAUUAUUACAAGUUCGUGUUAAAAAUACACAUGGCUGAUAGAGAAUAAUUAUACUUAUGCUGUCAGUUACUGUUUGUUUUCAGACAUACUAGACGUUAUCGCUACUCUGUAAACUUAUCAGUUAUACUCUAUUUUAUAUUUGCAUUUAAUUUAUAUUUUUUGCUCACAUGUAUAUAUCACGUCUGUGUGUCCAUAAUAUAUAUUUAGGGCUCCUUCAUUUCGAACUAUAUAAAGCCAGGAUUCUUUCUAGCUGAUGGAAUCUUAUACAAAUAUAAACUAUCCAGCCGGAACGGGAGGUCAAUCCCUCACGAAGCGAACGGGGCCUUAGUUGAAUUCCUUAACUUAAACUAUGGUGUCUUUUGUUACAACUAAUAUCCUCAUCACAUCAUAAAUCUACACUACGUGAAAAAAGCACUAAGAGAACGCCACCCUCUCUACUGUAGGGGUGGCUGGCUUUGGAGCCGCCCUUACAGUGGCUCGGGUGGGUCUCAACAGGUUACCCGUCCUUACAGUGGCCACUGUAAGGGCGGCUAGUGUUAUCAGCUGCUCUUACAGUGGUAGGUCACAGUAAGGGCGGCUGGAUCACUGGCCGCUCUUAGAGUGGACUACUGUAGGGGCGACUCAAUCACCAGCCGCCCCUACAGUGGUUUUAGACAAAAUUGGUCAAAUGAGAUACUAAAUGACUUCAAAUGAAAAUUUUUUGAACAUUACGAUUGUAUAACUCAUCAAGAUCUACAUUUAUUAUAUAGUUUAUUUUUCUAUUUGAGAAAGUGUUAGUAAUAGUCAUAGGGUGGCUCAAUCACCAACCGUCCCUACACUGGUUUUGGACAAACUUGGUCAAAUGAGGCACUAAAUAACCUCAAAUGAAAAUAAUUUAACAUCAUCUUUUAUUCAAACAUCAUAUUUUAUACUUUAUUAAAAUAAUUACUUUAGUCCUUGAUUGUACUUUUCAUAUAGAGGAACUGCUAGAAUUAACAUAUACUUCCUCCGUCCCAAAAAGAGUGUCGUUUUAGAAUUCUAGACAUCUUGUUUGAUCAUCCGUCUUAUUCAAAAAUUUUACAUAAAUAUUAUAUAUUUUGUUAAGAUCUAUUUUAUCAUUAGAGAUACUUUACUAAUGAUUUAUUUAUUUUAUAAUUUACAUAAAAUUUUUAAAUAAGACGAACGAUCAAACACGAUUUCUAAAAGUCAAAAACGUCACUCUUUUUGGGACGUACGGAGUAUGUCUAAAGCUUGUAUGCCAUCGUCACAAGGACUUCCGGCCCGACACAUAUUUGAAACCAACAUUAUAAUUUAUUUACCCUGUCGGUUUUUGUCUUUUUCUAUCAGUGGCAGAAACUUGACAAAAAAAUAUAAUUAUUCUAUCGGGGAAAAUAUAAUUAUUUUGUUGGGCGUGCCAAACCGAUAGAGAACCUAGUUUCCAGUAGUGACAGAACCGUUCUUCCUAGAGUGUCUUUGAAACCCAAUCAUCCACGUAACAUAAUGAUAACAUUAUUCAUACACAUAAUCUCACUAAUCCUUAGGAGUAGUAGGCUUCAAACAUCACAUAUUUUUACAUAAAUUAGAUACAUCAGAGUAAGAGUAACAUGAAGUGAAUACAAAUUUUAAUCUAAUAGAAAACAGAGUUUCAAAGCAAAGAAACUAUGUACAAGUUCUCAAGUUUGAUAGUUAGGAUAUUACUACUAUAGACAAUUAAACAAGAACUUCAAAAAAUCAUAAGUCCAUAACAAGCCGACCAAUAUGGAGCCCAUGAACACAAGCAACUAUUUCAUACAUGGUGCUUCUUGUAAGUGACCUAGCGGCCACCUGUAAACCACUCUAGCAAGAUGUACAUUUAAGAGUUUUCUAGUGUGGUCUAACUUACUCUCAAUCCAAUAGAGUUAAGAAACCCAUAGAUAAUCCUACCAAUGAGUCCAUAACUAAUCUAGAAAUGUAAAUGUCACCCAAGGUAAGCACGAGCGGACGCAACAAAUGCAAUAAGAGGUCAUAAUAGAAAGGGAACACUUCUAGAGAUGUAACAUAUAUCUUGAGGUAUCAGUUGCCAAAUUGUAACCCCUUAGAUCAUGUUAUAGCUCGACAGAGGUACGCUCUCUGGCACUGAAGGGACCGUCACGCUUAAUAGAGGGGGGAAUUAGGCAACUUAAAAGUCUAACUUCUAACUAUGGCCUCUAUUUUCCAUAGUAAACUAUCUAAAUGUGCAACUACGGUUUUGUUAGGUGUGUUGUUAUCUCAACUGCAAAAGAUUUAUGCAACCUAGGUUCCAGUCCUAUCAACUAGCAUAUCAAGUAAGAUAGGAAAGGUAAAGCACACAACUAAAGCAACAAUGUAAAUAUGGAAGCUUAAGUGAGGUAGAGAUGCAAACUAUCGUUGAUGACUCUAGUAUUUUUACUGAGAUAUCAAGAAGGAUGAAAGCUUCUUACUAGUCCUCAUUGGAGCCCUUCGCAAGGAAGCCCUCACAAGGGCUAAGCUCUUAGUCGGGUAGCUCCAUAGAUAGCUCUGACCCUUCCCCAAGCACAAGUGGGUCUCUACAAACCUCUCCUGGAUGUGCCCCGCUGUCUCCACUAUCAAGCUUCUAGCCAAAAUGUCAUGGGCCUUGUUCCCUUCGGUACACAGUGGUGGCCACAUGACAAAUGCGUUUGAAAUGCGAUCGAUGUGGUUUCACAAGACUACAAGCCUUGCUGAGUACAAACACAAUAUAGGGAAGCACCUCUAUCUCUUUUCGGGUAUGCAAACCUCACUAACUACUAGGCCUAAACCUAGAGCAAGUGCAUAAGCGGUGGUCUAACUAGUCAAAGCACUUCACAAAGCACCUACACUAAUCACAGAAGGAUUUUUUAAGCUCUAUGCAUAAUAUAUGGAGAGCACCUAAGUGGUGUAGCAACACCUUAGUAUCUUUCCUCAACUCUUCCAAGUUUCAAAUGGAUGGUUGGGGCACACAUAUAUAAGCCCCCACUUGAAACUAGCCAUUGGAGGCUGAACUAUAUAGCCUCUACGAAUACACCAGACUAGUCUGAUACAUGCACACGAUAUACACCGGACUAGUCCACUGUGAUCACGUCAACUAGUUGUUAGGCUAGCCAUUGACGAUCUUUGGAGUACUGUUAUGCAUUCGGCCUAUACACAGAUCUUCUGUGCCUUCUAGCUAACUCGCUCUAAAUGCAACCUCUUUCUUCAAAUGGGAUGGUGCGCCGUCUGCUGCACCGGACUAGUCCAAAGUUUAAGUAUGGUUUGUGUCUAGUGUACACAUUGUUGUCCACUGUCCCUAGUUGCAAACUACCCUUCUCUGAGUGACACUGUUCACUUCUGGUGCAUCGCAAUUCAUUAUCCAGUGCUGCACUGCUGACUUGAAUUUCUUCAUUUUUUUUGCAUGUCUUUGUUUGGGCUUCAUCCAUCUCGUGUCUUGUACUUUGCUUGACCUUUGUAGGUCUUCAAAACAACUUCUAACCUCUUGCUUGAGGUGCUAAUCAUUCGGAUGACCACAUUGCCUAUGUCUAGGUCCACUUUGCAUCCUUUGAACUAUAUCUAAAAACACUAGCAAACAUUGUUAGUCCAAAUAGGCAUGUUGAACAUCAAACACCAAAAUCCAAACUAAAUGGUCCAAGGGUCCAUUUUCCUUAGUCUCUGUUGGAAUUUCUUAACAUCAUCACUAAGAAUUAGUAAUGCCGCCAGAAAUGUGUUAAUACCGCAGGUGACGGAUCUAUUAUUAUAUCAUUUCACGCAAAAAUAUUUCGGGUAUCAUUAUUUAUAUUUUCCAAAGGAAGGCAUAUUGGUAAAGUUGUAUGGAUAUGGACAAGUUAAUAUGCCAGUAAAGUGAACCAAGGUUUAAUAAAUUGGCAAAAAAGAUAGUUUUAGUGUAGUAGACACACACUUGAGCCAACCUCAAAGGACAAAAGAUAAGUAAAGAAUAAAAGCAUAUUCUAAGUAGAGUAGGCUUGUUCUAAUAUAGUCGUCUAAACAAUACUGAAUAAUCAUACAAGUUACAUAAUCAGAGUUAGAUCUGAGUGUGAGACAGGUAAGGAGGCCACCGAGUACUAGUUUGCCAGCAACCUCAUGUGACAAUUCAGACACCUACACCCUACCCAAAUGUGAGGGAUUACAACGGACGGACAAGGCUAUCACCACCUGCCGCCUACCUCUCAACUGUGGAGUAGGACAAUGCAUCCACCUGUUUCUAUGUACCCAAGCACCAUGGUUGCACUAGUACACAAAAUCUCUUCAACGAUGCCACCCUUUUACAUGGGAGGCAGUUCACAUAGCAUGCCACUUCUAUAGUGCCACGAGGCACCAAAGCUUGGUGACCACCUGUGAAGAUCCAUCUUCAGGGGCAGUUGUAUUAAGAAAACUAUCUUUGAUACACGUCCAUAUUCAGUGGUAGUUUAGUUAAGAACACCGCCUCUGAAGAUCCAUCUUCAGGGGUGAUUCAAUUAAGAACACCAUCUUUGAUACACUUCCAUUUUCAGCGGCAGUUUAUUGGGCUGCUAUUGAAGCAGAAUUUUUAGAGGAGGAUCUCUUUACAUAAUGGUCUCCAAACCUUUGAAAUUUGUAGAGAUAGUUUAGUUAAGGAGACUGCCCUACAAAGUAAUUUAUAAUGGUGGUUCUCUUUAAUCAAAUGCCUCUAAAAAUGCCCCUCCUAAAAAAUCAACCCGAUCUAAUCUAGUACAAAGUUAUUGCGUGAUUUUUCCUGCAAGGGGGAGCAACAACAGUUCUUGCUGGUCGCCAUCAAAUAUCUUCGAAUGACCAAGUCCUUCUAAAGGAUAGCAUCUUCUUCCAUGCAUUUUUAUUUUGUAAAGGUUAGCAACUUCAGCUUCUAAUAAUAGUGGAUUUUAUUUUCAUUUAUACAUCAUUUCUCCAUAACGUUAGACAUUUUUUGUUUUCUAGAUCUUUAUUGAUGAUUUAUUGUUUAUAUGUUUCUCACAUAUAUGUUGUUGUAUGGUGUAUUCAUAUGAGGGUUCUAUAUUAAUUGUGAUGCUGUUCUCAGUUUUUUGUUUUAAUUACAAUGAAUGGCCGUGGACUUCCCGAGCCACAGGAACCUAGAUUCCACCUUGGUGAUCUUCCAUUCACGACAUUGCCAAAUUGGGCCAUUCCAUGUUACGCAGACUCCUCAAUAGUAUGAAUAUUUUUAGUUUUGUGUGCUAUUAUAAUUCGGCAUGCAUACAUUCAUUCAUAAUAUGAUUGUUGCAUAUGUUGCACACUAUAAAACCUAUCAAGUAGCUAAAAGUAGCACUAUGGAUGUCGGGGUGUGGGACAUCAUUGAGACGACAACAAGUGAGGUUGUGAACGAAGGAGAUGAGUUAUGGACAUGCAAUCUCGCCUUCGACAUCCCCAUGAGGCACAAUAGUGAGGUGCACCAGGGAAUCGUAUAUCUUGGACGACGGUCACCGACCAAGCAAGAUUCAACUAUAUGGAUGUACACGGUGUAUGGAGUAAUAUUUAUUAUUAUUAUUAUUAUUAUUAUUAUUAUUAUUAUUAUUAUUAUUAUUAUUAUUAUUAUUAUUAUUAUUAUUAUUAUUAUUAUUAUUAUUAUUAUAUGAUCACUCUUUGAUAUUUUAUGUUUGUCCACUUGUAGGUUUUGCUCAAUGAUUUGACCUAUGCUACAUGUGCCUUGCAACCCAUUCUCUCACAACCUCUUAAGUGUCUGGGGUACCACUAGGCCUUCGUGGAAGCGACCAGAGAAACAGCGACAGCUGGCAUCUAGUAUUGCUUGAGAUUUAGGCAAAACUAGGCAAUCGAUAGUCCACUAGUGCCAAUGUUUUACCACCGAUAGCCUACCAUGGACGUACCCAAGAUAGUUGUUCGGGCUUUGGCUUAUGCUGGAACUCGAUGGUUAAUGCAAAAGACGGUCGAUUUAUCCUAGUUUGGGCCCUCAAGUUUGAUGUCGAGUAAUCUCCUUUACGUCUAGUCGGCAUUAGCCUUUGUGUUGGAUUACUUGCAUGAUGUGGUUAGUCCUUUAGAUACUGAUCUAGGGAGCCCUAUCCUCCUUUAUAUAGUCCAAGGGACAAGAUUCCUAGUCAGUUACAAGAUAGGAGUCCUAAUAGAAUUAUAGGAUAUACAUUGGUAGAAUCCUAGUUGGACUAGACAUUCUCCCUUCUAUGCAGGGUAUCCUGCAUACUAUGUAUUGAUAAGAUCUCGAGCACUGUAUGGUUGAACUUUGGAAGACUCUUCUUGUGCCUCUAGAUCUUAUCGAGUAGAAACAAGUGUCGUCUAAGUGCUUUCUCAAGUGAAACCAUGUGGCACUUCUUGAGAUCUUAGAGUGGUGUGCACUUUUUUAGAAAAAGUGCACCCACUAGAUGUAGCCCUUGUGCCUCUUGCUUUUUGGAACAAACAGUUGGAGGGUCUUGUCUUGCAAUCCUUGUCAAAAAAACUUGACAACACCCUCUAAGGAUAUAUGUCCCGCAGCCCCCAAGCCUACAAUAUGACCACUUGGAGUCAAUUAUAGGAUCAUAUUGAUGUCCUCAAGGGUGUAGCCAAGUUGUUGAAUGCUUGUAUGCUUGGUCUUUCAUCCUUGAGUCCAAGCCCCCAAGCAUAGUUAGAGUGAAGCUGAUUAAGCUGUGAUAUAUGGUUGACUGAGUAGAAGAGUCAACAUGUGCAUCAUAUUACCAUUUGAUUUGCUUCUAGCUCAGACGUGUGAGCCCCCAAGCAUCAGUUUGGUCUCUGUGACUGAGUAGUAGAGCACCACGAUCAAGUAGUUGAGUACAUGGAAACUAUGGCAGAAUAGUCAAAACUCGUUGUUGGACCCAAGUAGUUCUUGAACCAAUCCUUUAUUUACCAUGUACGUUGUUGACGGUCCUUAAUGCCUAUUUUAUACCAUCAACUAUUGCUCAAUAUAACAUGAUAUCAACCAUAAAGCAUAGUUGUAGGGUUUGAUUCUAAUGAGUUCCAUGAGUUUUGGUGUUCUAACUUGUUUUGUAGGAAUAUACAAUUUUCCAUCAAAUAAAAGUAUGUAAAAUGAUGAUUUGGACUACACCAUUAUUACGGGCUCGUCGAGACGAUCAAAACGGACAUAUCAUUUGCUAUAUUUGGAGUCCAGAGUGAAAAGAUAUUAAUUUUACAAAUAAAGGAGAAUUACCACUAAUGGGCCCCACGCCCAAGCAAGGUCCAUGACAUGAGAAGAGGCUCACAUAGCAUGAUAGAGGACCAAGAGAGGCGCCCAAGCUUCUCCCUUGAGUGGGCUUACAUGAUGGAUGAUUGGAAGGCCCAAGUUUAUGUAUAAGAGCCCAACAGAGCAAAUGGUGGAAGAAUUACUUCCACAUCGCCUAUCCAGAAGAGGUGGGAGGCUUUUCUAAGCUAUAAAUAAAGAUGCAGACCCCCCCCUAAGGGCACCAUAUUAUGGAGAUGUAGAGGCGUCCCUUGAAUGGAUAACCUCUCACCUCUAGUGAAUUAGGGCUAGUCAUUCUAAUGUAGUAGAUUAGUUCUAGUUGAAAGCUAGGGAGAGCGGCGCUACGCCUGGGUUGUGGAGGAGUCUUCGGAAGAGUCAUCAGAGUGUUCUGGUAUAUCUUUGUAUCUUUUGUUAUAAGACUUAUGCUUUAAUAUAUUUCGUAUUCUCUAUUUACUUUUAUGCAUUACAUUUGAUUAGUUAGUAUAGUUGUUAUACUUUAGCAAAGGAUCUCCGCCCGCAUCGGGUGCUCUAGUUAUUAAUUGUGAUUAGAGUAGUAAUUUGUUGUAGAAACAUGGUGUCUAUACUAUAGGUUACCUAAGAUUGCACCCAGUUCUACAGAUAGUUGUGGUAGCCCCAAGUGGUGACGGCCCUGAUGGCCGACGUAUCCCACCAUGUUUGGAUUAGUGUUGUAGGACCGUAGUCACCCCGUCCUAGCCUCCUUCUCAUCUGUCUGUGGCUAAGUGCUCUGAUGUCCCGAAGUGUUAUUGUGUGAUUGCUUUACCUACCAUGAAUUUGUUAUUAUAGAACCGUAGUAUUAGAGAAGUAUUUAGGAACCUUAAACUCUCGCAUUGUCCUCUCACUUUAGCUAUCUACUCUUUUAUCAUAGAAUUCUCCGGUGUGUAUCAUAUAUGCAUAAUUCCUAUCCUUUAUCAUUUACCCCUACUUUAGUCUAGUUGGUGUAUUAGUUAGUAGAUACAUGAUGGUGAACUAUCAAUAUCUUUAUCCAUUGUUUCCUAGUGGGAAAAUAUAAAUAACGAUACCAGGAAUACUCCCGGUAAAAUGCUACAAUGGUUUUCUGUGUGCUUGCGGAAUCCAUCAUAUUUUAAUUGUGCAUACAAAGUACCAACAAGCAUUUUUGGCGCCAUUGCUAGGGAAACAAUUAGCGUAAUGAUUUUGAUAAUGAUCUUGAUAUAUGCUAAUCUAGUAUGCCUCUAGCUUUAGUAGGAUUAUCCCUAUGUUCUAUUGAGUGUGCAAUAGACAGGACAUCAUAUGCCACUUCGACCUUGCGACAAGAUUCCACAAGAUUGAAGAACUCAGGGUGCUUGAACAUUCAAGAUCCAUCAUUCUAGAACCCUGCCAUCUCACAGGUUUGUGUAUACACAUAUAUAUUAUUAUUCUAACCAUGAGUAGAUUGGAAAAAAAGGUCGUCGUCACAAGAAUACAGCCCCCAUCACAUGUGAUGGAUAUUUAUGCUACGCCACUCAUCCCAGUUGUGCAUCAUGGUAAGUGUGAUCAAGGUGAGAUAGUCUUACUCAUGGGCUUUAAACCUUAUGAGUAGUUAUAUUUUUAUUUUCUUACAUACCACUACAUGUUUACUUUGAAUCAUCCAUGCAUCCACUUCAUUUAGUUUUUUCAUACACAUCAUGUUUAGUUCCUUGCAUGCAUACAAUUGAUGUG